Molecule: long non-coding RNA, 109492 nt
Filed under: Lotus japonicus
Lineage: Eukaryota; Viridiplantae; Streptophyta; Magnoliopsida; Fabales; Fabaceae
Description: long non-coding RNA (LJAP_LNC001750)
Source: RNAcentral
CCUAAGAAACUCCUUACUUCAGUGACAGUCUCCGGGACCUUCCAUGAGUUCACAGCUUCUACUUUGGCAGGGUCUACAACGAUUCCGUCUCCGCUCACAACAUGUCCCAAAAAUUGAACUUGCUCUAGCCAGAACUCACAUUUUGAGAGUUUGGCAUACAACUUCCGAUCCUUCAAGACCUUCAAUACGACCUGCAGAUGUUCAACAUGCUCUUCCUUGCUUUUGGAAUAGAUAAGUAUAUCGUCUAUAAAGACUAUUACAAACUUAUCUAGGUAGGGUUGAAAGAUCCUGUUCAUAUAAUCCAUGAAAAUUGCAGGAGCGUUGGUCACCCCGAACGGCAUCACCAAAUAUUCAUAGUGCCCGUACCGAGUCCGGAAGGCUGUCUUCUGCACGUCGUCUGCUUUAACUUUGAUUUGGUGGUAACCGGACCGCAAAUCAAUUUUGGAGAAGACUCUGGCUCCCUUCAAUUGAUCCAAGAGAUCAUCGAUUCGAGGUAAAGGGUACCUAUUUUUAAUAGUAACCUUAUUGAGUUGACGAUAGUCAACACACAAACGCAUGCUUCCAUCCUUCUUCUUCACAAGCAAUACCGGAGCUCCCCAUGGCGAUACACUGGGACGGAUGAACCCUUUGGACAAUAACUCUUCAACUUGUUUCUUUAGUUCAGCAAGCUCCAAGGGUGACAUGCGAUAAGGUGCUGCAGAAAUUGGUGCUGUUCCAGGAAUCACAUCAAUAGCAAACUCCACUUCCCGUUCUGGUGGAAGUUCUGUCAUAUCUUCAGGAAAAACUUCUGGAAAUUCUCGUACAACGGGAAUGUCUUCCAUGGCUGGUCGCUUGGUUCCUUCUGAAGAGAAGAGAAUUAAGUAUGCUGAGGGUUUCUUCUCAGGUAGAGAGGCGGUCUGCUUCUCCUUGUACUUUUGGAGGAAUAUGGGGACUCUUAGCCGACAAUCCAACAAUACAUUAUUGAUGGAAAGCCAGUUCAUGCCCAGAAUAAUGUCUAGACCUUCUAAAGGUAGACAGACAAGAUCAGUAAUGUAUUCCUUGUUCUCUAUCACCAAGGGACACUUCUUACAUACAGAAGACAUGACUGCGGAUUCCUUGGUAGGAGUGGUUACUACUAAGUCAUAAGGUAAUUGUGUUAUAAGCAAUUUUAGCGACUUAGCCCGCUCAUGUGAUAUGAAGGAAUGUGUCGCACCUGAAUCGUACAAAACUACUAAAGGGAUGUCGCAGAGGAAACACGUACCCUGUAUCAAAUCUUCAGAAGUAUUGGCCUCUGCGCCGGUCAUUGCAAAAACUUUACCCUUGUUCACGGGUCUCCCAGAUUUCUGAGCACUUGCUCCAGCAGAGUUUCUUGGUGCAGAAGUGAUGUUGGUACCUCCAGCAACGGGUGACUUCAAGUUAGUCUGUCCUGAUGUAGUUGUUGCAGUACAACUCCAAGAUUUGUGUCCCUCCUUUCCACACCGAUAACAAGUCACAUGGCUGUUAGGAUUUGUUGGUCUUGCACCACCAUAGUUUCUGUUUUGAAGUUCUGGUUUGUAGUUCCUAGGUGAAUAAUGCUUCUUUCGUUCUUCUCUCCUCUUAGAAGUCUUGUUGAAUUUUGAGCUUUUGUAGUACUCCCUCCGAGCUCGAUCAUUUUCUUCAAAUAUCCUACAUUUUUCCACCAGCACAGUAAAAGUGCGGAUUUGCUGAUGUCCUAUUGCUGCCCUGAUGUCAGGCCUCAAACCGCACUCAAAACGAAUGCAUUUGGAGGCGUCGUCAGCUGUUGUACCAUAGUAAGGAUGAAAUUGACUCAAUUCUUCAAAGCGAGCCGCAUAUUGUCCCACAGACAUUUCUCCUUGUUUGAGCUCCAAGAACUCGGUCUCCUUUUUGCCUUUUACAUCAGCAGGAAAGUAUUUUUCAAGAAAUGCCUCAUUGAAGAUGCUCCAAGUCAAGACUCCAUCAGGUGGAGUGAUUCUGCUUUUGGCGUGUACCCACCAGUUCCUAGCUUCUUCGUGAAACAAGUAAGAAGCAUAAGCUAUCAUCCUGUCCUCACUUGUAGGCAAGGACUCAUAGAUCUGUUCAAUUUUACGGAGCCAGCGGUUGGCGCCUUCAGGGUCAUAACCUCCAUCAAAUAGAGGUGGAUUUCGCUUAAGGAAUUUGUCAAUUCCUUUGUAUACAUCAUCCUCUGCUGGUUGAUUCUGUUGUUCGGCUCUAGCAGCCUGAUUAGCUAAGAAAUUAGUCAGUUGGCGUAAAGCUUCCGCCAUGUCGUUAUCCAUUUUCCUGAAAUGCAACUAAAUUAGUAAACAAUCAUACACAAAUAAGUUCAUAGCAAAUAAUAAAGUAUACACAACAGGUAUUCAAACACAUCAAUCAUCAAAGCAUACAAAUAAAGUUAGUCUUCCAUAGAGUUCCUGAGUUCCACAGUUGAGGAACUUGAAGCUCUGAUACCAAACCUGUGGGGGCGCAACUCCAAGCACUCUGCUGGAGAGAGAGUCCCCACGUUGUAAUGUUAAUACGUCGUCACUCUCUCGCGGUGUACUUUUUUUUUAUUCUGUUUUCUUCCUACUUCGAUUAUCCUCUUGGGUGUUACUCUGAUACUCGACACCAAGCGUGUGACUGUCUCCUAAGCGUUGACUUCCAAAAUCUGAAAUAAUAAGCGUAGCGGAACAAUAAAGCGUAAGUGGUAAUACUUAGGUUUGGGAUAACAUACUCCUACACAAAUAUAUACAUCACAACAAGUACACAUCAUCGCAGCGACUAUAUCGCAAAGUCUGCCGCCACCCAAAACAUACAUCACUAAGCCAAACCGCACGGCUGUCAUCAGAGUCCUACUAAACUGAGCUCAUCAUUCAAGGGUACCACAAAAAUAGCUCAGCGGACAUAAGAGUACAUCUUCAUCAGAGAACAACAAAAGACAGAACACAGGAUUUCAACAGACACCAUCACUAGCUCCUCCUCUAGUCGCUAGGCCCCACAUCCCACCUACGGGGGCGUCCCUCUCUCCUCCUCCUCGCGUCCGUACCGGGUACCUCCUUCACAUGCCCAUUCUCCACGGGCAUGUCAGGCUGAGGCUCCGGUGGUGGUGGUACACAUGCCAAAGGAGCGGCGAAGUUCGGCAUAGGUGGUAGCGGAGGCUCCUCCAAGAGCUCAUGAGCUAGGAAGUGUGGGGGCAUGAUGAAACUGAACAUCCGAGGAAAAGAAACUGGGUAACCAGGUACAUGGCUAUUGGGAUGGCGAUACCAGAACGUCGACAUCCCUACAUAUGUACAGAUACCGGUGUGAGGGUCAAUAUACCAUCCCUCCGGCGAGGAAAAGUCCACUAGUAUCAUCUCAACUGGAAGGUCCAUCUCCCUCAGCUAUCUCUGUGUUAUCUAGAAAAAUAAAGCGUAAGGGUGAGCUACAGAACGACUUAGAUAUAAAUCAUAUAUAAUAUAUCAGUCAGAAGUAAGGCAAAUAAUUAUAUUCGGUUAGCAAUCAAUCAUCAUCCUGCAACCACACACAAUCACAGACAAAUUACAUAAGCAAAUAUGAGUUUAUGCUAUGCAUGCCACCGUAUCAACAAACACAUAUCACAUAUGAUUGCUGGGCCCAUUGGCUUCUCAAAGCCUCUCUCUUCGGAACGUCACUCGGGAAUAUGGCGCCACCGGCCCACUCUUUACCGAGUCUGAAUACCCUUUUAGCGUUUUCAAAUUGCACUGCCACUCAUGGUCUUACGUGCCACCUCAGGUAUCUCGGGCAUCCACACCGGGUGCACAUCCGGGGUCUCAGGUGGAAGUUGCCGCUCGUUCCUACUCCUUAUCCUACCUGCUCAUGUUAUGAUGCAUGAAAAUUAUUCAAUCAUCGUUCAACCAUCUCCCCCUUAUCCUGCCUGGAACCACACAAGGUUCGGUUACUCAUAUUUGAGUAGUUAUCCUGGAGGCAUUCUGAAUUCGUAAUCAAACCAUCACCUGGAAUACCUGUUAUUUAGUGAUCAACAACAAAAAAUAUAGUUUCAUGCAUAAACGGUUUUAUUAUUACUCUAAGCCAUUAUCACCUAAUUAUUUUCUAAUCAAUUUCUCCUAAAUGCAAAAUCCUUGUUUGAAAGCUAAAGAUAGAUCUGUUGAUCACUGAAUAACCAUUCCAUGGUUCCUGCCACAUAAAUGCCUCCAAGACCUAUUUCCCUGUAUUUCUUUUCUUGAGCCAUAACCUGCACCUGUCUAAUGCAUCAAUCAACCAUACAAGUAUCCAACAUUCACACACAACACCUGUAUUAAAGUUACAACCAUAUCGAAUAGCAAUGAUAAUUAACAGCUAAUUAAAUAUAAUUAAACGCGAUCCUCCUGCCAGAGAAUCAUAUAAUCCUCGUAGCCUGUAAACUCCCCUUACCAAGAGGAAUUGAGAGAAGUUGUUCUUGACCUGCAACAUACACAAUUUACAAAAUUUAAUCAACAAUCAAGCUUUAAGUUCCAAUCCAAGUUCACACUAAGUCCUUUAAGGUGUCCUCAAAGGUUAGUUAUCAAGGCUUUAACAUAAUCAGUACUCAGUCCCUAUGUCCAAUGAUUUAUAGCCUCAUUACCGGCUCACAAAUUCAUCCCAAAUCUGUUCUAAUUUAUCACAUGGUUUAAAUGCCAAAUUAAGCUAUUUUAAGUCCUUUAUAAGUCAUUUAAGGUCCAAUCAUUAAGGUCUGAACAUAAUAGAUCAAUCAACCUCCAUGGUCAUUGAUUCUCAGUCCAUAUCAAGGUUUCAUAAACGGGACCCAAGCUGUCCAAACCUGCACAUAACCUUAUUCAGCAAAAAUAAGCUAUUUUAACCAAUUUUAAGCACUUUCAAAUUUACUUAGUCUCACUAACUCAGUUCUUUUCACAAUCAACCAACAACAGAAGAUUUUAAAAGCAUUUAGGGCUGUAAUAUGAAGCUACCAGAGGCUUAGAGCCCCUGGUUCGUGCUUCUCCUUCUCUUGAGGUGAAAAAGAGCAAGGGAGGUGAUGAACCUGUUCACCACACCCUCUUUUCCAGGUCUGUACCCACAAGCUGCAUAAAACCAUAAUCUAGAACCUAUUUCAUGAUCAAUACAUGUCCAAUAAUGCAAAGAAUGAUUUAGAAUAAAUUGAUCAUGAAGGUAAGGAUAUGCAUGAGUGCAAAAUUCGAGUUUUAUAAAAGCUCUCUGUUCAGUAGGAAAGGCUUUGAAUUUCGCAAAAUAAACAUCAUAUUCGGACUCAGAGCAUCGAAUAGAGUCAGGAGAAGGUCUUUUUACCGAAUUCCAAGACGAACUCCGGCGAAGCUGGCCGGAGAAGAGGGCGGUGUGCGGCGGCCGGUGCGGCGGUGGAGCGAGCGGAGGGCAGGACUGGCUUCGUCUCCUCCUCACGAACCUAGUGGAGGUGAUCUCGUUAAGUGGGUAUCAAAGAGCAGAGAGAGGGGCAGUUGCAGUUUUGAGAAGUUUGAGAGAUGGAAGGAAAAGAGUGUGUGAGAGGGGGAGAGGAACAAAUUGAGUAGAGUAGGAGAGGAAGCUUCUGAAUUGUGUGGAAAUUUUUCCACCCAACACCUCUUUAUAUAGAGGGCCCAAGCUUAUAUGUCAAGCUUUAUCCCACAAUAGAACUCAUAUCAUAAAAAUAGAGUGUUUGAUCUUGUAGUAUGAGUUUGGCCAUUAAAAUUUCAUGCAAGCAUACCACCAUGUUCAAAAAUAUGAUGAAGAGAAGUAUGGUGAUGUGAGGUUGAACAGUAGGAUUAGGUGCUGCAUUCACGUUUCAGACCCUGAACUCUAGAACUUUUCAAAUAAAAGUCCUGAAGUUCUUCCUUGUUUCAAACUUUAGUCCCUAUAGAAGUUGCUAACUCAAAAAUAAGGGCUUAAGUCAUAAAAAUAUUAUAAAUAAAUUCUGAAUAUAUGUAAAAUUAUUUCUAACUAUUAUUUAAUUAUUCCUAAGCUAGUAGGUCUCAAAGUGGGAUGUUACAAACCACUAAUGCCAUGCCAUUAGCUUCGCCCAUAUUUGAUGCUUCUCCUCAAGAACACAAGGAGAAUAAACAUUAACAAUUGCACAGGCCGCCGACUAUUCCCCCCAAAUCCCUACAAGCCCCAUAAAACCAUUCCCCAUAAUGCAAUCAUGUAGAAUGAACAGUCCCUUGCGCUAGAUACAGAUUAGUCCACCCGCCCUAUCAAUAGCGGGUGUCGCUUUCCACCCAAAGUCCCCAUCACGCCAAAGCAAGCCACACAACUUUGAGUCCACUACUUGCAGUAUCGUCCCUUGAAUUAGGAGUAUCUCCAGUUGUUCCGCCACCACAAAUCCUUGAUAGCCCUCCACUUGACCCUAUUGGUCACCCCACUAAUAUUAUAACUGACAAUCUUCAUGGUCCACCCCCGUUUAACCCCCUCCGUUAAUUGUUUGUCAUUGCUGACCACCCCAAACGAUAUAUUUUUUUCUGUUUUAAUAAAUUUUUCAAUCAUCUCCUCAUCCUCAUCCCCCAUAAACACUGUGCCCAAAAUCCACAAAUUUCUGACUUCCAAUCUCAAAUUUUGAAUCCAAUAACGCAUAUUGCAGUUUGUAUACUAUUUGGGCCUGCUGGGUUGAUAUUUUAUCUCUUUAAGUUUUCUCGUGACUGAAUUUUAUUACAAGUAGUUUUCCAUGCAGAUGACAACACAUUAGUAGGUGCUGAUUGCGUUAUUGAUGAUCUGUGUAAGAGCUUAGAAAAUCGAUACAAACAAAUAUUUGUAUGAGAAAUGCUGAGAUCAAGAAAUGUGCAAACUCAUAAACCGGAUGUCAUAACUCAUUAAUUUUGAAUCGUAUAAAAUAACUUAACACAAACCUUUCUCUCUCCAUACUACGUACUUUUAUCCUAUUGUGACAUGUACUUUGAGCUCGCAUAUUAAAUUUUGAAUUAAGCUAAUAUAUAUAUAGUAAUUAUUAUUUUUAAAUAUUUAAUACCUUUUGAAAUAGUUAUUGAGUCGAAAUAUAUUAUUAAUUUACAUAAUUUCUUUGCAUGGUUAUUUAUCUUCAAUCAAUCAACAUUAAACAAAUUGACAUAUCACAAAUCAACAUUGAACUCAAUAACUUGGGAAGGAGACAUAUCACAAUUUAAUUAUCGGAGGGGACAUAAUAGCAACCUCAAUAACUUCGGCCUUUGUGGUGUUUUGUAUUGGCACUAAUUGAGUCUUCUUUUUCAUUUCUUUGCUCUUACCCCAAAGCACCGCAUAUAGGCCAAUGACAAUCAACACUGCUCCAAGCACACUACAUAAAACAACCAGACUAAAUCAAAUUACAUCUAUGUAAUAGGAACCCUGAAAUAUAAAAACAAUGAAUAUGUAUGUAUGUCAAGUAAGAUUUAGAGUAUAUACCUUCCUAAAUACAACUUCUCAUCCAACAAUAAAUAAGCAGCGAUGGCGACAAGUAAUAGUUGCACUGGAUUGAAAAUAGACGCAAAUAGAGGGCCUCUCAUCUUUAUGCACCACGCAAUAACAACAACCACCAUACCAGAGCCCACAAUUCCCUGCAUGAAAAUUUACUCAAUUAAUUAACUUUAGAAUGCUUAUCCAAAAAAAAUUAACUUUAGAAUGAACUCAGAUAUCAAAAUCUCCAAUUGUGUAAAAAAUCGAGCAUACCGAAUAAGCCACUGUUAGAAGCCUGAUAUUAAAACCCAGCUUCCAUUGGCUCCAAUCCCUAUCAAAACAAAGAGCAAUAACAAUGGAUUGUAUUGCUCCCAUGGUUGACAUCAACGCUGAGCUUGAGUGAUGACUCGGGUAUUCUUGGUUCAUCUUAGCCUGUAUCGGUUUAAAUAUAUCGAAAUAUUGAAUGACUAGAAAAAAAUUGGCAAUGGCAUACAAAAUGCAUUGAGUUAGGUUCAUAAGGAAUAAGCUAACCUGAGUGAUUAACCACAAAGAAAAAGAGCAGCAACUUGCUAUGGCGCAAGGAACACCUAAUAGUUUAUUACUAAAAUCUACAUGAGGCCGCAUCAUAUGCCCACUUUGGUCAUGAUGUGGAUGCAUAAGGUCAAUUUUAGAAGACAAAAUAUUAAUUUCGAACCCUUUGAGAAAGGUUAGCACCAUUGCCCCGCUAAUUCCAACAAUAGUUCCCAUCACCUUGGCCUUCCCUUCUGCUGCUCCCAAAUUUAAUUUUUCCAAUCUACAGAAAAUCAAAAGUAUAUCAAUAAAUAGGCACUAGGAUAUGUAACUUCUAUUAUAAUUAAAAUAAUAUAAAUUGAGAGGGUGAACCACUAUCAUUGAAUAUUUUCAUAUAUAUAGGAGUGCUAUAACGUCCUAUUAUUCUUUCAUCUCUAGCUAUCUCAUCUUUUAUAUUAGUUAGUUGCUAUACAUUGUACUUGUACUUUAAUUUUGGAUAUUUAACUUAAACUUAAAACAUUACUCUUACAUUACGAUUAGAUUAGGAUUAGUUCCCCUGUGUUAAAGGUGUUUUCUGUCUGCUGCUGUAUUGUGAGGCCGAGCUCACCUUUCCCAUGUACAUUCUUUCUUUUUUCUUUUGCUCUCUGUACAUGUUUUUUGGGUUUGAAGAUAGUACUUCUUGAAUUCAAUUUGGCUUACUAAAACACACACACCAGCUGUAAAACAUUCAUCAAUAUAUAUAAUUUAAACUGUACUUUUUUUCUAAUCUCUUAUGGGAUAGGAUUCGCUCUUUAUGGUAUCCGAUUCAUCAAUCCUCAAGGCCACUAUGCAACUUCCACUCUGCCUCCUCGCAAACUCAAGGAUUUUGUUGAAUUGAAUACUUAUACCAAACUGCCUAUUAAGUAUGUAACUCCACUACCAAUGUCACCUUGCUUCAAAUAGGUUCACUCCAGUUGCUCGUUAUUAUGUUGAAGGAUGUGUCACAACUCACAAGUAUCACAGCUUAUCCAACUAUACCCAUUAAAAAGGUGGCUCACAAUCUCUAAUACACCUAUUCCAAUCAUUUAUUUAAUUGAAAAGGUCCGUCCAUUGCACCAUUGCGGACAACAACAUCGACACUUUGUGACAGCUUUUUUACUACCACAAAGUUGAAAUAUGUUUAAUUUAAAAAAAUUGUUCAUUUUGGGACGGUUAAAACCUGUAACAAAAAUUAGUGUUAAAAAGUGUCAUGCAUUAUUAUUUCGUAGUUCAUGUAUUAGAUCUAUUUUUUAAAUAAUGCUUACUAAAUUUUAGGGAAAUCUUAUGAUGGAUUGUAAAAAAAAACUGAUUAACUCAGAACAUGUUUUUACAUGUUAAAAAAUGUAACAUUAUGUAUAUAUGUUAAAAGAUGGCGAACUAUCUUGUGAAAUUGGGCUGUGAUAGAGCUGAGCCUUUAUGGGAAUCUGGCUUGAUCUUAUGCCUACUCUCGCUUUUCCCUUGCCCUGCUGGUUGCUUUUAUGUGGUGCCACUUCGUUUCUUGCUAUGGGUCCUGCUUCUGCCUUUUCUCUCCUUGGUUGGAUGCUGUUGACUGUGCCCUGUUUCUAGCUUUAGUGGCUCUGUUUCCAGUUUCUUGUAGUUAUUGUUACUGUUAUGUUUUUCUGUUUUUUAUUUAUUGCUUAUUUUGUUGUUUUCUUCUGUUCUUCUUGUCCUGUUUUUCUCGUUUAGGAGAGCUUUGUUUCCAAGCUUUUAACCUUUUAUAUCUAUAUAUUUAACCUUCCAAAAAAAAUUGAAAGAAAAAACCUUCAAAUUUUUCUUAGUAUAUGACAAACAAAGCAAAAGAUAAAGGAAAAUAUUGAUAAAAUUUUGCACCUCUAUAACUUUCUAGAUAGCAAUGGUGGGCUUAGGUAAAAAAAUUAGGUGUUUACUUUUCAUUUCAUAUACGUGGUACAAAAUAACUUUAACAUAAAAAUACGUAUUUCAAUGCAGUAAAUGUGAAAUAAACUCCUUUACUUGAUCCAAACAUAUAGAUAAAAUAUAGGAGUGAUAGGGCUAAUGCUCCUUGCGGUCCCUCAUUGAGUAAGAUACUAUUUUGACCGACAUUUUACCUAACCAUAGAUAUUGAAUAAGGACUAACUUGAUCAAGAUUUUACACAAUCAAUAACGACAUUAGGUAUUUCCUUCUUCUAAAGAAGAACUGAAGAACUUGCAAUCCUCCAGCACUUUUAGAAACCAAUUUGACCUCUUACUCUAAAAUAUAGUGUGUAAGGUGAGCUGAGUACGUACCCAAAAGAUGUAGCCAUGAUGAAGGUAAUACCAGGAAUAAGGUUGACCACAGCCAACAUAAAAGUUGCUGAUGUCAAAGCCAAACCAACGGCGUAAAGAUUUAGAAAUAAACUACCCCUGAAAUGAAUCAUUACAUAAAUUUAUUACCUUAUAACAUUGAUAGUAUAAGGUGGCUGAAAAUAGUUAUGGCGGAAAAGGUGGAUAAUUUUAAGUAGCAAAGAAAUACAUACCCAAACAUUCCACACAGAAAUGCCAAAACAAGCACCCUCCAAGUAAUUUUUGGCCUCUUCUUCCUGCAUCCAUAGAAAAAAAACGGAAACCAUUUUGGCCUCGUUAGUCAAAUGCGCUAGUCUCAUGUUCAAACGCUCUAAUUCCUUUUGAAAUAUUAUUUUCAAAAAAUUAUGUGUCCAAUGUUUUGUUUGGUUGUUUAAUAUGUUUCGAAAAAAAUGAUGUAUUAUUGGAGAGCUGUGAUACAUAAAUCACUUAAAAGGGUGACAAUCCCUCUCAAUUACCAAGACUUUCACGAAUUGAUGUUUCGAAAAGUUGUUAAUGAUAGUGUUUGGAAACCAAGACUUUCACGUUUUGAAAAGAAAUGAAAAUAAACAAGUAUUAAAAAUAACUUUUAUGAUAAAAAGGCGAUUUGGAUUUUAUAGAAUUGAAAAUAUAUUCAAACAUGCUAAUGAUAUGUGACGAUUGAUGUUAGCCAACUACAGCACGGGACACAAUAAUGCUUCGAAGACAUGACACAUAAUUUUAAAUUAUUAAUUUAAACAAUUCUUAUAUGCAUGAAUUUGAUUUAUGACUAUGCAUGCAUUUUGCAUAUUUUAUAUGGUACAAUAGGAUAGGAUAGCGCUUCACACUCCUCCUCAUAUGUUUACAUCCUAUAGCUAUUAGAAUUUGGAUUACUGUUAGAGUAAAAAGUGAUAGUGUGCAUACAAUUCUUGGCGGCCAUUUAAUUGCCGUUCAAAAACCGCCACUAAUGGUGGUAAAAAACCACCAAUAAGCGGUAUAACAAUUAUAUGUCCGUGACACUUUUGUAGUCUAAAACUUUUUUUUAUGUGCAUCUAAUGAUUGUUUGCCAUGUCAAAAAUAAACUUUUUUUUCAUUUGGACAACCGUGUAAAAAUUGAUGAAUUGUAAAAUAUCCUAAACCAAAGUCGCAUUAGUGAGUAGUAAAAGUAAUGACUCGUCAACACAUUUAAAUACCCAAACAUCAUAGAGUGUGGCGGUCAAAAACCGCCACAAAACAAAUAUUAUGUAAUAUGUGGUGGUUUCUGACCGUCAUAAACCAAGGGUGUUUGCAUGCAUGACAUUGUGUUGAUGUGUUUACAAAUCAUUUUUAGAGUAGUAAUAGUAAGUGUAAAAGAAAGUAAAGGUGCUUAUAGGUGCAAAUUAAGCAAUCAACCUAUCAAAGAAAAGAGCAAGAGGGACAGUGAAGGCGGAUGCAAAAGUGAGGCGGUAGGCAGUGGCGACCGUCAUGCUCAUUCCAUCGUUUAUGGCGAGCUUGUAGACGAUAUUAACUGCCGCAUAAGCAACCUGCACAAACAACAUUAGCAGCGCUGGUUUCAGCCCUUGCAUUAAAUGGCACACACCAUUCAUGUUCACCAUGGUGCUAGCUGCAAGGGUGUUUUGGCCUUUUGGGGGAAAAGGAAAUAGAGAGAGAAGAUGAAGGUGUGAAAAUUGUAGCUAAGCAAAUGGGUAUUUAUAGGAGGGGGUCUACGUUCGAAUUUCAGAAAGUGCUAUCACUCCAUCACUGUUAUCUUACUCACGGUUAACUAUAUUUUAAGGUUCACAAAUCAUAAGAAUGGUUGAUAGUGUAGUACACUGUUUGCACACGUACACUUUUCUCUUAAUUUUUUUUGAAACAAAUUUUCCCUUAAUUUUAAAAUAAAAGGAACAGAUAUGGUAAAUAACAUAUAAAACUGUUAUCUUUUAAUAAGUAAAAAAUAAUAGAUCAUGAACGUUAACUGGCAUUCCACCUUGAAAGUGUCCAUUUUAAUUUGAUGAUGGUUUUUGGCCAAACUAGACUGUACUAGAAAUGAUUUAGUGGGCUGCUCAAUGUUGUUUAAUUUGGGAAAAAACGAAUAAUUAUAUCUCACACUCAUAUUUGAGGUGUGGAGAGGUGGAGGAAGAGAGAAAUAUGAAGAAAAGAGAGAGAAAUUAAGUAAAGAUGUAAUAAAUGAUUUGAUUGAUAGAGAAAAAAGAAAUAGAUUGAAGCUAAGUGAAAGUGGAAAAGAAGUGAUCGAGAGGUGUGUAUAUAUCAUAACUCAAAAAAAACAUCAUUACAAUCUAUUUUCAGCUCCCCUGAGAGAUAACUAAAAGUUAUGAUAGUUAAUGAGUUAUGCAAAACUAGGAUUGAGAAUACUGAAAGUGUUAUUCUUGAGGCUCUGCAAGGGUUAGAAACAAAGUGCAGCGCCGUAUGGAUGACUCCGGCAUCCCGCCGGAAGGUAACAAAGGAGGAGGCUCACAACCUAGCCGCCAGGCUACGGGGAAAGAGGAGAUGGUACCCAGGAAAGUGGUGUCGUACAAAGAUGUUUGCCUGGGGAUCAAUGGUGGGGAGGAGACUGACGAGGAAGAUCUUCCCAUGGAAGGGUUCCUUUCUGAAACGGAAGAAAGCAGGUCUGAAGGGGAGGCUAAUACCCCGCAUGCAGGCCAAAAUAACCAGCUUUGUCCGGUGAUCAAACUCUCGAAGGAUAAGCGGAAGGAGUUACGUAAGCCCUGGCAAAAUUCUAUCAUUGUCAAAUUACUAGGUAAGAGGAUCGGCCUGGGCUUGUUGAAGGAUCGGUUGAAUAAACUGUGGCAACCGUCUGGGGAGAUGGAGGUGAUUGACCUUGACUUUGAUUUCUUUGUGGUUCGUUUCGCCAACAGGGUUGACUACGCUCACGUCUUCACUGGAGGUCCGUGGGUGAUUAUGGGUCACUAUUUAGUGAUUCAACAAUGGAGACCAAUGUUCAUCCCGUCCAAAGGUGAACUGAAUAGGGGAGGCUAAUACCCCGCAUGCAGGCCAAAAUAACCAGCUUUGUCCGGUGAUCAAACUCUCGAAGGAUAAGCGGAAGGAGUUACGUAAGCCCUGGCGAAAUUCUAUCAUUGUCAAAUUACUAGGUAAGAGGAUCGGCCUGGGCUUGUUGAAGGAUCGGUUGAAUAAACUGUGGCAACCGUCUGGGGAGAUGGAGGUGAUUGACCUUGACUUUGAUUUCUUUGUGGUUCGUUUCGCCAACAGGGUUGACUACGCUCACGUCUUCACUGGAGGUCCGUGGGUGAUUAUGGGUCACUAUUUAGUGAUUCAACAAUGGAGACCAAUGUUCAUCCCGUCCAAAGGUGAACUGAAUAGGGUGGCGGUUUGGUUCAGAGUUCCAGGUUUCCCGGUCGAAUGCUAUGAUCAGGAGGUUCUACAUGAGAUUGGUCGUAACGUGGGAAAGUUUGUCAAGGUCGAUGACCACACCUGGAAGACCAUGGCUGGGAAAGGUCAACCAGGGGCAACAACCGAGCGAGCACGUUUUGCAAGAAUAUGUGUGGAGAUUGAUCUCAGGAAGACUCUUGUCUCCAAGUUUGUAUUUGAGGAUGAAGAGUUCAAGAUUGAGUAUGAGGGUUUGAACUUGAUCUGCUUUGAAUGUGGAACAUUUGGGCAUAAGAAGGAAGCUUGUCCUUUAAAGGUCACUGGAAACCCUCCACAGGGGACUGAGUUGCACAAAUCGCCACUGCCAUCACCGGUGGGUCAUGGGGAGGACUUUGGACCAUGGAUGAUAGCUAAAAAAUCAUCUCGCACAGCCGCUAGGCGGCCAGCCGGUAAGGGUGCUGCCGUUCAAGCUCCUAACAGGAAUGUCGGUGGAACUAGGUUUUCCAUCUUGUCCAAUAUGAAAAUUGACGAAACUCAAGGAAUUCCCUUACCUAUUCCUGGUAACUCCUCGAAUUCCGCAAGCAUUCAAGGGAAUAUUCCCUCUGCAUCAUCAGUUGGUAAUUCACACACGGUGGGGCCUACCAAAAAAUCAGCACCUCAUCAUGAGAUUCCAGCAAAAAGCAUAAUCCUCGUUGACAAUGUGGAUCCCAAGGCCAAUCAUGAUUCGGUUUCCAUAACCGUUCCUAUUAGCAUGAAUUCCGGUCCCACCAAGACCGCUAAUGACGAGAUCAUAAUAGCGGACCCCACCGACACGAAUUCUGGGGCAAUUAGUCCCAAUCAUGGCAUUGGCGGCACGGACUCUGGAGUAAUUAUUCCUAAUCAUGGCACAAAUCUUAGUGUUGGACCUGACUCCAAAUCAGAGCCUCAAUAUUCACAUGCUAGGGCUGAGGCCAGCUCUCCCCAUUCAACGCUGCCUCUCCAUCAUGGCACAGGGGGCCCCACCUCCUCCAUGAAAAAAGUGAAGAAUAGAGCUCGUGACCCAAAACAUUCAGCCGGCAGCUCCAAUACUCACCGAGUCCCAGAUAGAGUAAAUUUCUCUACGUCGUCCUCACCAAGCAAGAGCUAUGCUCCCACAAGAGAACGUGAAAGGAGCUUGUCUCCUCGCAAUCACCGGAGCUCUUAGUAGCUCCUUCUUCCCCAUAUCCCAUUGUUUGUUAAUGAUGUACAACAUAUUUAGCUGGAAUAUUAGGGGUGCCGCGGCAAAAGGAGUCCCCCUUCUCCUAAAGGAUAUGGUUGACAGACAUAAAGUCUCUUGUAUUGCUCUUUUUGAGCCUCGAAUUAGUACCACUAAGCUCCCCUUGAUCAUGAAAACUGUAGGUUUUGAUGAUUCCUUUGUGGUUGAAGCUGAAGGCUUUUCAGGUGGCAUAUGGAUUUUCUGGGCUAAGAAUCUGAUGUCCAUUGAGGUUAUUUCUUCUCAUAGACAGUUGGUGCAUGUGCGCAUUACCCCUAGAGAUGGUCUCCCUAGCUUCAUGGCGUCUUUUGUGUAUGGUAGCCCUAACUUUUCCAUUCGUAAUUUCCUGUGGCAUGAGCUUCGCCGCAUUGCUCAUCAGAUAAGAGAUCCCUGGGUUGUCAUGGGGGACUUCAACGCUACCUUAAUGCUUCGGACAAGGUAGGGGGUGGACCACCUAACACGCUUGCUAUGAGGAAGUUCAGGGAAUGUAUAGAGGAUUGCUAUCUGAAUGACCUUGGUUUCAAGGGUCAUCCCUUCACUUGGGAGGCUCGUGGAGUUAAGGAGAGGAUUGAUUGGGCUUUGGGGAAUGAGCGGUGGUUCUUGGCUUACCCUGAGGCGUCUAUUUUUCAUUUUCCUCGACUCAAGUCCGAUCAUAAACCACUGCUUCUUCAGUUUAGUGCUCACCAAAAUACGUCCUAUCUCCGCCCUUUCCGCUUCAUGGCCGCUUGGUUAACCCAUCCAGACCUUCCUCACUUAGUGGAGAACUCGUGGAAAAAUCAUGGUACUUGGGCCCCUGCGUCCGAGGAUUUUAGAGAAGAAGCUACUGCUUGGAAUAAUAAUAUUUUUGGGGAGAUUGGGAGAAAUAAGCGUCGUCUUAUAAAGAGACUCGAAGGUAUCAACAAUCAGUUGAGAAUGCAUCAUAACCCGUAUCUUGAGAAGCUUCAGGCCCGAUUGUGGACUGAGUACCAAAGAGUGUUGAUCCAGGAAGAGUUAUUGUGGAGGCAGAAAUCGAGGGUGAAUUGGCUAAAUCACGGGGAUAAAAACACCCGUUUCUUCCAUACAGCCACCAUGGUUCGUUGGAAAAGAAAUAAAAUUGAAGCUCUGACAAAUGAUGAAGGAACUACAGUGACGGAACCAGCCAUUCUCCAAUCCAUGGCCGUGGAGUUCUUCCAGAAGCUCUACACUAGCUCUGGCGAUACCGUUCCCUAUCAAGGUCGGGGUGCGUUUCCUAGGCUAUCCGUGGAAGUGCUUGGUGAUAUUUCAAAGCCCUUGAGUCCUGAAGAAAUCAAAACCGCAGCCUUUAGUAUGGGAGCGUUAAAGGCGCCGGGCCCGGAUGGCUUAAAUCCACUCUUCUUUCAAUCUCAGUGGCACAUCAUUGAGUCUUCAGUGGUUAGCUUCAUCCAGGAGUGUGUUCAAAAUCCAAGGAAAAUAAAAGAGGUAAACGACACUCUUAUUGUUCACAUUCCUAAAAUUGAUAGACCUAACCUUUUAUCACAGUAUAGGCCGAUUGGCCUUUGCAACGUGAUCUACAAGAUUUUGACAAAGACCAUUGCUAACCGCCUGAAAGGAACUCUUGGGGAAUUAAUUUCUCCCAACCAGUGCAGCUUUAUCCCAGGGAGACAAAGCUCUGAUAAUAUAAUUGUGGCCCAAGAAGUCUUCCAUUCUAUGAGAAGCUUAAAGCGUAAGAAGGGUUGGUUGGCUAUGAAAAUCGACUUGGAGAAGGCAUAUGAUAGGCUCGAUUGGAACUUUCUUAGGGACACUUUACUGGAAGUUGGCCUGGAAGUAUGUUUCUGUGAUCUAAUUAUCCAUUGUGUCUCUUUGAGCUCCUUCCAGGUCCUGUUCAAUGGAAGCAAAACUGAGAAGUUCUCCCCUACCAGGGGGAUUCGCCAAGGGGACCCUCUUUCACCUUAUUUAUUUGUUCUUUGCAUGGAACGUCUGGCUCACCACAUACAAAGGGAGGUAGACAAUUCGAAUUGGAAGCCCAUAUACCUCUCUAAACAUGGCCCUCCUAUUACACAUUUAUUUUUUGCAGAUGACUUAUUACUCUUUGGGGAUGCCUCUAUACCCCAAGUCAAUCUAAUGAUGAAGUGCCUUGAUGAUUUCUGCAACGCAUCAGGUCAGAAGGUUAGCAGGGACAUGUCGCGCCUCCUGAUCUCCACUAAUGUGCCACGAGGGGAAUCUAUUUCCAUCAGCAGAGCCACUGGCAUUCAGCUUACCAAUGAUCUUGGGAAGUAUCUAGGAGUGCUCCUCCUCCACCGUGCCCCUACAAAGUCUACUUAUAAUUUUAUCCUGGAGCGUACUCAGAAAAGGUUAUCUUCUUGGAAAGCUUCAACCUUGAGUCUUGCAGGUAGAGUUACUCUUGCUAAAUCAGUAGUAGCGGCCUUACCAUCUUACUGCAUGCAAACCAUGCUGAUUCCAAAGGGUGUUUGUGAGAAGUUUGAUCAACUCCAGAGAAACUUUAUCUAGGGUUCAGAACAUGGGGCCAGAAAGAUAAGCCAAGUCAAGUGGGAUGUUAUUUGCAGUCCCAAGGAUCGUGGUGGCCUCGGUUUCAGGAAAACUUCUGACUUCAAUGAAGCAUUGCUUAUGAAGGUUGGAUGGGGGUUAAUCAAUCAACCAAAUUCCUUGUGGGUUCGAGUGCUUCGUGGAAAAUAUGGCUGCGGAACCGAAGUUUUACCAAAAGUGCAGAAAUGUAAUCGUGAAUCCCUUGCUUGGCGAGGAAUCCGCUAUACUUGGAAUAGGGUUCUUGAAGGUUGCAGCUGGAGAGUGGGAGAUGGCACCUAUAUCCGCUUCUGGAAAGAUCCCUGGAUCAUGUCAGGGCAAGUGCUCCAAUCCCUGGCCACUAACCCUGUCCCAAUAACCGAUCUCGACCUCCCUUUAGCAGAUUUCUAUGAUCAUCGCGAUGGUUGGAGAGCUAGUCGUUUUACCAACUUGUUGCCGAUGGCUACAGUACAGGAGAUUCUCAUGUUCCAUUCGAUCCAGACUGACGGGGGGCGUGACGAAGUCAUGUGGAACGGUACUCCUUCAGGGGCCUUCUCUACUAAGUCGGCGUAUGAGCUUCUUUGUUCUAACCAGCAGCAGCGCCUAGAGGAGAGCCUGUGGAAGAUGAUCUGGAGGAUUAAGGGCCCCCAACGCAUCCGAGUUUUUCUUUGGAAACUCGGCAACCAUGGUGUUUUGACAAAUGACAUCAGGGUUCGAAGACACAUGAGCACGUGCAAUUUGUGCCCUCUGUGUCUCUCCUCAGUUGAAGAUUACUCCCACAUUUUUCGCGAUUGCAGCAAGGUCCAUCCUUUUUGGGUCUCAGCGUUGGUCAAUGGAGUCACGAAUUCUUUUUUCUCCACGGAUUGGGAGACCUGGUUUGCUGGCAAUAUUAGUGGGCAUAUAGCGGGCAGGAGGGGGGUCGAUUGGCCCCGGUUUUUUGCGUCGGCCUUAUCGUCCAUUUGGAGAAUGAGGAGCGAAUAUGUUUUCAACCAGACUCAGUGUAGUGCUGCCCGUAUUUGGUAGUUCAUGAGAUAUUUGGGCAUGGAGCAGCAGUCCUCGAUAUCAACCUUGGCUCCCUCGCUGCUUCAGGUUCAAGGCCAGCAAAGGGAGGUGUUUGAGUGCUCAAACCCGCGCACUACUACUGGUUGGAUCCCACCAGACAAUGGAUGGAUGAAGCUAAAUGUUGAUGGGGCAGUUAGCACCAAUCUCCUAGCUAGCUGCGGCGGAGCAAUCCGGGACCCUGAGGGUAAUCGGGUCAAGGGUUUCAGCUGGAAUUUAGGUACCUUGUCCACAGCGAAUGUUUUCCUCUCCGAGCUGUUGGCAGUGAAGCUAGCAGUACAAUCAGUCAUGAGUUUGGACCUUCCUCAUGUUAUUGUUGAGACCGAUUCCUUGGGUGUCGUCGACUUGCUGAAUGCAACUGAUCUCCCUUCCCAUCGAUAUGUAGAACAUGCUCGAGCUAUCCUUGACCUGCAGCGUGAGCAUGGUUCCCUCAUGUUUCAACAUGUUCCAAGAGAGGGCAACUGCCUUGCGGACUAUUUAGCCAAAGUCGGUUUAAACCUUCAGUUUGGUGAGCACUGGUUUACCUCCCCGUUUGGCGAAUGCCAUUCCAUUCUUUCUAGGGAUAGGCCUGUUGAUCCUGGUGAUCCCGUCUAGUGUUUUCUGCUAGGGGUCUCUAGUCCCCUUCCUUGUAACCUAAAAAAAAAAAUGAGUUAUGCAAAAAAAUAAAAAGCAGUGAUAAAAAAAGUAAGUGAGUAAAAAGAAAAGAAAACUAUUAAUAUAAAAAAUUUAAGUGUCCAAUACUGUUUGAGUUAAUGUUUAUGAUAUUCAUUUUCUAAAAAAAAGUGUCCAAUUUGAAAAUGGAGCAAGACAUAUGAUAUAAAACUUUCCAAACGAGACACUAUAUAUAAUUCAGUGAAGUUAAUUAGGAGAACUGAACAAAACACUAUAUCAAUUAAAAUAUGAGGAGAAAUCAACUUACUCGAGGGAGUAACUCGUUAAGAGUUAAUCUUUUCAAUAACUUUUUAAAGUUACACAAAAAAAUAAUUUGAAGGUAUAUUUUUAGUUUUUGAAAUUAAUAUGCAUAUAUCUUUCAAAAAAUAUAUUUUAAAGAAUAAAUUUAAUUUUUUUAAUUAUAUAUAUAUAUUUUGGUUUUAUAGAAUAUGUUGUACUCUUUUUCCUUCAUUAGGUUUUUAUAUAUCCCAAAUGAAUUUUUUCUAGUAAGGUUUUAACGAGGCACAUACUCUAGGCUCAAGAGCACGGGUGGGGUUGGUUUAUGAUGUUCCCUUUUCCGCAUGUGUGGUUUGUUCACAUGAAUCUUAUUAUCAAUAAACUCUCUUUUGUUGUAAAAAAAAAUGUAUUUAUAAAUUAAGAUGUAUUACAAAAUUAUUACAUGUUUAGCUAUAUUAACAAUUAUGCAUUAUUUCACGUGAACGGUAGUGAUGGAACAGGGGACGGUGUUUGGAUGGCUCGUAGGUGGUAGCCACUGCUGGAAGGGAUGGUGAACAUAUGCGUCGAUGGCAGCUUUAAUCCAGCGGCAAACAUCAUGGGUUCAGGAGGCUUAAUUCACGAUUCCAAGGUGGAAUGGAUUUGCGGGCCAGGUUUCAUGGUUUUCUUGCAAGAGGCAGUGUUCUUCUCUCAGAAGCAAUGGCGCUUAAGUUUGGUUUGCAGAUAGCCUGCUGGGAUAGAGGGUUUCGUGAAGCUAAGUCUGCUGUAAUGUGGACUGUUGUGAUCUCCUGCGGGCUUUGGAGGAUGAGGAAAGCCGCAUUUUCUUCCCUAUUCUUAGUGAAAUUCAUGAAUUGAGGGUUAGAAGGUGGAAGGUGACCAUUAGUGCAAUCAUUAGAGAUUGUAAUCAGCCCGCAGACUGGUUAGCUAAGAAGGGUGCAUCUCCGUCUAUGAAUAUGUGUCUGCUGGAGGCACCGCCGUCGGAUUUAGAGAUCAUCAUCUUGAGGGAUCGUUUGGUUGUUUCUUAAUUUUUCAUGUUAUUUAUUGUUAAUUUUCCAAUGUAGCAAAAAGAAAAAAAGGAGUUCGAAGUUUUCUGAGAGUUUCUUAUUUAUAUGUUAUACAACUUUUAGCUUAACUAUUGUGUUUUUUUUCCCAUUAUUACUCAAUCCUUUGAAUUUAUAAAAUUCAUCACAUUUUAUUUUAAUCUUCUUAAUAAUUUUAAAUUGUUAAAUUUAUGAAAAAACAGAAAAUGAUAAAAAAUUGAGUUUAUAGAUAAUUUAAAUAAAAAAAAUUCAAAUUAUAAUUAUUUUAAAAUUAAUAUCAUACUUUUUCUUGAAGUAAAAAUUAAUAUCGAUGUCUUAUUAACAGAUUAAUAUUAAAUAUAAAAUGAUCAUACAAAUAUCACUUUUAUGUCAAAUAGCUUAUCAACUUUCGAUUAGGUUAUCGAGUAAAAAAGUAAAAACAGUGGACAUGUGAGAUUGAGGGCUCCUGGCUUUGAUGGUUUUCCAGCUCUAUUCUACCAGAAGUUCUGGCAUAAUGUGGGUGAUGAUGUGACCGCUUUUUGCUUACAGGUUCUCCGAGGUGAGGUAUCACCAGGUAUGGUUAAUCAAACUCUGCUUGUGCUAAUCCCAAAGGUUAAAAAAUCUAUUUAUGCGAACCAAUUUAGGCCGAUAAGUCUCUGCAAUGUUAUUUUCAAAUUGAUUACCAAAACGAUUGCUAAUCGACUGAAAUUAAUUAUGAAUGAUUUGAUUUGCGAAGCUCAAAGUGCUUUUGUUCCAGGGAGACUUAUAACAGAUAAUGCCUUACUUGCCUUUGAAUGCUUCCACUACAUGAAGAAGCGUAUCACAGGAAGGAAUGGAAUGAUGGCUCUCAAGCUAGACAUGUCCAAAGCCUAUGAUCGUGUGGAAUGGCCUUUCUUAAGAGGUAUUCUAACCCAUAUGGGGUUUCCUUUAAAUUGGGUUGAGCUUAUCAUGUCGUGUGUUAACACAGUGAGUUUUUCUCUUAUGGUUAAUGGUAACCCGCAACCGUUUUUCGCACCUCAUCGAGGUUUGCGACAAGGAGACCCUCUCUCUCCUUACUUGUUUAUUUUAUGUGGUGAAGCUUUCUCAACUUUGAUUCAGCGUGCUAUCUCAGUUUCUGCUUUACAUGGUAUUAAGAUUGCAAGAUCUGCUCCUGUCAUCUCACACCUUUUGUUUGCAGAUGAUAGUGUUCUUUUUGCUCGGGCUUCGAUUCAGGAAGCAGAAUGUAUCAAAACCAUUCUUGCAACCUAUGAACGAGCUUCUGGGCAGGUGAUAAAUUUGGACAAGUCCAUGCUUUCAGUUAGCCGUAAUGUGCCAGAUAACCGUUAUUAUGAGCUACAACAGCUUUUGGGUGUAAAGGCAGUAGAAAGCUAUGAUAAGUACUUGGGGCUACCAACUAUCAUUGGUAAGUCAAAAAACCAAAUUUUCCACUUUGUGAAAGAACGAGUAUGAAAGAAACUUAAGGGGUGGAAGGAGCGCACCUUGUCCAGAGCGGGCCGUGAUGUGCUGGUUAAAGCUGUGGCUCAAGCAAUCCCAUCAUAUGUAAUGUCUUGUUUUGUCUUACCAGAUGGCCUUUGUCAUGAGAUUGAAGGUAUGAUUUCUCGUUUUUAUUGGGGUGGUGAUGUAACCCGUCGUGGUAUACAUUGGGUUAAUUGGAAAACUCUUUGCCGGCCCAAAGAUAAUGGGGGUCUCGGCUUUAGGAAUUUUAAAUCUUUUAAUUUGGCCCUUGUGGCAAAGAAUUGGUGGAGGAUACAAAACUAUCCGAAUUCUCUCCUUGGUAGAGUUUUUAAGGCUUUAUUUUUUUCAGCAGGUAGCAUGCUUGGAGCUAAGAAAGGCUACCGUCCGAGCUAUGCGUGGACUAGUAUUCUGAAAACAUCGGAGUUGGCUGUAAAAGGAAGCAUGUGGCGUAUUGGGAAUGGAUUGAAUGUUCGUAUUUGGGAUGACAAUUGGCUCCCGCAUGGCCCUCCAAUUAAUUGCAGGCAAGAUGUGGUGGAGGAACUUAGGUUGAAUGUUGUAGCAGAUCUUAUCCAGCCAGGUGGUGGCUUUUGGAAUAAGGAAUUGGUGGAAUGGACUUUCUGUCCAAGUACUGCGUUGCGGAUCUUGGCUGUCCCCUUACCGGUGCAGGCAACAGAAGAUUACUUUUUUGGGGAGGAACUCCAGAUGGGUGCUAUACAGUGAGCUCUGGCUAUGCUUUUUUACAAAAUGCAGAUAGCCAAGCUUCUCCUUCAUCAUCAACCUCGGCUGAACAUGGUUUUGAUGCGACUCUUUGGCGGAAAUUCUGGAAAGCUCCAUCGCUUCCUCGGGUCAAGGAGGUGGCAUGGCGUGUGUGUGUUGGUGCGGUGCCCACUAGGCUUUGUUUGCGCCGUAGAGGAAUGGACUUGGAUCCUAGUUGCCCGGUGUGUGGCCAUGAGGAGGAGAGCAUUGAUCAUCUUUUUAUUCACUGUCCUGUUGCGCGAGGAUGCUGGUUUGUGAGCCUGGGUGUGCGCACAGAUGCUGGUACGUCGACCUUCAUGGACUUCAUGGCGGCGGUGCUGCGCAACAAGGAUGGCUGGUGCAUUGCAGAAGUUCAGCGCAUGAUCUAUUGCUUGUGGGAGGGUCGGAACAAGGUUCUUUUCGAGCUCCGUGAACCUGGGUGUGCUACGGUGCUGUCUCGUUUUGCAGCGAUGGAGUCCCCUUCACAGCUUGGGACGAACGGAAAUCAGGUGGACCGGUCAGUGGUUAAAUGGUCGAGACCAGCAGCUGGGAUGAUUAAAAUUAAUGUGGAUGCCUCUCUUGGUGGGGAUUUGCUUGCUGGUUUCGGUAUGGUGGCUAGGGACGAGGUUGGCGAGAUCUUGGCGGCGGCUUCACACUAUCCGACGGUUGCUACUUCAGCCACGAUGGCAGAGGCGUUCUGUCUCCGUUGGGCCAUGGAGCUUUCUUCACAGUUGGGUUUCAGGAGGGUGCAGUUUGAGAUUGAUUGUCUACAGCUUUUUCAUGCUUGGAAGAAGGGUGUUGGUCGUUCUCCUUUAUUUUCUUUGCUUCAGGAUUGUAAGACUUUUGUUCAGUUGUUCGAUUGUGUUGAGUUUACUUUUACUCGUAGGCAGGGCAAUACUUGUGCUGAUUUUAUGGCUCGGAAUGCCUCUACCCUUUCGAAUAUUGUUUGGGUGGAGGAGGGCCCCCCGGGUUUAUGUAGCCUUUUACAGGCAGAUCUUUUGGCUUCUAUGCCGGUUAUGAUUUAAUAUAUAUUAUGCCACGUUCAAAAAAAAAAGAUUAGGUUAUCGAGUAACUUUAUCAAAUACAAUAAACUUAAUUGCAUUUCUCAUUUUUUUUUUUGGUUAUUGGGAGGGACAUUUCUCAUCUUUUAGUUUACUGGAUUUGUCUCUUUUAGUUUUGAAUUUCUCUACAGUUAAUCCAUCCUUGACAUAUUAAAUUAGAAUACUCAGUCUUGAAUAUUGUACCGCAUGAUCAACCUUUUUUGUCAUUUUUUAGAUAAGCCUUUUUUUUUUUUUUAAUUUUUAGAUAAGCAAUUUUUUUUAUUAAAUAGCACAAGAAGUGACAAAGUAUAACAAAUUAAAGUACAUAACAACUUCUAGCGAAUAGCCAAAACUCCUUGGUCAGCCCCCUACCGCUUAGUGCGCGCUGACCGCGGGGCGAGAUAUUAGUCUCACAGCUGUCGGUUGUGUGAAUACCUUAGUCAAGACCAAAAAAGUACAUAACAACACACCAAAGAGGAAAAAAAAAAAGAGAGGAGAACAUAGCAAGGGGAGAAUCCAUGCCCACAUGGACUUUCACAUUUAUGCAUAAAUUAAAUCCAUUUUGCUACACCUUGUAAGUAAUUUGUUUUUACAUAUAACGAUAGGAACAUGUCCUUGAAUGUUAGCUCAAGUGGUAAGAGCUAAAAGACAUUAGAGUUUGGGAGGGUGAAGGGAGAAAGGUCAAUGAUUCAAACCCUGAGAAUGAUUAAUUUACUAACAUUACUAACAACUAAUAUUUAUCUACAAAAGAAAAUGGUAGGAACAAAAUCACGCAUUGAUUAUGGGUACUAAAAAUACAUAAUAUAAAAUUGUUUAUGUGGGUAUAAUUCUCAACCGUACUUUUCCUUUAUAAAAGUUUAACUUUUUAAAAAUGAAUGUUUAUGCUGUUAAAAAAAACUUUUAAAAUGAAAAGUUAUAUAUGACCUCUCAUAUUUAAAACUACGUAUCAAAACUUGCCACAGACACUGACCAAACUUUUGAAUUUUGAAAAGCAGUUUGUCAUUUCUAACCUCGAUUUUAUGGUUGAAAUUUUUUUAUGAAAAUUUAUAAGCUGAUUAUGGGUACUAAAAAUACAUAAUAUAAAAUUGUUUAUGUGGGUAUAAUUCUCAACCGUACUUUUCCUUUAUAAAAGUUUAACUUUUUAAAAAUGAAUGUUUAUGCUGUUAAAAAAAACUUUUAAAAUGAAAAGUUAUAUAUGACCUCUCAUAUUUAAAACUACGUAUCAAAACUUGCCACAGACACUGACCAAACUUUUGAAUUUUGAAAAGCAGUUUGUCAUUUCUAACCUCGAUUUUAUGGUUGAAAUUUUUUUAUGAAAAUUUAUAAGCAUAACUAUUCGCAAGUGUAAAAUUUGAAAAAUCACCCCUCAAUUUAAGAAAUAAUCAGUUUUAGUCCUUGCCAGGGUCUAGUUUCAGCUCCAACCACAUGCCAUGUAUCUAGUUAAUGAAGUUAAUGUGGACUUUUUAUUGCUUUUCUAUUUAUUUUAGGCAAUUGCAACUUUCGUCUCUUAUCUAGUGAGUUUGUGUUGAGUCCUCAAUUUCCAAAACGAGCAAUUUGGAUCAUAGAUUUUAGUAACAUGAGUAAUUUUGGUCCGUCUAUCUUAAAAAUAUAUAAUAAUUAAUAAUUACAAUAUAUAAUUUAUAGUAUUAAUGUAACAUGCAUAAAUUGUUCUUAUAGAAAAUAAACAUAAAUUAUAAUAUAAAUUUUCCUCUUGUAACCAAAAAAAUAUUAUUAUAUAGUCAAUAGUUUUUUAUUCAUGAUUUUUUUUUCACUUUGAUGCAAAUUUAAUUUAUUCAAACAAUUACUUAAAAGUCUUUGGCUUAAAUAAUUUUUUCACCCCUGUAAUAUACAUCAUUUUUGUUAAUCGUUCCUGCAAUUUUGUUUUUGUUUAACAUCCUUCUAAAAUUCAACAUUUUUUUUAGUCCUUUUUUUCUUUUGAAAGAUUAAAUAUAUCGAUAAAGCACGUCACAAGCUUGGGAACAAAGCUCUCCUAAGUGAGCACUAAAGGAACAACAACAAAAAAGCAGAAAAAAGAAACAAGCUAGGAAAUUAAGAAGAAAGUGUAAAAACUAAAAAGAAACAAGAGGAAUAACUAAAGACAAAGCAGCCUGCCACAAACAGAUCCAUAAUAGCCAGAAACAUGGCACGACUCACAACACCAAGGAAGAAGACAAAAAGCAUGUCAUAGCACAACUACACGGAGGCAAAGAGGAAGCAUCAAGCCAAAGAUAACUAGUAGAGGUGGAGGCGAGAGUAAGCAUAAAAUCAAGCCAGAUUUUCCCAAAGAGGCCCAGCACUAUCAUAACCCAACUUGGCAAGAUAAUCCGCCAUAUAGUUGGAUUCUCUAUAAAUGUGAAUAACUCCAAGGCUCCCCACUUCGCUCAUAGGCCAAUCAAUUGCAUUUAAAUCGUUUAAAAGAGGUCAAGGUCUGUUUGCUUUGCGGUUUGCCCAGCCCACCGCAAGGGAGGAAUCACUUUCAAUGGCCACAUGAGAGAAAGCAAACUCCAUACAAAAUGAUAGAGCCUGGUGUAUGGCUUUAACCUCAGCCUGGUGAGCCCAAAGAACACCAGUAGCCAUGGCAAACAAACCAAUGAUCUCACCAUCAUGUUGUCUUAGCACACCCCAAUGCCACUGAUGCCUGGAGAUCCUUUUGUCGAGCCGUCAACGUUGAAUUUGAGAGAAUUAGUGGAGGGAGGGCAUCACACACUGUUUCUGGCUGGUUACUCCUUCGCCUUACCUUUACUUUCCCAAAAUGAUGAAUGAAAUCGAGGGCUGAGUAAGGACACUCCUUCCACCAAGCUUUUGUCCACCACAUGAUUCUUGUAAGAUGUAAAUCCCAUAUCGACUCGAAAUUGAAAACUUUUUGUUGAAAGACUUGUUCAUUUCGAGCCAACCAAAUAGACCAAACUAUUGCGCACCUGGUAUUAAUUCCCAUAACAUCCUAUUAGAUUUGCAUCGUAGCUCUAGCCAUUCCUCCAAUAAAGCCAAAAAAGACCCUGGAAUGCACCAAACAAUACCGUCCCUGGCCAUCUUUAAGCACCAGAAUUUCCAUGAGGUAAUACAUCCCAAAGCAAGAUGGAAGGCCGACUCAAUCAGCAGCCCACAAGUCUCACAUAAACCACAUACCAUUCCCAAUUAGCACUCCUCUUUUCAUUAAGUUUUCCUUGACCGCCACUUUAGUCUCCAUGAGUUGCCAAACAAAUAGACUUACUUUAGGAGAGAUAAUUUUUCUGCAUUGCUUGGAUAUAAGCCAAGGAGUCCCAUAAAUUAUGAGUUCAGCAACUAAGUAUCCAUUUUUUACCGCAAAAACACCAUUAGCAGCUCUGGUCCAAAUGCUUACCGGCCGUCACAUUUUCCAUCGAACCUAAAUGGAAUUACAGGGGCAUGGGUGAAAUAGUUAUUGUGUUUAUUUAUUUAUACUCUUGCAUUAGUUGUGUUUAUUCGUUUAGGUUGGAUGAAAAAUGUGUCAGCAAGGACUCAAAACAAAAUAUGUAACUUUAGGAGGAUGUUAAAAAAAUAUUUUCUAAAGAUGAAAGAUAAAAAAAUAAUGUAUUUUGCAGGGACAAGUUUAUUAAGCCAAAAUCUUUUUAUUCAAAUAUAAUUCUAUAAAUAUGCACGUUUCAUAUGAUAAACAUAGAAAAUCAAAUCUGAAACCCAAUUUGAUCCAAUGAAAAAAUUCAAUUUUUUUUUUCAAUUUUCAGUUUGAUUCAAUUUCAAUUUAUUUUUCGAUCGGUUUUUUAAUUUUUUAUUGAAUCGGCUAUAAACACUCUUAUGUAAUAUGCACACUUAUCAUCACUGAAAUUACAAUAACCCGCAUCAACCAUCAGAGGUAUAUUUUAUUUUUUUGAAUUUAUAGAGUUUAUCGAUUUUCACCGAUUUUCACCCCUUCAAUUAUGGGUGGUCUAACAUAUAUGCUAGUGAUGUAGAUAUAACUGGAGCGGCCAAAACAGUAAUGUCCAAUUUCCAAUUAGACUAACCAGUUCAAAUAUAUGAUUGUAAUAAUAGCACUGUUUGCGUGCCUUGCUUUUUCUUUUUUUUGGGUGCAUAAACAUUUCGUUUUUUUUUUUGCGUACCUUGCUUUGUUGCAAUAAUUAAUAUUUAAUGAAAAAAGGUAAAAUGUUUUAUACUUUUAUAAAAGAAGCACUACCAAAAAAGAAAAGAAAAAAAGAUAAACGAUUACGUCAAAUAAAAUAAUUUUACACCUUUCUCUGUUUCUGUGUUUAUCUGUAAUUUAGAUUUAUGUAGAAUAAUGAGAGAGCGAGCCAUAUUAGACCACAAUAAAAUUAAUGGACACCACAAAGCAUAAAUAUCCACAUAAAAAUUGGUAUGCUAGUGUUUUAAUUUAAUUUGGUCUUCAAAAUUAAUUAAUAGAAACUGGGACAUUGUUCAGCUAGAUCCACAGAACCCUCCGACAUGAUACGAUUCAUUUUAUUUUCGGACAAAAGUUGACUAAUAUUUUAAGAUUUUAUAGGUUAGUGCUAAUUAUAUCCAUAAGUAUUUUUGAAAUGUUAACCUAAUAUAGAUUUUAUUUCUUACUUUAGUACCAGAUUAAAUAUGAGAUUCAGAAACAUUAAAUGCAUGCUAGUUACGCAAUAAAAUAUUGUUACUACUAAACUUGUAUACUUUUCGCAUAUUUGCAUGUGAAAAAUGUACAUAGAUGCAUGUCACUUAAAAAAAUUAUGCUGUAACCAAUUAAAUUUUUAGAUUAUGAGAAAAUACUUUUUAAUUUAAUUGUUUAAUGUAUUUGGUUAUGGUAAAUCUCAAAUUUCAUUCACAAAGAGAACAGACAACAAAAAAGGGCCUAAACCGUCAUGCACAUCCACAACCCAAACACCAGGCUUAGAAUACGUCAAAAUAACCAUAAAAUCUGUGGCCAUGUCGCUCGGUCUAACAAACGACAAAUGAAAAAAAGAGAAAGAAACAGACAACAACAAAGUCAUAAACAUUAACCGAGCGGAUAUUUCUCGGGCUAUCUCUGGUCUAAAGUUGAAUUGCUCCAAAUCUCAAAUCAUCGCAUGUAACAUUAACCAAGCGGAUGUUUCUUAGGUACCAAAGUUGUUAGAUGACGAGGUGGGUCUCCUCCCUCUAAAUUAUCUUGGAUCCCCACUUAGUGAUAAACUUAAAAGGAAAAGGUUCUGGCAACCUGUGAUUUAGAAGACGAGAGUCAAGCUAGGAUAAUGGAGCUCCAAAUACCUCUCCUUGAGCGAAAGGCUAGUAUUGUUGAAGGUGGUACUUAGUGCUAGCUAUCUCCAUCUAUCACAUAUAUAUAUAUCUUCAUGGCACUAGUAGAGGUGGUUGCGGAGAUGGAGAAAUUAAUGCUGACAUUCUUUUGGGAGCGGUUAGAUGGGGGUCGACACAUUCUAUGGAUAACAUGAGAACAAAUUUGCAAAAGCGCUCAAGUUUGUGGGAUGGGCAUCAGAUUCUUGGGAUGGAAAAAUAAAAUGUUACUUAUACAAUGGGCAUGGAGAUUUGGGUAGGCAAAAAGGGCUUUCUAGGUCGACGAGAGUAAUUUUUGUGAAAUAUAGAUGGAAUGAUCAACUUCUAUUGCUUCAUUUGGGCAUGAAAAACACCAAUUAGUGCUCCAUUCUAUUUCUAGACAUACUCAAGGUAGAGUGGGGAGAUACUGUCAGUGCAAAAGUUUUAAGAGAGGAUUGUUGUUGUAUUAGACAGAGAAAUAAUGUCCGCUUUUGGUUAGACAUGAUGUUGCUUCAUUCUAUAUUCCCUUGACGCAUCUUCAGAAACCAUACCUUCUUUUCUUCUCUAGCACUUACUCGAGCAUGUCUUCCCAGGAAGGUGUUUUAAAAAGAAAACCAUUUCACCUCCACAUCAUGUACUUAUAUGAUCUGUCUGACUUCCUUCCACUAGUGUUCAGCUUCUCCUCGCAGUAACUAGGUAGCGAAUGUCACCUUCUACCAUUAUGGCGCCUGUAAUUCCUCAAAAACCUUCUCUACCUCUCGAAUCCAACGAUCAACCUCCUCAGGAUCAAUCCCUCCAAGAAAUCAAGGAAAUCACGGUGUCUAAAGUUCGUAAGUCAUCUAGCUUGAGUGAAGACAUCCUUACAUUAUUGCUGGCGUCUACUACGCUCACCCUCUUCAGAAUUGGAAUUCACAAUAAUUUGAUCAGUAGUAGCUUGAGCGAUAGCAACAACAUCUUGUUGUAUCGUGGCAUAAGCCAUGUUCUCCAUUCUCAACUUGGCCUGAUUGUGAAUCCAUAGUAUGUAACCUACGCACUUUUUCAAUUAAGAAACAAUUCAAACAAGUUAAGCGGAUUCGCUUCACACAUAAAUAAUGGUCAACUCGAUCUUUUGCAGAGUUCACACAACUUAGCAUAAAAGACCAAUUCCCCAACAACUCCUGAACGACUUGACUAGCUCUAAUAUCUCACAAUGUAACGCUCCAACUUUCGCUGGUCAUAAUAAUAACCCUUUUCGAAAUAAGUAUACUUUUUUCUUUAAGCAGUAUAAAAAGUGCAGGUAAUUUUUUUGUUUUGUUUUAAAAGCAUUUCCAAAACAUGUCAUGGAUACUCCCGAUAAUAAAUAAUCAAAUAUACCUCUGACCUUGAUCAAGACAAGUACCCAAAGGUAACAAUAGAUGACCAUAACAUAUACAACACAAAAAAGAAGAGAUAAUUAGACUUGACAAUGAAAUCUUGUAAGCGAAAAGACUCCAUAAGUAUGAUAUACUCCCUAGAUCCCCACACAAGAGGACCGCAUGAAAGCAAUGUACCAGAACCUACCAUGUCCCUCAAAUACAUACUAAACUGAUCAAAAUCCCAUGUGCUUUUCUCUACAUGGAAAGCACUCUACCCAAGAAGGUGCGCCCUCCAUGCCCCUCAAACCUACGACAGCGAGUCUCCGAAGGAAAUCUCCUCAUCACUCUAGAUACGUCGUGCAUCUAGUCCUCGUCUCUGAACUUGUCACAGUCUGGUGGGGACACUCGAGGUACAUCCACAAAGAAGUAAAUGCAAGGUCAAGUUCGUGUAACAGAUCAUCAUAGGACAAUACCAUACACAACAACAUGCAAUACAAGACAAUUCAAGGAAUCACAUAUAUCUCAUACGACCUUCCAUGCACUUUUGGUCCCCCACGAUUACAAUAGUCAUGAUUCUGGUCCCCAACAAAAUUUUAUUGCAUGGAAGGUCCCCCACGUUAUGCUCCGUUAGCAACUUUAGUCCGGAGCGUCUAUUUCGUUAGUUUUCUAACGUUUCUCUCUCCUAGUGGCCAUUAACUCAUGACAUGGAAAUUUUAAAACCCAGAAAUCUAUCAUCUUCAUCUUCUCCCCAUGAUCUUCAUCUUCUUCUUCAUUGCAUACAACCAAAAACUCAGGAAAAAAAUAAAAAUAAAAAACACACUCACACUCAGACAAGAAGAAAAGUUUUGUAAAUGAAAAUAAAUUUAAAAACUCAUAUCUUCAUCUUCUUCAAACAUGUUCAUCAUCAUCUUCUUUCAUCUUCAACCCUUAAAAUUUAAAAACCCAGAAUUUUUCUCUCCAGCAAUUCUUAACCCAUAAAUUAAACAAUCUAAUUCAUAGAUUAAUUAAAUUUAAUCAGACCUUUACUCCUUCUUUACAGACCUUUGGUCCUCCUUUCCAACUAUUGACAUUUCACUUAUUCAUGGCUUUAUUCAUUUCCUCCACUGCACCGUUAAGUUUUUCAAACAUGUUGGCUACCCUUUAGCUCAACCAUUCACACUAACUAAAUUAUACUCAUUGUUCCAGGAUUCUAAAGAUGAACACAAAACGUGAGAAGGUUAUCCCUGAAAGAACAGCCACAUGGUUGCCCAGAAGAACCAUUACAAAUGCAACAAAAGGAGUUCCAGAUGUCUAUGAGUCACUUCCUCCAGCCUCUGAUUUUUCCACUUUUUUAUCCACCAUUAAAGAAUUCACACCUCAAACCCAAAAACCCCAAAUCCAAAAACCUAGAACCCAAACUCUCUCACGCUCUUUCAACCACGGAACUCACACUCAGAAACCCCUACACAGACUCAGAAACCCCAAAAAAAAAAAAACCCACAACAGAAAGGAAGGAACUUUGAGGGAGAUGGACCUUCAAUUUCAAUGACGAGCUUCAGCUUUGGGGUUUUCUGAGAGAAGAAGGGUAAAGAGACACAGUGGAACAAAUAGGUGCGACUGGAAGGGGGAAAAGUUAGCGCUUUGGGGAAGAAGAUGCAAAGGAACAAAGGGAUCUGCUUCGAGGUAGAGGUUGCUAUGCUUUGAUCUAUGGGAACCCAACCAAGCAAGCUCCGAUCUGCUUCGAUCUAUGGGAACCCAACCCAACAAGCUUUGAUAUGCUUCGAAGGCGCAUCGACCCAUGUAUUUGGACCAAGUGGCACCAGAUUUCAUGCUUCAAGUUUCACCGGUUAUGGCCGCAAGUGACGAAGCUGGCCAGAAAUCCUUAUGGGGUUUUUUCAUCAGCAGUAUCGCUACUUUGCUACUAUAUAUGUUGUUUCUUGAUAGUUCUAAUGUGAGAAAUUAAGGCAAGGCAAUUGAGUAAGUGGGGUUUUGACUUUUGAAUGUUGAGAUGGCUUCCCAUGGAUUUACUGGCCCAAUGCCCAGAUCCAAAUUUGUUAUUGAAUUUUGUUGUUUCAAUUUUUUUUGGUAAUGAUUGCUUCAUUAAUUGUAGAAUUUGUGCUUUUUAAAUUUAUUUUCAUUUACAUAACUUUUCUUCUUGUCCGAGUGUGAGUGUGUUUUUUAUUUUUAUUUUUUUCCUGGGUUUUUGGUUUAAUACAAUGAAGAAGAAGAUGAAGAUCAUGGGGAGAAGAUGAAGAUGGUAGAUGUCUGGGUUUUAAAAUUUCCAUGUCAUGAGUUAAUGGCCACUAGGAGAGAGAAACGUUAGAAAACUAACAUAAUAGACGCUCCGGACUAAAGUUGCUAACGGAGCAUAACGUGGGGGACCUUCCAUGCAAUAAAAUUUUGUUGGGGACCAUAAUCGUGGCUUUUGUAAUCGCGGGGGACCAAAAGUGCAAUUAAGCCUAUUUUUUAGUUAACAAAAAGAUAUUAUCUUCUCAACACAACAGUCAACAUACAUGAUCAAUCACUUAUGGUUAGUUUGUAUGCUAUGCUCAUGCAAUAAAUGCUCCAAAAUGAUCCGGAUAUAAACACAAAAUCCUACCAAUGAAUGUAGGAAAACAUACGGAAAACCUAACCAACUAGCCUAUAGUUAGUGAUCUACCGUAGUUGCCACUUUGGAUAACCAUAUUUACUGAAACAGGACAACCUUUCAGUAACCUUUGCUGAAAAUGUAUUCAUGUAUGUAUGAUGUGAAUCAAAGUUAGCCAGGAAAACGGAAACACCCUCUCAAAAGCUUGUGUUUCUCACUAACAAUAAUCACAUAAAAGAUACCCAUAGGUAUCUAACAGCUACAUAAGCAAAGGUUGCUACAUAAGAAAGAGGUUGCAUUUCACAUCCACACCAUGAUGGUUCACCAUCCUAAGUCACCAAAAACUCAAUUUUAUUUUUUUCUUCUCAACUCCUUGAAUCAGAGACCCUUUUUUGAUACUCUUUUCAUUUUUCAGUAAUUUUUUUUUGCAAACAAGUUUAUUUUGUUUUGUAAAAGAGUUAGGACUUAGAUUUUUUUUCAUUAUGGCAAGUUCAUCCGCAAAUCCUUACAACUUAUAGUACCUUUCGAAAGUCUCUAUAAUUGUAAAAGUGUUAACGGUCAAGUUAUAUUCAUUACGAAAGUUUGUUCGCAAAUCCUUAUCAAGUGCAUUAUUUUUCGAAAGUUUCAGUGAAUGCAUAAAGUAUCCCUCAAUAUUUUUCAAAGAGAUUCUUCACUUCCUCAACAUCGAUCAUUCCAAGCAUCGUUAGAAAACAUUCUACCCGACACUCAUAAAGCCCUCUGUUUUACAAUCAAUAUUCAGUCAAUCAGACAAUCAAAUGUCAUUGUAAACAGAGCAAGUAUAAAUAGAUCAACAUCAUAUUAGGUCACUCAAUCACAAAAUCAAUAAGAAUUCAGGCUUCAAAAUUCAAUCCAACAUCAUAAACAACCAACACAACAUGGAAAUAAACAACAAUCAAUCGUAAAGUAAAAAACUGCAAGGUGCCCUCACCUUAGGCAUUUUUCUUCCAUGUCUCAACUACGAUCUAGUCGUGUCUUAGUUCCUCAUAUCGGCUCACUUUCCUUUAGCUGUCAGCUUCGAUGCAAAGAAGCUCUCGUUGCAUCCUUCACAUACAAGUACUUAACUUAGUCAAAGCAUAAUCAAAGCAUUUCCAUGGAAAAAACAACACUCAAACGUCAAAAGAAACCCUAAAUCAUAAUUACCAUUCUUACAACUUCAGACCCUUGAACCAUAAAUCACAUUUUAUUGAAGUUCAUCACAACCACAACAACAUUCAUGAAUAGUUCUUAGAUAAAAGCUAAGGUUCAAAGCCUCUUAAAUCAAAACUUCAAUAAUUCAUGCAAACUAAAUCCAUCAAUUUAAAGAUCCAUGCAAUAGAGAACUCUUUUCCAAAUACACACAAGAAAACUCGAUCAAUUUCUCAUUUCUCCAAACCAAAGUUUCAUCAAGUUUGCAAAAUUUCACAUUGGCUUAAAUAUGUUGGAGGUCCCUCUAAAAUAGAGGUACUUUGGUUAAGGCCCCUCUUAAAUAUUUUUGUUGGAAUACACCCUUACUUGGAAAAUAAUUGGGAGGUUUAAGCCCCUACCGUUAAUGUCCGUUUAAAAAUGAUGAUGUAGCUAACAUAAGGGCUAAAACCAAAAGUCCCAUUCCAUUUUUUACUAAUAAAAUAUAAUUAUAUAUUUUUUGUGAUUACAAUAAUUAACCCAGAAAACUCUUCUCCUUCCUCAUCUUCUUCCAAUCACACACCCAGCAAAAAUCUUUCUCCUUCACAUUUUCUUCUUUCAAUCCUCACGACCAAACAUCAUAUGAAGCUUAGCCCAUUAACUCAAAGCUAAAGUUUUACCUUUUAAACAGUGGCGGAGGGAGAACUUUGGGGUGGGUGGGGCCAAUGUGAGCCAACAUGACUAUGCUAUUUGAAAAUACAAAGAAAGUGAGGUAAACAAGUAAUUUUAUACUACCCAUUUCACAAAUACCCGAUCUUAACCUCUUCUCUCCAUUUGACCAGAUCUGCUCUUCUCCUUUCUCUUCCACUUGAUCAUCUUGAUCCUAAGGUGGUGGCUUUUGGUGGUUGCUCGUGGUGGUUAGAGUUUUGCUUCACUUUCCUCGAUCUCAUUCUCUCAAGUUUUCUCUUAUCCAUCACAAAAAUGAUUCCGAAAUCCCUCCCUUCCUUCAACAAGUUAAAAUCAUGUGGCUAAAACUUAAUUCAGGUUAAUUAAUUCUAAGUUGGCACAUCAUCCCCUUAAGCUUGUGACAUUUUUUCUCCUCUUGGUGGCGCCACACGCCCCCUGGCUUGACCCACAAGCAAGUGUCUAAAAUAUCUCGCGGCAAAACAACUCGAAUUUCAACUUGAAAUUUUCCGCCAACACGAAAUUUUUUAAAUUUCAAAACUUGAUUCCUUACAUUAAAUGGAAUCGUCCUUUGCCUUACAUAUUUUCAAAAUAGAGUACCGAACAUGCUUGUUUCUCGCCUCAAAGUCUUCUUCUAAACAUUUGUAGAGGCAAGAACUUCUUCGGGAAAAUAAACCUUAUCUGUAUUACUGUCAAAAUUCACUAAAUUAAACAUAGAUUGUCAGAAAGAUUGACCAUAGAAAAGUCUUAUUCCCGCUCUAACCUAGAAAAAGGACUUAUUUAAUAUUUUUACGGUUGAGAACCGUUUUUUGAAUAUUUUAAAAAAUAGCCAAAUUUUCAGGCAUCAUUCCAAAAUUCACUAUUCAAAACAUAAGUGCAUAUAUAUAAUGAGAAUUAAUGUCAAAAUUCAUAGUACUUCUCUUUAUAUCAAUUUUGACUUACGUAAAAAAAUUGAACAUGUUUACGCUGACACGAACUUGAAUACCAUUGAAUGAUUCAAUUUUUACAAAUUACAAACUUAGAGUCUAAAGUUUGUUGUUCUAAACAUCAAAUCAAAUCACACAAUCAGUGCGAUCACUAUACAUGAAAGACAAAAAGUUCAAUUAACUCUUCUUUCAUUAUCUCUAGAACCUUUUAUUUAAGUAUAUGUUAGUGGUGUUUUACUAAAAUACUACUAUGUUAGAAGUUGUCUUGAAUGGAGAGUGCAUGCUUUAACUACCGAGAUGUCCCACAUCGUGCCUUUGAUUACGAAUUCCGCAAUUCAUAUACUUACGAAUUCCUGGUCAUCGGUCAUGUUCCGAUUAAGAUCCAUUGCUGUACUAUGUAUUCAAUCAUAGCGACUGAUUAAGAUCACCAAUUAAGAUAGCAAAAUAAAGCCAUUUGCGACUAACGCUUAGACGACGGCUUAGUGGGAGGAGAUAUAAUAGAUAGAAGUUAAAAAAAGGAAAGAGAAGAACUUUGAAAAACUACCUCUUCUUGAUAAAACAGAUGUUUUGGUACAUAUUUUCAAUUUUGUUAUGCGAAGGCUGAACUAUUGGGCAGACAACUUCCUAACUUUUAUAGGUAAACACUGAAUAACAAUUUUACAUAGUGGUAAUAAAAUCCUGUGGGCAUAUACAAAUGGUGUAAAUACUUCCUCCGUUUCUAUUUAUAUGUCCAAGAAGGAAAAGUUCACACAAAUUAAGAAAAACAAUUAACUAUGUUGAUUUUCAUAAAAAUAUAUUUGUUUUUCUAUAUCACAUUUUAAAAGUAUUUUAUCUUUCUUCAUUUAUUGUUUCUGUGAGGGUAAUGCUCUCUUGAAACUCUAAGUGGACAAUUAAUAAGGAACGGAGGGAAUAUCUAACAAUAUCUCAUUUUUCUUUCUAAGAGCAUCUACAUCUAUUAUACUCACUAAAAUAUCUACAUUUUAUUUUUUACAAUUUCUCAUAGUGUCACAUCAUCUACAUCACUCUACUAACUUUUUACUCCAACCCAACAACUCUUAAAAGUUUCUAUAGUGGAUCUCAUCAUCAACAUCGCAUUUGUAUAUUUUAUUAUUUAUCUUUAAUUAUAUUAAUUGGGAGUGCUUGUAAUAAAUACAAGCUCACUUUUCAAGUCUAGUUUGGAGUAUUUAUUCCCACAUACUCAUCUUUGUCAUGUUUGAAUUGAAUAUGUACUCUAAUGGUAAUAGAUACUCAUAUAAUAUGUAUUUAACAUUAGAUAUAUACUACUAUUGGAGAUCGUCUAAUUCUCUUCAAUAGUAUAUCACAUUUAUAUUUUCUUUUUUUCACUUUGCAUGUUUGUUCAGAGUCUGCACUUUGUAAAUGUUUAUAAAUUAUUUUAUUCACCUUUUUUCUAUUUAUAACUCAAAUUGAAAUUAAAUAUAAGUACAUAAAGUGCUCAAAUAAUAAAAGUUGUGAGACAUAUAAAUUAGAGAGGUGGGAUCUAGGAUUCAUCCUAGUAGGUGCAGUUUAUUUUUCAGAAAAGAAAAAAAAGGGUUUAACCCAAUUACGUAGGAAUAAUAGCCAUCCGUAUAUGGACGAAGCUAUACUGGUCUUUAGUCCCCUUCUUGGUCAAAUGUUGGUUAUUUUAUUUUUUUUCUCCUUAAGUGGCAGGACAAUUCUCCUGAAAGCUAUAUUCAUCAGGGAUAUCCCCGUGGGGGUGUAGUAGCGCAGCACACCCGUUCUUGGUCGCGCAGCCAGCACUUCUAGCUAAGAGUCCGUAUUAAUUUCUAUUUUAGGUCAGUGCAAGAGUCAACUGAAAUUAGAGAGUCAACAGUGGACAAGAGAACCUAUAUAGACAACACUACAACAGAGAUGAGAUGACGGCUGACGGUAGGUUAGAGACAGAGCUUAAAUCAUUGAAGUGUUGGGGUUUAUUGCAAUGUUACUCUCACAUUACUAAUGUUAAUCAAGGACGAAAUAGAUUAAGGAAAAAAUCUUGGAAAUUAAAAGUCUCAUAUUGUCUAGCAUAUUAAAGCUGGAGGAGACUAAUGCUACUUAAUUAUAAAGAUCUCAAGCUCCUUAUCACAACACACAUAAUGUUAGAAGUUCCACAUUGGCUAGAAAUAGAGCAUAGAUAACCUUUAUAAAGGGUAGUGCAAACUUCAACUCUUGAGCUAGCUUUUGUGGUUAAGUAUUGACCUCCCAAUUUCUAAUAUGGUAUUAGAGUCUAUCCUAGAUCCAUUUGUUGUUUGUUGUGGAGACUUCCCAUAUUUGGGGCACCCGUUGUUGUUGAUCCCAUGUUCCAGGGUGUUCAGUCCUGGACGUGAGGGAGUGUGUUAGAAGUCUCACAUUGGCUAGAGAUAGAGCAUAGAUAGCUUUUAUAAGGGGUAGUGCAAACCUCAACUAUUGAACUAGCUUUUGUGGUUGAGUAUAUGCCACCCAAUUUCUAAUACAUAAUACUAAUUGUGUAAUUUAAAUAUUAAUGUAUUAAAGUAAUGAGGUAGUUGAAAUAAAGUUCAUGUAUUGUAAUAACUUUCAGACCAUACUCAUUCUCAGACCAUAAUCUUUCUGUCCACCAUCCAAACAGGUAGAGGACGCUAGAAUGCCCCGAUCAUGAUUGAUGUAUUAUUAUUGGUCACCUAUCUCAAUGUCCAUGUAUGAUAGAGCUACCUACUUAGCUUUGAUUAUUUAAUUUAAAAGCAAAAGGGGAGUGCUAUAAAGGCGUUUAAAAUUAUUGCAUGUCUUGGUGCACUUUACCCACAAAAUUUGGAUAACAAUCUCUUUUGACAUUGACAUGUUUUUAAUGUUCAUGCAAAACUGUAUAAAAAUAAAGCAAAUUGGAUUAUUAUACCACUAAUAUGUUUAUGUCCGAAGAUAAAAGAUGUAGGACAAAGUUAGUAUGACUCGUAUAAUGAUGCAUGACAAAUAAAGCAGAAAUUUCUUUUUAGCAGGACGUGUUUUCAUGCAUGCUCACUCUCUUUGGUGCAUUAUUGAUAUAUUUACGUGAGUAGUAUUGUCACGGUGGUGUAUGACAAAGUGGCUAUUAAAUGUAGAGGAGCACUACUUACCAGUCUUAAGUCUUAACAAAGGAAUUUUUUCUUUUUAAAGCAAAAAUAUUUAUUGAAUUAUAAAUGCAUCGAUAUUUAAGUCGUCUCAACAAAUUAGUUAACGCCUAAAACAAAAUUUCCCAAAAAUUAAAAAUCCUAAUAUUUUUCCAACAAAAGGCCUAAAACGGCAAAUCGCUAACACCGGAUAUUAAUUGACACCUCAAUGACCCAGCUUCCACCACCAAACAAAAUCAGAGCAACGAAAAGCAACCAAGCUUAAAUUUGUUUGAUGCAUUCAUAAUGGGGGAUAGUUGAAAUCUAGGUGUUUCUCAUUUCUUCAAUUCACAUAUGAUAUACACCCUUCUUUGGGAAGGGUAGAAUUUAGAUUGUGAUUCUUCUGAAAAGUGUUCCUCGGAGUUUUGAGUAAGUGGCUGGUUUGAAAGUUAAUUUUAAUUAGCAAAGUUAGUUUGUUUGCUUAUGGUCAAUUGAUGAAGGUUUCUUAAGAAGGGAUGCUACAAUUCUUCACUAUGUAGCAUUGUCACUCCCAUUUGUGCACCUUGGUAUUCCCAUUAGAGUAAUCCAAGACGUACGUCUCUCCUUUUGGGAACCAAUGUUGAGAAAAUUAAGAUAUAAAUUCUCCCUUUUUGAAAAAAAAAUCUACGUCUUUUGGGGGAAGGAUAUGCCUCAUUAAUAAUGUACUCUUGGUUUACCUCUUCUAUCACUUUGCCAAAAAAGGCCUUUUGCAGCGGUUCCAAACCGCUGUAGAUCUCGCCGAUGUAAAAGAUUUUACGGCGAUUCAAACCGCUGUAGAAGUCCCUCUUUACAGCAGUUUACCCAUUGUAACCAUUGUGGAUGGUAGGUCUAUUACAAUGCAUAUUCACCGAACCACUACAUAGUAUAUCUUUUUUUACUUAAUUCAGCCCCUAAAUUAAUAAUAAUUAUAAUUAACCCACUUUACUAUGUUAUUUAUAAAGAAGGUUUAUCUCUUGAUUACAAUAGUAAAUUGGACAACUAUAUAUGUGAUAAAGGAUGUAAGUCAAAAACAGGAUUUGGAAAGGUGGGAGAUUAAUGGGUCAAAUGAGAAAACAUGUGUCGUCAGCAGGUUAAAUGUUAUGGUUUGGGCCGUUUGGAUCCAAUUAGGCAACAUCUUGGACCAGGGCAGGAGUGGGAUAGUAGCAAAAAUGCACCAUGCAGAAAUUGCUUGAUAGGCGUGAUAUCUGGGAUAAUACCUUGGAAUAAAAUGUGUUUUGAAAAUUAAAAUUUGCAAUAUUUUUUAAUUUUUUGUGUACUGAAAAUAAGAAUCCAGUGGUGGACAAAGUCAUUAUACAAAGUCAUUACACUAAGUCAGUAUAAAAUCAUAAUAUUUGAAGUGGUGGUUAAUCCUAAUAUAUACGGUUCUCCUCUUCCUCUAAUAGUUACCAAGUCCAAGGAUGAAUUUAAUUAAUUUGAUUAAGUGCAUAAUUGUUUGCAAGUGUUAUGUUUCUCAAGCAACUAGCUAGUGGUGCCACUAGUGUUCUUUUACUAAGAUAUAAGAAACAAUGGGUCGAUCGCAUUGUUUUUCAUUUUUUAUAAUGUAGUAAAAUAAUAAUGAAAUACUAUAAAAUGUCAAUGUAGAAGUUACAGUUACUACACUCUUACUAGCUAAAACCCAAAAUCACGAAUCAACUACAAUCAAAUUACCCACAAAUUUAUCACUAACUAGUUUGACUUUGGUAGCUCUGGACACAUUUGUCACAAUUUUCAGGCGUGGACAUAACAGUAACUUCAAUGACUUCGGGCUCCGUGGUGUUUUGAUCUAAUGGCACUAGUUGAGUCUUCUUUUUCAUUUCUCUGCUCUUACCCCAUAGCACACCAUAUAAGCCACACACGAUCAGUACUGCUCCAACCACACUAUAUAAUAUACAACGAAACUCAAUUAAUUCAAAUCAUGAACCCAAAAUAAUAAAUAAAAAGCAUAAAUUAAACAUGAUGAACAAAUUAAAUUAAAUUAAAUAUAUUGUGAAACAGAGUUAGACUAUAUAUAUGUAUACCUUCCUAAAUAUAAUUUCUCAUCCAAUAAUAAAUAAGCAGCGAUUGCCACAAGCAAAAGUUGUAGAGGAUUAAAGAUGGAUGCAAAUAGAGGACCUCUCAUCUUCACGCACCACGAAAUUACAAUAACCACCAUACCAGAAGCCACAAUUCCCUGCAGUUAACAUUUUAAUCCCAUAGUCAAAUAUAUGUGCUUCCUUUGAGCUUUUUAAUAUUUUCAUUAACUUCAGAGCAUACCGAAUAAGCCACGGUUAGCAGCCUGAUAUUGUAACCUAACUUCCAUUGGCUCCAAUCUCUAUCAACACAAAGAGCAAUAAUAGUAGAUUGUAUUGCUCCCAUUGUUGACAUCAAAGCUGAGCUUGAGUGAUAGCUUGGAUAUUCUUGGUUCAUCUUAGCCUGUACGUUGUGCAAUUAAAUGUAUUCAUAUAUAAGAUGACUUCAAUCAUAACUAAAUGAUAUACAAGUGCACUACAUUCGAUUCAUAAUUAAGGAAUAAGCUAACCUGAAUGAUUAACCACAAAGAGAAAGAGCAGCAACUUGCUAAGGCGCAUGGAACCCCUAAUAGUUUAUUACUAAAAUCUACAUGAGGCCGCAUCAUAUGCCCACUUUGGUCAUGAUGUGGAUGCAUAAGGUCAAUUUUGGAAGAUAAAAUAUUAAUUUCAAACCCUUUGAGAAAGGUAAUCAACAUUGCACCACUAAUUCCAACAACUGUUCCUAUCACCUUGGCCUUCCCUUCUGCUGCUCCAAAAUUCAGUUUUUCCAAUCUAUAGAAAAAUCAAAAGUAUAACAGUAAAAUGGGCACAAAUUAGUAUUAUAUUUUGAUUAAAAGCAUUGCAAAUUGAGAGUGCAUGUGAAACACUAUCUAUCAUUUAAUAUUAAUUACCUUUGUGCGGUGUAUAGGAGUGCUAAUCUACUCUUUGAUGUCUAUAUUAUCUCAUACAAAACUUAGUUGCUAGUUGCUACAUCGUCAUUAUAUUUAAUUAUCACUUAUAAAACACGGAUUAAUACUUUUUUUAAUCUUUUUAUAAUGGCAUCCUAGUCACUCUUGCCUUUACAAGCCUUCAAUCCUCAUGGCCAGUGGCCACUGAUUGUUUGCAAGUACAUGUUUCUACAACCAAACUAAAUAGUAAUUGAAAAUUCAUUGAUUUAAUUAUUUUCUAACAUCAUAAAAAAAGAUAAAAUAUAUAUCUAAGUGUACGUGUAGGGAGAGUACGUACCCAAAAGAAGUGGCCAUGAUGAAUGUAACGCCUGGAACAAGGUUUAACACCGCCAACAUAAACGUUGCAGAGGUCAAAGCCAAACCAACGGCGUAAAGGUUUAGAAAUAAACUUCCACUGAAAUGGAACAUUGCAUAUACCCAUAUAGUAUAUUGUUAAUUAAUUACCUUAUAACAAGGAUACUUUAUAUAAGGUGGAAAAAGGGUGAAUGAUUUAGGUAGCAUACCCAAACAAUCCACAGAGAAAUGCCAUAAAAAUCACCCUCCAAGUAAUUUUUUGCCUCUUCUUCCUGUGUAGAGAAAAAAUGCAAAACCAUUUUGACCUUGUUAGUCUAAUCUAUAUAAUGCGUGAGUCUCACGUUGAAACGCUAUACAAUGUUUGUCUCUUAUGUUACUAUUUGACAGAAAUCACAUCAGGUCAUUUAGUUGGAUUCAUCUCAAAGAGAAAGUGAGAGAAAGUGAUUUUUUUAGUUAGAAAAACAAAUAUGUAAAAAAGAGAAAGUGAUUAAGAGCAAUACGAAAAGUAAGAGAAAGACCCGAAAAUAGAGACGUGACGUAAAAGGCAAUAGUGGAAUGUAAAAGACAAACCUUAUUAUUUUUACAAAACCAAUAAUAAAAUUCGAGAAUUUUGAAAUAUUGUUCAGGUGUUUUAGACAUGUUGAACACCGGUUGCACUCUUCAAUAUAAAUAAAAUUAAAAAGUUCGACUUACUAGUAGAAAGGCCCACGUCUUUCAUUUUCAAAUCCAUAAUUAGAUAUUUUAAUGGUACUUUAACCUUUAAUCUACUUAUCGCAUGUUUUACUUCUUUCUUGUCUUCUAUCUCUUUCGUUUUAUUUUGGGUUUUCCUAAUUUCUAAAUCUCCUAUUUUUCCUCAAUUUUCCCUUAGAUGUCCAUCUCAAGUUAAUGAAAAACAUAAUCAUAAGAUAAUCCCUUUAAAAACUUUUAUGAUAUAAGAAUUGAUUGUGCUAAAUUAUUUUAUAUAUAUAGAGGAUAUAUGGCUUGUUUGAUUUCUGUUUUAAUUUUGAUGUUUAAAAAAAUUAGAAACAAUUUUUAAAAUUAUAUCAAAAAAAAAAACUUUUUGAAUAACGUGUUUUGCAACCUUAAGAAAACUUUAAUUUAACAACAUUGUGUUUCAGACUCCUCCUUGUACAUUUUCAUUACAUCAUCCUAGAAUAUAAAUUUGAAGAGACCCAUUAUAAGACAAGAUGAAAGAUGGAGUAAAAUAUAUUGUAUAAAUGAACAAUAUAAACUAUAUUUAAAUGUCAAAAUAAAAACUGACCCGUGAAAGUGAAUGUGAGGAAAUGGUUGGAAAAAAACAUUUCCAAAAAAGUACUUUUGCACAAGAAAUCUUUAAUUUUAGGCACACUUUUUCUUUUCCACAAUAAUAUUUUUACCAAAAAUGUUUAGAAAAUGCCCUUCUAACAAAAUAUAUAAUUUUUAAACGACUUCGUAUUCAGUCACUUUUCAAAUACUGACAAUUCGGUAUUUUAGAUUGAGUAAAAACUAAUACUAAUUUUAUCAUCUUUCGAAUGUAUUAUGUAGGGAUUGAGCCCCACUAAAAAAUAAAUUAAGGUUUUUUAACUCUCGAAAAAUGAAAGAAAAAACGAAGUUUAACAUGCUAUAUUGAAUGUACGUUAACAUUUUGAUAUAGAAGUUCAUGAAAUGAAAACACAUUUUUUGUGUAAAAGCAAAAAAAGGUGCAAGGAAAUUAUAAUAAACAACAACCUAUCAAGGAUAAGAGCAAGUGGAACUGUGAAAGCCGAUGCGAAAAUGAGGCGAUAAGCAGUUGCAACUCUCAUGCUCAUUCCAUCAUUUAUGGCGAGCUUGUAGACGAUAUUCGCCGCAGCAUAUGCAAUCUGCGUAAACACCAUUAGUAACGCUGGUUUCAGCCCUUGCAUUAAAUUGCACACACCGUUCAUGGUGCUAGCUAUAACUACAAUGGAGUUUUUCUAUCAAAUAAAAUAAAGAGAGAAGAUGAAGGUGUGUGGAAAUUGUAGCUCAGCAAAGGAGUUUUUAUAGAAUAGGUUGAAAAAGUGUUCCAUCACCCCUUGACUGUUAUCGUACUCUUUUACCUAUAAUUUAAUGUAGAGUUGUAGACAAAUGUUUUUGGGAUGAUGUUUUAGCAGACUUAAAAAGUUUAUGGUAGCGUCGUGUUUCAUAAGUCUAUCUUCUCUACUGACUCAUUUUUAUGAGGGAACAUACUUAUUAUGAAAAUAAUUGCCAACAUUAGUUAUAUUCAUUUCAUUUUUAUUUUCGAAAAUGAUAUACCAUAGCGUGAAACUAAAUAAAAUAUCCAUUAUUCAUCCAAUGGAAUUGGAAGCUAUUGUUGGGUAUUCUCCAAAUAAAAGUCAAAAUAUGGUUUUAUGGGUCGUUUAACAAAACAUGUGCUAAUCAUAAAUGCACAUCACCAAAAGAUUUGCGUGGAGGAUUGUUAAGGCUAGGUUGGGAGCUAACUAGCUAAGCCGGGUUGCUUAUUGAAAGGUUCCGAAGAAUUUAAUAUCAUUGCCAUGCCACUUUGUUAUUUCCAUUUAGUUGGAUUGCUUCGCCGGGGUAUGGCUUUUUUGCUCUUGAAUUUAACUCCUGGUCUCCUGCUGGUUUUUAUCAGUAAAGUAAGGCAAGCAAGUCUAUUUGUUGGCACUUGGUGAUUUUAUCAUCAAAGUGGGCUUUAGGCCCCGUUUGAAAAAACAACUUAAUUAAGCACUCAUGGUUAUAAGCGAUAUAAAUGCUUAUUCAUAAGCUACUUUUAAAAAUUAUUGAAAUGAAUUGAAAAUAAACUAUAUAUAAGUAUAAGCUCAUUUCCAUCAGCUAUCAUGAGUAGCUUAUGAAAAUAAGCUCAAAACAACUUAUGGUCUACCAAAAGGGCUUAUACUAUCAGAUAAGCUCAAAUAAGCUAUUUCAAGUUGGAGUGGUGACGAAUGCAUUGUUGCAAGUGCGUGUGAAAGUAAUUUUUUAAAGAAUACAGUACAAGGUGUUAUGACACCAAGAUAGUUAUCAAAAUGACUCAAUGGAUUAACAAUUGAAAUAAAGCAGGACACACUAACAAAAGAGGGAGGCCGGGAGGGUUUGGUUGAUUUUCUUGCAAUAAAAUUAAAGUCGAAAUUAAGUGAUUUAAGAAUUCAUAAGAGGAAGCGUCAAUCCUUGGACGUGAUUCAUUCAAGUGUAACAAACCGUUAUUGGUCACAAAAAGGUUUAUUUAACUUUUUAUUGAAGAUUUUGAGGCGAAUCCCAACUCAUAAAGAAGUUGGAAGAUCCCGAUUCUCUACCGGACAAUUAUCCAAAUUUUGAUUUGCUCAAGUAAAGAUGGAGUCAUUGCCCCUCAAAGUACAAGAACAAUUUUCUUCUUCCAAAAAGCUAACAACCAAUCGGUGUAUUAGAGAGUUUUGUUCUUUGGAAAACAAAACCACAAUCGCUACAACAUUCCAUCAAUCGGUUAAAGAUUUUUUUACUAAUUUCAACUUGCUUAGAUAAACAAUUAAAACAUAGUAUAAUUUCAAACUAAACCAGUCAUGGGCCAAAAGAAAAUUAUAUUAAAACUACAGAGUGAAAUAACGUAAAUCAACUUGAAUAAAAAUAUCAAAUUUUUUUUUGAAAGUUAAAAGAUAUAUAAAUAAGGAUAAAGUUGAGAAAUAACCCUCUCAACAUGGGUACAAUCAUGAAGCCAACAAAAACCGACAUAAACUUAGCCACUACAGCAAAAAAACACUUACAACAUCUAAGAACACCCGCAAGCAAACCACCCCGAUCAAUUAAAGCGAUUAAAGCACUGAGACUGGUCCCUAUAAAGUCGAAAACAACUUAUCAGGUCGCACGACACCUGCAAUAAGGAACCACCUAUGUCGUUCGCACCACAAGACCCAUCGCACGCCAUAGAGCUGAGACCCAAAAGUAAAUACCCAAAUACAUAAAAAACGAUAAGAACUACAACGCAAAAGCAAAAGACAAGCGAACAAGUGCAUACAACAACUCCAACACUGCUUCCGAACCUUCACUAAGCUCAAGCAUAGUCAUCAAUCAAACUUGAAGAAAACACAAAGCACCACAACGCACCUGAAGCAACUGCCCAAAGCGACAGACGAAACUGCAGCAACAACACCAGCCUAAAACCACGAAACAUCCACUGUGGCGGCGCGCCAAAGACUCCCAAAGAAUAGAACCUCAGGUUUGCAUACAAUAUAAGAUUGACUAGAGUUUAGUGACCCAUGAAACUGGGUAAAAACUCUGAGAAAUAAAAGUGAAAUAAAAUAUCAAUCGAAACUACAAAAUAAUGAUUAAGGAAAAAGGGGAAAAGCAUAAUGUUUAACCUAGACUAAAACACUGGUAUUUAACUAUUUAUAGAGGAACCAGCUCCAAAUCGUGCCUCUUAUGCCCUUCUUCAGCACUUCACAGAUCUAAUUCCAGAAGUAAGCGGCUUUAUAACGCGCAAUCUCCCGAGCUCUUCAUGAAUGUUAUUGUCCCUUAGGUUAGCUUCACUAGCUAGGCUUUAUGUAGAGUCCAAAUCCUAGUGAUGACCAGAGUGUUUUAGUUAUUUUUCUAGUUUAUUUUUAUGAAUUUUAAUACAUUAUUUAGGAUAUAUUGACCAUUUUAAGUCACUUUAAGAUUAUUUCAUGCAUUUUAUUAUUUUUAUUUAGUUUUAGAAUUUUUCUAUAUUUUUAUGCUUUUUAUUAUAUUUAUUUAGGAUUCAAAUCACUUAGAUUUAGAUUGAGUUUUUAUUUUUUUUUUAUUUUUUUUAUCUUGUUUUAUUUCAGGAUUAGAUAUUGAAAAGGAGUGAAAAUAAAGGCAAAACCGUACUUGGCAUCUUUCCCAACGGACGAAACUGCUGCAAUAGCAACAAAUUUCACCUGCUGUUAUAUAGGCAUGUAGCAACACUUAAACCCCCGCAAUAGGUCCAACACAGACUAUAAAACUAGCGUCUAGUUCAGCUCCGCAACGGUGGGUGAGUUGGAGGUCCUCUCUUCCGGAUAGCAUCAUCAUGAAUGUUGAUGGUAGUGACUUGAGGGUGCCCCGUCGUGGUGGGUUUAAAGGCCGGGUGCGCUCGCACCGCUGCGGAGAGUGGAUUGCUGGCUAUUAUGGGCACCUCUCGGAUCCUGAUAUCCUCCACCUGGAGCUGCUUGAUAUUUUUCAUGGUUUAUCCCUGACUAGGAAUCUUGGUGGAGUCGUAGAAUGUCAGUCUGAUUCCCAGAAUGCAGUGGAUUUGGUGCUAGCUGUCUGUGCCUUCGUUACAACAUAUUUACGCGGCGCUCAUAUGAGACAUUAAGGACCUCUGGGGUCAUCCUUGGAGGGUGGAGCUUCGACAUACCCUCAGUGAAGGCAAUGCUUGUGCGGACUUUCUCGUCAAGUAUGGUGCUCGUCAGAAUGAGGGACUGGUCUUUCUUGCCACCCCGCUUGAGGGUAUGGGUAGCCUCCUAAUAGCAAAUGCAAUUGGUAUCUCGUUUUUGAGGCCUUAGUCUUGCUUUUCUUUCUCUUUCUUUUGCUGUUUGUUGCUUUCCCUUUUGCUUUGUACCAAAACAAAGGAUCCCACAUAGUUUGAGAAGUGCAGAGAUAUUUCAAAAUGCUUACAACAUUUAUUGUAUGAUAAUUAAAUUAAUAAUAAAUUCAGUUUUAUAAAUGCAGAGAAUCCUGCGACAAACAUCACAAUGCAAAAUUAAUGCAUGUCUAGUCAUCCUUAAUAAAAAGAGAAGCGUGAUCAUAAAAUUUCUCCAGAUCAGACAAAUCCUUUAUUUUAAGGAAAAAGUGUUAUGAUUAAAGUAAUUAACAAAAUAUCAUGGUCUAGAAACUUUUUCAGCCUCUUUUAAUUGAUUUCUGAAUCAAUCCGUAUAUUCUUUAAUAGGAAAACAUCUAUUUAUAUAGUAGGCUAAAAAUCACUUUUGACCCCUGAUAUUUUAAGUUUAUGCAAAUUCUGUCCCUACUCUAUUUUUAUCGAUGUUUCUACCCCUCAUGUUUUCAAACAGUGCACCGUCUACCCCUCCGUUAGUCAGACGUUGACAAACUAACGGUAUGAGCUGAUUUGACUUUUUUUUUUAAUAUUUUCUAGACAUACCACGUGGAUAUUACAAGUGAAAUUGGAAAAAGGGGGCAUGGGAGAUUCAAACUCAAGACCUGUAAGUAGCAAAACAUGCAUUUAACCAGUUCAGUUACAUACAUAAUUGAUAUACACAUCAAGCAAAUUUAAUUUAUAUCAUUUCCUUGAUCAUCAUCAACUUCAUAUACUCCUCUUCAUCUCUCCAAUCCACUCAGGAACCUCUCUUGAGAAAGCCUAACUGACGGAGGGGUAGAGGGUGCACUGUUUGAAAACAUGAGGGGUAGAAACGUCGACAAAAAUAGAAUAAUGGCAGAAUUUGCACAAACUUGAAACAUCAGGGGCCAAAAAUGCUUUUUAGCCUAUAUAGUACUAUGUAAAAGAGACUUGAAUAGAAAUGAAGACCCCUUAUUCAACUCCUUAAAAAAAAACUCACUAUCCUUCAAGAAGAAAAAUCAAAUUUGCCUAUAUAAAAUAUUAGACACUCAAAAAAUGAAACCUAGGUACGUAAUGUUUUCAUAUAUGAACAAAUAUCAAGAAUUAAUGAUAAAAUCUAAAUUAUUAAUAAAUAAUUUAGGCAAAAUAAUUUUAAAAUUAAAAUUAAAAUUUUCGCAAUAAGCUAUUUGUGUAUUAUUUGAAAAAAAAAUUAUAUAUUUUUUAAUCUAUUAUAUAUUAGUGAAAAUGACUUAAGAAGGAGGAAACUAACUAAAAAAAGAGUGAAAAAAUUUAAAUUAAAAAAAUAAUAUUUUACGUUAUUUAAGUUUUUAGCUUACCAAAAAAAACGUUAUUUAAGUUUUUUUAUAAGAGCUAUUAAAAUUACAAUUUAUUAUAAUUUUGAAAUUUAAAAUUAAUUUUUUUUGUUGAUAAAAGCACACAAAAUAUGUUAUUAUUAUAACUUAUUUGAUAAAAUAUUUUAACUUACAUAUUUAUUUUUUAUAUAAAAAUUAAAUUAAUUAUUAAAACUAAUUAAAUGCUAAUUAACUAUUAAAAUAAAUUAUUAAAUUUGAGUGUAUGUAUUUUUUUACACAAUGAAAACUCUAAAUUGUCUCAAGAUUUUUACUAUAUUUAUAAUUAAAAAUUAUUUUUCAUAUUGCUUUAAAGUAUAAUAAUUUUUAUAAUUUUAAAAAAUAUUGUGAAUAAACUCGUGCAAAGCACGGGUAUUAUACCUAGUUUAAUCUUAUUUUGUACUACUCAUAGCAAAUUAAUAACCUUACUUGGUGGUCAUUGAUUUUAUUUUUUUAUAGGUUAAAGUAUUGUAUUUAAAGGGAGUACAAGGGAUACUUCAACCCUUAAUACAAAAAGAGAAAAAGCAAGGAGACAAGAAGAGAAAACAAAAACUAAACAAACGGAUAGAAAGCUGAGGGUGUAAAUAACAUCCACAAUCCCUCCUAAGCAGGAAACAAAAUGUGGAAACAAACAGAUCGAUAGACUUGGUCAUUGAUGGUAUCAAAUUGUGUAGAACAACUCUUACUUGGGACUCCUACUUCGGGAAAUAAAAAACUUGGUAUCUUCCUUUCAAGCAGUGUCUUUUUCUCAUGUGAAUACUUGGUUCCAUUUACUCCCUACUUUUUCCUGAUGAAACUUUGGUUCCAUUCUAUUACAGCUUGUAUUCAAUCUUGUAAUACUUCAGAUUAAUAUGUGUCCAAUUUCGAUUAAUUGAAUGAAAAUAUUUGCCGUCAAAAGAAAAAUAACCAUAACCUAUUUUUCAUUUUAGUGAGAAGAAAUAAUAGUUUUUUUUAUAAGCCAAGAAAAAAUAACUAAAGGUGUGACACGGAAAAAAAGGUUUUCUCUUCUUUUCUUAAAGCAAAAGUUUUACGGAUGGAAUGGUUGAUUGUACAAACAGAACUCAACAAAGUGAGUAUAAUACCCUCUAAUAUUAUAUAAGAAUACCUAAAAUUUAAAUUGCUUUGGUGCGCCUAAAGAUAUAACUUUAAUAAUGCAACACCUAAUAAUUAAACACCUACCCUGCUCGACGACUUGGUUGAGUCUUGAUGUUGUAGGUGUCGAGCAACUUCAUUGACUUGUCGUUGUUUUUCGACUUGGAUUUUAGGGGUUUAAAGCACCUUUGUGUGCUUGCUAGCUUUAGCUAGCUAGUUAGGUUAUUUUACCCAUGUUGAGAGAGGUUGUUUCUCAACAUUUCUUAAAAUAUAUAUAUAUAUAUAUAUAUAUAUUAUUCUCUUUUCAAAAAAAUAAAAUAAACACAUACCCAUCAAAAAUUGCAAGAAAAACUCCGAGCGACAUUUUUUUUUGAUAAGCCAAGCAAUUGUAUUCAAAUAGCACAAGGGGUGCUAACCCAAGUACAAGAAGAAGAGAAAAUAACAAGAUAUUGUUGUAACAGAUAGCACAUUGACGAGGUUCAAACUCAGAUUAAGCACUAAAUGACCAAUGAUAAGGAGCAUAUGUCGGGGAUUGAGAUGUGGCAAGGAAAAACCAUAUAACCCAACAAAAGAAUAACUCAUCUCGCUAUUGGAGAGGACGCGAAAGUAUAAAAAACCUAAGGGGAACAACACCAGACCACGAUCAGCAGUCGGCCCGAAACUUUACCACCUUCACCGUUGACCUUAAGCAGCAUCCAGAUGCCUAGAACUACCAUAGCGCCCAAAUAGAUCCGUGAUAAUGAACAUCGCCACACUAGCUGAACCGUGUCUUCCGCCAUAACUCCACCUUGCAACACCUCACGAACUGAAUUGGAAGAAUCACCAGAUCUUUCGCUGACACCAAAUUUGCAGAAAGGUGGAGGAGAAUAAACAACAUUCAGCACACUGAAGGCACCAAUCCAAAACGAAACCCAGAAACACGGCGCAGGAAGCAUCAAGAAGAGAGGAGGUGUCGAUGAAGAGAAGAAGAAGCGGACCAUCAAAAAUGGUAUUUAAUGUAUAAGAGUUGAUUGAGAGAUAAAUUUAUAUAAUUCAACUUUAACACCAAACAAUGAACAAGCUACCUUCUUUAGAGCCUAAAUCGAAUAUUCAGACUGGGGUCGAAAGGCGGUAAGAAGCAAGGGAUUACUAAAAGCUUAGUAAGGAAGUCGACAAAUGACUUUAAAAAACCGAUUAUUUUCACAGAUCCGCUAAAAUAAAAAAGCCGAUUUGAGGUGGAACCGGUGAACCACGCGAGCUGGUUACAUGCGUGGGGCAGAGGGCUCGUAGUACCCCCUUUUCUUGAUCCAGCCUUUUCUUCACUUCGGUAGUGAAUCACCUACUAAACCUCAAGAUCAUCAGCGGACGACGCCUUAUUCCGAAAGUCCUCCCUCUUUGCUUUGCCCCAACGAAAGAGUAAGUCAGAUCGCUUUCUCCGCUCCGGGACUUUCCCUUGCAGGGCAUUUUCCUUGGAUGUAUUUUCUGCGAAACGAGCCAUAACAUAAGGGUCGAAUCUACUCUGUCAGGUUAGGUUAGGCUACUACUAAAGAUAGGAUGGAUUGUCAUGAAUGGUAGAUGUAGCGCAUCCCGCUCAUGUCUCGCAAUUUCAUAUAGGAAAGGAGGUUUUUUUAAUGGAUAGUUGUAAUUUCGGAAAAAAUAAAAAAGGGAAUCGCCUUGGCAGCCCGCUCUCACCUAUCCUCUCUUUCAUAAUCCUUAGCCCCCCCCCCCCCCCCGCUCAUGAAACGGCUCUGCUGCAAUGGAUGGCAGAUGGACAAGCAGAAGGUGAAGGUAAUAGAAGAGUGGGGAGUCCCCGUGACUCCAUGAAGAAAAGGUUCGUAUCCUUCGCGGCCACCAAUAGGCCUCAAAAUUGAGGGUUAAGAGAGAAUUCAGCAUAAUACCAUGGAUCUCAUAUAGGCUUUCUGGCCCUGGCCCGUAAAUGGACCUUUAUGAGCUUCUAUAAGAUAUUUUAGACCAUGACCAAUGCCCUGUUGGUCUCCUAUACAUGUGACCGGCUAUCAAGAAAAAAAAUGGAAUGGAAAGGGAUAAAUUCUGGUGUGCAAUGUUAACACAAAAAAGAAUUUUUUGAUUUUGGAUUUAAUAAAUAUUUAUGGAAGAAUGAGUUUUUUUUUUCCGCCUUAGUGUGGAAUAGAAAUAUACCUAUUGAAUUUUCUGAACAAGGAAUGAAAGUGAAAGAAAUAAAGUCUUAACUCCUCGCGUUUUAUUGUAUCGGCUAAAAACCCUGUUAAUUGAUCUCUGAUGGUUGAUGUUGGAGGUUGGCCUGCCUUUGACGAUCUAGUAGCUCUACUCCAACCAAUCCGGAGUCGCACCAACGGAUACUGUCACAGCUAAUUGAUUUAAGGAUAAUUUCCCUUUCUCCAUUUCCGAAGUUGUAAUUGCAUAUGCCCCCUUUUCUUUUCCCUGUAUUGCGAAAAUAGAAAAAAGAAAGGGUGAAAAUAUGUGAUUUCACCCGAUCAAGGUUUUCCUAAAACAAAGACCUAAACACCAAAAGCUUAUUUCCAUUCAUUCAUGCUCCUUGACCUUUAGAGGAAAGCGAGCAAGAUCCCUUCAUCGGAAGGGAGCGGAAGUGGGAAGAAGAGGCUAAAAGUGCGUAACAAGAGAAACUUGCUGGUUGCCGAGGACAAGAGGGAAGAAGCGAGUUAUCAAUAUGUGCGACACCAACUCUUUUGUUUUCACUUCUUUUUCAUGCCGCGGUGAAUAUGUACCCGGGCCCUGUACACACCGCCCGUCACACUCUGGGAAUUGGUUUCGCCCGAAGCAUCAGACCAGUCCGUUCUUCUUUCCUCCUCGGUGAAAGAGGGCAAAGGUGGAACGAAGUCUCCGAAAAAUCCUUUCUUUCUCGUCACCGUGUCCCGCCCCGGUUAUUGGACAAGGACGAGCUCCAUACCCGACAGAGAAAACUUGGUGCGAAUCGGGAGGUCCUUCUUCCGGGACGGAGCCGUAUGACUUGUUUUGUAUCUUGAGUGAUUCGGUUGGUAUGUGUUGAAAAAAUAUAUUUCAACAUUUUACCUGUAAUUGGUUUGGUUCGUUGUUUGGAGCUUAUUUAGAUCAAUCUAAACCGAAUAACAUCCCUACUAAAGUAGAUUAAUCCAGAAGCUGUUUUAGAGGGAGGUCCAGAUGGUAAAACAGAGCUUGAGAACCCGGGAGAUAAACGGAAAACAUCACAGAAGCUCUCCACAAGUGGAGCCAUGAACAGGUCGCAUAGUGGCGGCGGAGGGCCCUCUAAGAGUUCUACUCCGAGGGGGACAAAGUGGCAAAGGAAACGGUCCGGGAACUCAUCUUCUGCUCCGGACCGGUCUGGAACGGGGGCAACACCUCCUCUAAAGAAGAUGAACACAGAGAAUGGAUUGGGAUCGGCGGAGACUGCUAGGCAAUCCCGCCCACCUCAAUGAAGCUCAUAGCUACGAACUGUCGCGGGCUUGGGAACCCAGGGGCAGUUCAAGCCGUCAAGCGGCUAAUUUCUACAGAAGCUCCCGACGUGCUCUUUCUUUCAGAGACACGUAAAUCAGCACAUGAAAUGUUAGCUAUGCGUUAUUCUUUUGGUUUUGCUAAUUUGUUUCCUAUAGAUUGUGCAGGUAGAGGUAAAUCUCGUGCAGGAGGCCUUUGUUUGCUUUGGAAUGAUGAGACAGAGGUUCAGGUGACACAUGGUUCUCUCAAUCAUAUUCUUUGCAUGGCAGUUCACCCAGAGACAGUGACUAGAAUGCAGAUUCUUGCAAUUUAUGGUUUCCCAGAGUCGCAUAAUAAACAUCGCACUUGGGAAUUAAUUCAGCGCUUGAAGCCUCCGGAUACAACACCUUGGAUUUGCUUGGGUGAUUUUAAUGAUGUGUUGGGUCUAGAUGACAAAUUGGGAGGCGACCCAGUUGACGUGCACCAUUUACAGAUGGUUAGCCAAAUAGUGUCAGAUUGUGGUCUUACUGAUGCGGGUUACUCGAGCUACCGUUUCACUUGGUCCAAUAAGCGAAGCAUACCUGCAUCCAUUGAGGAACGUCUUGAUUAUGCUCUCAUUAAUGAGAGUUGGAGGGCCCUUUGGCCGUGUGUGGAGGUCUCUCAUCUUCCUAGACUGAGUUCAGAUCAUAAUCCCAUCCUAGUCUCAUGCGGGCAUCGCAGAACAGAAGUUAGUCGCUCAGGCUCACGGAUGUUCAGAUUUGAAGAGGUGUGGCUACAGGAUGGUGAUGAGUGUGCAGAGAUAGUGGCCGCGAUAUGGUCUGGAGAGCAUGGGGACAUUACUGGAAAAAUUGCUAACAUUGGAGAAGCUCUUCAAGCAUGGGGGAGAGAAAAGUAUGGCGCUAUUCCAAAAAAGGUGUCAGCUAUGAAAACUCGCCUUCAGAAUCUCCAGCAUAGUGUUCAGACAGAGGUGGUGGUAGCUGAGAUGAGGUCUACAGAGGCUGAGCUGGAUAAUUUGUUAAAACAAGAAGAGAUCCUUUGGAGCCAGAGGUCUAGAGCCACUUGGUUGUGCCAUGGGGACCGAAACACAAAAUUUUUCCAUCAGAAAGCGACCCAGCGCAGGAAGAGGAAUAAAAUUGAAGAAUUAGUGGAUGACGGCGGGAGAAAAUGGACGGAUAUCAAUAAUAUUGCUAGGGUUUUAACUGACUAUUUCUCUCAACUUUUCAGCACGUCUAAUCCAACGGAGAUAGAGGGAGCCACUAGUCUCGUGGCAAACCGUAUUACGGAGGGCCAUUUGGCCGUUUUGAACUCCCCCUUUACCAGGGAGGAGGUGGAAGAGGCUAUCUUCCAUAUGCAUCCGACAAAGGCUCCUGGCCUUGAUGGCUUACCGGCGCUUUUCUUUCAGAAAUUUUGGCACAAACUCGGAGAUGAUGUCUCUAAUUUUUGCCUGGAGGUGUUGCACAACAGGAUUUCACCAGGUUCGAUUAAUAAAACUCUUAUUGUUUUGAUUCCUAAAAUUAAAAAAUCAGUUCAUGCAACCCAUUUUAGACCUAUUAGCUUAUGUAACGUUAUUUUUAAAAUUAUUACAAAAACUAUUGCUAAUAGAUUAAAGAUUGUCUUAUCUGAUAUUAUUGUUGGGCCUCAAAGUGCUUUUGUUCCAGGACGUUUAAUUACGGAUAAUGCACUUGUGGCAUAUGAGUGUUUUCACUUGAUGAAAAAGAAAAUGUAUGGCCGUAAUGGCAUGAUGGCUUUAAAGUUGGAUAUGUCCAAGGCCUACGAUAGGGUCGAAUGGUCGUUUCUUCAGAGUGUGCUUCAUCAGAUAGGUUUCCCUUCUGCAUGGGUAUCACUAAUUAUGGCCUGUGUGACGACAGUUCAGUUUCAGGUGAUGCUUAAUGGCAAUCCACAGGUUCCAUUUGAUCCAGGCAGAGGGUUGAGACAAGGGGAUCCCCUCUCCCCUUAUUUAUUUAUACUUUGUGGGGAAGUUUUCUCUGCUCUGAUUCAAAAAGAGAUUGUUGCUUCAUCUCUUCAUGGCAUUAAGAUUGCCCGUUCGCCAUCUGCUCCUAUGAUCUCACAUCUUCUUUUUGCAGAUGACAGUGUAGAUUUUGCUAGAGCCACUAUGGAGGAAGCUCACACUAUUCGUAAGGUCCUUACUUCCUAUGAGCAAGUUUCUGGCCAGGUCAUUAAUUUUGACAAAUCUAUGCUAUCCUGUAGCCGCAAUGUUCCUAGUCCCCGCUUCAAUGAGCUGAAAAUGCUGUUGGGUGUGAAGGCUGUGGAUAGUUAUGACAAAUAUUUGGGUUUACCCACCAUUAUUGGUAAGUCAAAAACCCAAAUUUUUAAUUUUGUCAAAGAAAGAGUUUGGAAGAAGCUCAAAGGGUGGAAGGAACGCUCCCUCUCUAGAGCAGGACGAGAGGUUCUUAUUAAAGCGGUAGCUCAAGCUAUCCCUUCUUAUAUUAUGUCGUGCUUUAUCUUACCUGAUGGUUUAUGUGCACACAUUGAGAGAAUGAUUAGCCGGUUUUACUGGAGUGGGGAUGCUUCCCGACGUGGGAUCCAUUGGCUCAAAUGGAACUCCUUAUGCAGGUCCAAGCUCGACGGUGGGAUUGGCUUCCGUGAUUUCAAAGCUUUCAACACAGCUUUAGUAGCCAAGACUUGGUGGCGUAUUCAGAUGCAGCCAGAGUCUCUUUUGGGCCAAGUUUUUAAGGCCGUGUAUUUUCCCCGGACCACCCUGAGUGCUGCUAAGAAACAUGCGCGACCAAGCUAUGCUUGGACUAGCAUUUCACGCACAGCAUGGGUGUUCAUGGAGGGAGCUCGAUGGAAUGUUGGUGAUGGCAAAGAGAUUGAUAUUUGGAGGGAUAAUUGGCUUCCAAGUGGAAAUCCCCUGAUUUAUCGCAAUGAUUUAGCCCAAACGGGUAAUCUAACUCAUGUUUGUCAUUUGAUGGUUCAUGAUAUGCAGGUCUGGGAUAGGGAUCUCAUCGAGCUAGUCUUUUGGCCACCCACAGCGAAGGAGAUUCUAGACAUCCCGUUACCUUGGAAGCCAUCACCUGAUGCACUAUUUUGGCCUUGGACAAUAGAUGGGGUAUACACAACCAAGACGGGCUACGCUUUUAUUCGUCAACGACGCUUGCAUGAUGAGGCCUCCACCUCGUCCAACAGGGGUCAAAAUCAGCAAGCUAGUUUCUGGAAAGCCGUUUGGAAAGUUCAUGCUCUACCUCGGGUUAAGGAUGUAGUGUGGCGAGCUGUUGUGGGUAUUUUGCCGGUCCGCCAUGCCUUACGGAAGCGCGGGAUUGAGAUUGAAGAUGUGUGCCCCUUCUGCCAGGACAGCGCGGAAACAAGUGCCCAUGUGCUCUUCCAGUGCCCGAUAGUGGCACGUUGGUGGUAUGCAGCUCCCUUGAGCGUGCGGUUUCAACCUGCAGAGGAACCAGCAGAGUUUGUUAAGCAGAUUAUGGCCACUAAGGAUGAUGAGGUAAUUGCUAUGGGUUUCACUCUUAUUUAUGUUAUAUGGGAGCAUAGAAACAAGUCAGUUCAUGACUAUGUUCAGCCCUCCUUGGAUGCGGUUCUGCAACGUUUGGCUGCUCUGCUGUGCUAUGAUGAUGCGGCGGUUCUUCCUCACAUGGCAACCAGCACCGCUGAUCAACAACCAAUGGUGUGGAGAAGACCGGUAGGACAGUUCAUUAAGCUGAACUUUGAUGCUUCUUGGACUUUGGCCACAGGUGCAGGUAUGGGUAUGGUUGCGAGAAACUCAAAUGGUGAGGUCAUGGCUGCAGCUACUAAUGGUCCUGUAGGCGCUCCUUCACCUCUUGUUGCAGAGGCUAUGGCUUUCAGAUGGUGUAUUUCUUUGGCUCGAGAUCUUGGUUUUUUCCGGGUGGUGCUCGAAACGGAUUGCUUGCAACUGUUUGAGGCUUGGUAGCAGAACAAGCGUGGUGCUUCUUAUUUGUUUUCUGUUUUAAAUGACUGUAGGGCAAUGGUCUCAUUUUUUAUUAGCUUUCAUUUAUCUUUUGUUCGCCGCUCUGGCAACGCAGUAGCUGAUUCUUUGGCUAAGAGCUCCUCAAAAUUUUCCAACGUUGUUUGGAUUGAGGAAGUCCCGCCAGAGCUUGUCCUUUUGGUGUCUUCAGAUGUUUUAGCCUCUAUGGCGCUUUAAGUUUUAAUAUAUUAUCCACUUUCAAAAAAAAAAGUCGGAUUCAUUAAGCAGAAAAUUAAAUAUGUAUUGGUUUUAGCCUUUCAGGAGAUAAGGUUGGCUAAAAAAUAGAUCAAGUACAAGUUUGAUGCACCAAAUUAAAGCCGCCAGAUGUUUGUAAAUCAUCACAUGGGCAACUACCACGUCAGUGCUUACGUCACAAAAGCGUUUGCAUAACAUUUAAACUGAUAAGUGUUUUUAAAAAAAUUGUUCAUUCUAAUAAUAAAAAGAACUUAUAAAAUAGUGCAAGUAAGCAUAGUAGGAGCACCACUACUAAAAAAAUUUCAAAAGGGAAAAGAUAUUAUUUAUUAAUAUUCUUGAGUACAAGAUUUUAUGCAUCCAACUAACUGAAAAUUUAUUUUUCAAGCCUUCAAAAUUUUAGAACUGAUCAGCAACCGAAAGAAGAACAUAUAAUUAGAGAAACUAAUGCUAAUGUAUUCAUGUAAUUAUAUAUUAAAAUAACCCUGCUUUCUGAUUAAAAUUCAGUCAUUGAUUUUUCAUGACAACAAAAUAUAUAAUCAUAUCAAAAUAACAGUGCUUAUGGGAACAAACUCUUCCAGUGAGGGUGUCAAUUACACAUACAAUCCUAAACAUCAAUACUAGUUUUAUAGCAAAAGCAACACAACCGCCAAAGUCUGGAAGUAACAUAAUGCGACCCUAACACAAAAACCAUCACUAAACAAAAAAAACUAAACAAAGCAGGACUUAAACAACCAUGAAUCAAAGCAACAUGGCCUUCGAGGACAGCACCGGAUGCAAAAAACCACACACCAAGCCUUGAGACUCGAUCAAGUACCAUAAAAUCAAGACAACAUCAAACCACAAGCUACUGCGUUCCAUUAGAACAUGUUCACCUGGUGAAUUUUUUUUCAUCGGAAACAAACUAAAUUAACUUAAAUCAAAACAUAGGUGACUUUCUUUUAUAGUUAGAAGAUUGUAAGUCUAGUUUGGACUUUUACUUGCUAUACGAUAAGAAAUUGUAGAAUUAGGAAAAUGCUAAUUUAGAUGAUGAGUUCGUUUCAUAAGAAUAUUUGAGUAGUUGGAUAUUAGGCAUUUGACAUUUUUUGUUAGUUUCGAAGUCUCGCCAUGGAAAUCAACCUUCAAGGUUGCAAACUUGCAUGUUAGUUUAUAUUAUGUUGAUUUUUCAAAUCCUUGAUUGUUUCUUCAUCGAACCUUUCAAACAAGAGACUAAGGUUCUUCUCAAUCUCUCAAACCUUUUCUCAAUCUCCCUUCGUCUUUCUCAGGGAUGUUUGGUGCUCUGCACAUAAUUGUGUUUUUAGCUCACAUGAAAUACUCUUUACUGUAUUCCAAUAUGUCUUCUCGAGUUGUUGUAUACUCCUGAUCUAGGAUGACUCUUUCAAUUGUUAUGUUUCUCUUCCCCUAUUUCACGUGAAGACCCUUGAUUGAAUAAUGAUAUUAUACUCUACAUCUUAUGUUGAAAAGUCUUACAUUGACUAGAGAUAUAUACGGCCUAGAUGACCCUUAUAUAUGGGAAGAUAACCCUCCACUCUUAAGCUAGCUUUUAAGGUUGAGUUAGGCUUCUCAAAUUCUAAUAUCUUACUUAUAUUGUUCACAAUGAUGCCUUUCUUUCUUUCUUUUUUGGUCAAAGCAAUGAUGCCUUUCUUAAGACCCUUAUGGCCCUCAUUUCCAAGAAGCCCGUUAGCAAGAAGCCCAAACUUUGAAUCAUUAUGAACCACAGGCCCAUAUUUAAGUUUACCUCCAUAGACUUCUUCCAAUCAGUUAAAAAUCUCCAUAUGAGGUAUUUCCUUUGCCCUAUUACCUUGGCCCAUUGAACUCCGUACAAAAUCUUCAUUGUCUUCGAUAUGAUGCGAGCCAGGUGAUUAGCUUCUCUUGUUGGAUUUCAACCAUUGACCAAAAAAAAAAAACAUUUAGGAAACUCACAUUUCAUAAAUCAUUAUGUGGUCAGGGACAUCACUACCAUAUCUCGGAUUAGUUACAUAGACUCAUUUUCACCUUGGAGACUGAUGGCCAAAGACAAAAAAAAAUUAUUGAGCUGCGAAAUUUUAUUUUGCUCAGUUAACUAAUAUUGGAGCCUCACAAUCUGCUAAUUAUCAACCUUAAGAAAGAAUAAAAUGGUUUAAAACAUCAGAUAAGGAUCCACAUAGUUUGAAAAACUGCAGAGACACUAAAUGUUUAAAACAUUUUUAUAUGAUGAUAAAAUUAAUAAAAAGUUCAGUUUAAAAAAUUCCAACAGUUGGACUGGAGAAUUCUUUAUACCAGAAAUACAGAGAAUCCCGGUGCGAUGAACAUCAAUGUAAAAUGCAUGUCUAGUCAUCCAAAUCCCGGUGCAAUGAACAUCAAUGCAAAAUGCACGUCUAGUCAUCCUUGUCAUCAUUUUUAAUGGAUGACUAGACGUGCAUUUUGCAUUGAUGUAUUUCUCAUCUUAAUAAAAAAAAGGUGAUUAUGAAAAAGCUCCAAAUAAAUCCUUUAUUUUAAAGAAAAAAGUAGUAUGACUAAAGUGGUAAAGUUUAGGUUGUUAGUUCAUUUGAUUAGAGGUGAUUGACCAUCGUUGAUUGAUCACCAGAUACACCUAUGAAAUCCCAGAUUUAUCAAUUGCAUCAACCCACACCAUCCAUGAAAAGGAACAAUGUAGCAGCAAGUGGUUAGAGGACUCUGCAAUGAACUGCACGAGCUACAGAAAAUUCCCUCAUCUAAAUUCACACCUCUAGCCACCAAUUUAACUUCUUAAAAAAUUCUCUUUUCCUGCAAGGAACAGAAAGAUUUUACUAAAAAAUUGCCAUUUAAUUAAAUCCAUCCAGAGCACCUUUUAAGGAUAAUACCUCUUCUACAUCAUUAUUCGCAAAAAUCAGGAUAUCGUCCGUGAAUUGCAAGUAACUGAUCACUAGAACCUUAACCAUAGUCACUCUUGCUAAAAUUCAAUAGUUCUACACCUAAACAAUUUUCAAUUGAAUAAGGAUUGAAUUUCUCUUUAUUUAUAUUAUUACAAAAAUUAACUCACAUCUGUCUAGCCCUUAAUUUAUAAGGUAAUCUAGGAAAAUAAAUAAAAAUAAAGUAAAAAGAAUUUACAAAUGCAAGAUAAACUAUCUUUAUACGCUUAACCAACACUUGCACGAAUGUUUAUGCCAUGACUUCAAAUAAGUUAUUCAAAACUCACAAGAUUAAAUUUUAGGAUUUAAGCAGCAGGUUUAUGCAGAUUUUGUUCAAUUCCAAAAGGUGCUGAUAGUCCUGAGCCUUCUGUAUCCUCUCUAGAGAUUUCCCCUGAAGCCAUUACAUCUUGUGCCCCCUCAUUGUCAAUGCCAUUUGGUUGAUGCUCACUUUUAGAAGAUUCAUCGUGAAACUUUGAAACAACAUUAUUAUUGCUCUUACUAUUGGUGCAGCUAUUGUUGCUGGUGUCACAAUUGCCAUGAUGUAUGGAAACAACAUCAGUAGCUUCAACUUCUUGGGUAUUUUCUGACACCAAGUCCUUCCUCUUUUUUGUUUCUUUACUCUUACCCCAAAGCACCAUGUACAAGCCACACACAAUUAGCACUCCUCCGAUAACACUAUAACAUGUUUCAAAAAAAUAACAAGAGUGAGUCAAACAUAUUGUACUUUCUCAAUUGCAAUAUGGGGCAUUCUACUAUAUACCACAAAAUAAAUGGUACAUCAAUCAAUACACUACUUGUAACUUAUUGAGUUUAGAAUGCGUUUGAGAAAACGGUUUAACAAUACGCUUAUUCAUAAACUAAUUUAAAAAAUUUACUAAAAUAAGUUGAAAAUAUGUUAUGAAUAAACAUAGAUUUUUAUUCAUUAGCUAUUUUGAACACCUUAUGAAAAUAAGCUAAAACAACUUUUAUGUAGGUCAUAAGCUCUCUAAAAAGCAUAUUAAUGUAUACCUUCCUAAGUAUAUCUUCUCAUUCAAAACCAGGGAACUACCAAUAGCCACAAUAAUAAGGGUAAGAGGGUUGAAAACAGAUGCAAACAUGGGACCUCUCACCCGUACACACCAUGCAGUGGCAACAUACACCACUCCAGAGGACAUAAUUCCCUGCAAAAGUUACAUGUUUCAAUAUCAUUGUUGCAUAAUAUUAGUUCACCCAUCCAACCACAAUGUAAUAGAACAAUUAGCAUUUUUUUGAAAACAAAAAUUAAUUUUAUAAUAUUCAUAAAGUUUAGAACAAAAGUCUCUCAAGUGAGCAACGAAACCAACUGAAACCUACCAGGGCAGCACAUAAACAUGGAAUUGAGAAAAGGACUAAAAUGAUCACCAUACCGAGUAAGUUGCGGUUAGAAGCCUAAGACUCCAACCUAACUUCCAUUGGCUCCAAUCCUUCUCAACCCAAAGGGCGAAGACAGUACAUUGUAUUGCCGCCAUUAAGGUCAUCAAGGCCGUGCUUGUGUAUUGUCUUGGAUAUUCUUUAGCAAUCUUAGCCUGUGCGUUAUAGGGUGGUCAAUAGUGAAAACAAGAAUAUCGUUACAGCCUGAUCAUGUGAUAAGUUAGAUAGAAGUGUGUAAUGAAUUUACCUGGAUGAUGAGCCAGAAUGAAAAGCUUAUGCAGCUUCCAAUACCACAUAAAACACCGAUUGUUUUUGUUCUAGUGUCAACAUUCUGUGUUCCUCCGUGGCCAUUUUGAUUUUGAUGCAAAAGAUUAAUGUGGGAGGUCCAAAUGUGAAUUUCUGCCCCUUUGAAAAAUGUCAGCAGCAUUGAUCCACCAAUUCCAACUAUUGUUCCCAACAACUUCACCUGCCCUGCUGCUCUUCCUAUGUUUAACUGUUCGAAGCUGAAAAUUUCAAAAGAACUUUAGUACUUAUCAAUCUUUCUUGAGUGAAUGUCAUCUAGGUUCCAGAAACAUAUUGUCAAUGGCAAGUUAGUGCCUGUCUUGCUUGAGUGAAUGUCAACUUGGUUCCAAAAACAUUUUGUUAGUACCUAUAAGAAGAAAAUACAUUCAAAAGUUCAAUCUACAUAAAAUGCCAAUCAAAUUAAUUAAUUAAAACGUCAAUUAGAAACUAAUUUGACGGACUUGAGUAGUUAUCAAUUUUCUGAAGUAUAUGCUCAGUUUUGUGUUUGAAAUUUUUGCAGUUGACAUAUUGAUCAACUAGAACAUCAGUCAAGUUAGCCGAUGUUGGGACUAAUUUGACUGAUAUUUUACAUGUUCAAAGACUUUUGAAUGCAUUAUUUUUUAGGAACUAACUUUUCAAGCACAAAAACUCUUGGGAACCAAGUUAACGCUUCACUCAUUUUUCUUAAUUAUAAAAGAAGAUAAAAAAAGAUUGAAGUACUGUAAAAUGUGAAUAGGUACCCGAAAAAGAUGCCCAACAUAAAUGUGAUUCCAGGAACGAGAUUAUAAAUGGCAGUAGCAAAUGUUGCUGAUAUCAGAGAGAUAGCAUUGACAAAGAGGUUUUGGAAUAGAGUCCCUCUGUUUAUAUCAUUAUUAAACAUAAACCAAUGUUCAAAAUCACUACAAAUAAACAAUAUGUACAAUACAAUUUAGCAAUACAUGCCCAAUAAUUAAAAGAAAUACCUCUCAGGAAAAGAGAUGAAGACUGAAGAGUUCAGAUCAGACAUACCCAAAUAGGCCGGAAAGAAAUGUCAUGAAAAGCACCCUCCAUGUCAGCUUUGGCCUGUUCUUUCUGCUUCAAAUUAAAAAAAAAAGAACAGAAAAAUUAAAUUAGAGGACAAAACACUAUGCAUGUUCAUUUUAGCCCUUAAUAUGCGAGCCCAACACAAGUGCAUAUCCAUGAUUUUAUUGUUGGAGACACAAAUAAAAUGUGGAAAAAUCUACAAAGUUUAUAGGGAAUGAACUGAGAAUAAUUUUUUUUUUAUACAAAAAUCAUAUAAUUGAAAGGGCUUUUAUCAGAUCUCUGAAUUAAGAUAUAUUUCUACAUAGUUUAAAAUGUGUUUGCAAGUUUAUAGGGGAGAGAAGGGGAGGCUUUGAGGGGAAAACAGAUGGGAAGACAAUGAAGGGAUUGUGUGCAAAACUAGAGAAGCAAUUAACAGGGGUUAUGAAUAAAUGAACCUUUCAAAAAUAAGAGAAAGAAGAAUAGUGCAAGCAGCACCGAACAUGAGGCGAUAGGCAGUGAUUACACUAACGCUCAUUCCAUCGUUUAAGACAACCUUGUAGAGAACAUUUGCAGAAGCAUAAACAAUCUGAACCGCCACCAUUAGCAGAACAGGGCUCAACCCUUGCAACCCUACCCAUAAACCUUUCAUUUUGCUUGCUGUUGUGAAUUGUCUUAGACAGAUUUAAGAAGGGAACAGAGAAAAUAAUUAAGACAUACGGAAAUUCUAUAGAACAAUGUACAAAGUGGAUUUAUAUUUAUUUGUGCAUAACAUGCUCUAUGAUAAAUGUACUGGAAUUGGUUCCAAGUUGAAAAAACAAAGCAUGCAUUUAUUUUAGCCUUAAAUUCCGGUUUACUCUAGUACAGAGCAUUUGACCCAGGUUGGACAUCGUGAUCGUGUAGCUGAAAACAGGAGAGUGCGUUGUACCUGUGUAGUCUAUAAAUGUUUUUUGAACGCUAGUCUAUAAAUGUUAGGAGAAAAUUAAUACAAUUAAAUACCGAUUUUGUCUAUAUAGGGUAUAUAUAUAUAUAUAUAUAUAUAUUAAGAGUGAUAAAUAAUCUAUUCCCAAUUAAUUAUACUACAAAAGAAAAUUUCACUUGACAUAUAUGACAAUAUGAAUUAAUUAUAAUUGACUUUUGUAUCAUAUUCAUUGUACUAAAUAAUAUAUUAAUUUUAAAACCUCUCAUACAUAUCUUUUUUUAAAGAUAUAUUCUCUUGCCUACCAUGAGAAGGUUGUUCUCAUGAUCGUUCUUAUUAAUAUCAUUUCUAUUUUCUCAAAAAAAAGGAUACAUAUCCUUAUCCAAAGAAAAUUGUUUAUACAUAUUACUAGUAUUAAUCUCGCGCCAUACACGGAUAGAAUAAGAGUGCUUUGUCGGCAUACAUCAAACAUUUUCAUAUUUUCUCUCUCUUUUUCUCCCUUUUUUCUUUUUUAAAUACAUAUAUCACUUAUUUAAGUUUUUUUUUCUAAUUAUAGUUACAUUCUAAUUUCUCUAGUUUUUUCUUCUAAUUUGUUAUGUUUUGAAUCAAAAUAUCAAAAACAUUUUUAUCUUCCAGAUAUUUAUAUCCAGAUAUAUAUAUAUAUAUAUAUGAAAACAUAAAAUACAAAAAUUUUGAGUUAACUUCCAAAUCAAUCAUUUUUUUUGUACAUCGAAAAGAUAAAUUGCACCCUCCUGGGAUGGAACCCUGGACCUCCCACUGCACGCCCAACUCAUAUGUUCCCUAACUCUUAACACUUGAACUAUUAUUCAGGAAGUCUAAAUCAAUUCUUUAAAACUUUUUGAUAUCAAAUUCUCUAAGGCAUAUAUAUUUGAUAUCAUUGUCAAGAUAGGAUAUUACAUUCAAUUUUUUUUUUUUAUAUAAAAAAUAACCAUAAUCAUUAAAAAAAAUUCUUUAUCAGCAUACAUCUUAAUGGUAGAAAAGUUACAAUUGACUUUUAUUAAUUAUUCUAAUGUCAUUAAAAACCAAUAAAUAUCAAAUUAAUGCAAUAGUUAUUUUCGAAAAAAGUAACAAUUGACUUUUGUUAAUUAUUCUAAUGUUAUUAAUAAUUAUUAAAUGUAAAAUUAAUACAUUAAUUAUUUUUAAAAACAUAUAAUUAUUUAAUACUUAAAUUAUCAAAAAUAUCAACAUCAUCUACAUACUAAUUAGGGCCCGUUUGAUAUGUUGUAUAGUAUUAGAAUUGAUAGUAUAAGGUCUAAUUGUAUUAGACCUGAUAUGAUAAGGCCUGAUAAAAUUUUAAUACUAUACAACGUUUGGUCAUACAUUGUAUAAUUUGGUAGCAACAGUAGUUGUGGUGAGAGUGAUGGUAUUUGUAACGCCCCGAAUUUCGGGUGUCACUUUAGUAACCUAUCAAAGUAAAUAUGCAAUAUUUUCCAAACGAAUGUAUAAACACGAGUAUUAUUUUUUUUUUCUUUUCGAAGUGUAUUUCCAAAACAUGUCAUGCAUACUCUCAACUACAAAGCCUAACCAAUAGAAACAACUCAACAAAACUAUUAUGCAAUGACACCAUGAAUCCGACAUACUCCCUACGAUCUCCACAUCGGGAAACCGCAGGAAAGCAAUGCAUCGGAACCUACCCGAAACCUCAAAUAUAAAUUCCUAAAAUCUUUAUGCAAGCUUAAACCAAUAACAGUAAGCUCUCUAACCCAAGGAUCUAGCCUUAAACCAGACUCUACUCGUCGAGUACUCCACUAUCCUUCAAGUCCUCAUCUCUACUUGCACAAAGGUUAAGCUCCUUCGAAGAUUCUUCGUCGCCUAAUAGCGUUAAGCGCCCAAACAACAAAUAACAAACAGAAAGGGUUAACUCCAUGCAAUUACCACGUAGAAAAGAGAAAAACAUGUUAUUCAAAUUUAAGUGCAUAUCAUGGCACAUAAACUAGCAACUUAUUUCAAGAUAAAUGACAACAUAUAUCCAACAACAUGAAAUCAAAUCAUAUAUCAGCAAAAUCAACGAUUUGAAUUUAACUCAGAUAUCAACAACUUAGCAACAUAGAUACGACAAACAGAUAAGCUAACAAUAUAAUCAAAGAUAGAUAUCAAUAGAAGCAACAACAUAGAAUUAAACCAGAUAUAAACAACCUCAACAACAUAGAAUCAACUCAUAUAUAUGACAAUAACCUCAAAUCAGAUAUCAACAACCUUAAAAAUAUACAUCAAAUCAAAUAUCAACAAUCAUCAACAAUAUAACAUCAAAUUAGAUAUCAACAACCUUAAAAAUAUAACAUCAAAUCGGAUAUCAACAACUUCAACAAUAUACAUCAAAUCAAAUAUCAAUAACCUCAACAAUAUAACAUCAAAUCAGCUAUCAACCAAAACAUCAGAAGCAAAUAUUAUUGCCCUAUAAUGCAACUAUAUGCUGCAACAAAAAUGGAUCGAUCAAUAAUGUCUCGCAAGACGGGACAGAGCGAGGAACAGACUCCCCUGAACUAUCACCAAAUAACGCCCAUGAAAGACGGGACAAACGGAGAACGGACUCCCCUGAAUGCCACUUAAUAACGCCCAUGAAAGACGGGACAGUCAUGUGAAAAUAUCCACUCCACUGCCACUUAAUAACGCCCAUGAAAGACGGGACAGACGGAGAACGGACUCCCCUGAAUGUCACUUUAUAACGCCUCGAAAGACGGGACAAUCCCGUGGGACAAACCCACCUCAUCGCCACUUCAAGCAAACCAAAACAUCUCAUCCAACUCAGUAGUCACUCAAACAACAAUCCCAAAUUCCCUAAUCAAAUCAAGAUAAUCACAUGUUAUUCAUAUUAUCGACAAACAUAAAUCAAUUCAAUGCAUACCAGAUCAGUUCAAUGACAGAAACCAGUAAACGACCGAAGCCUCUCAGAAAACGGAGACACACGUCUCAAUAAGUUCACUCGGCCGAAGCCUUCAGAAAACAUUUAGCACAAGCCUCAGAAAUAGUCAACAUAAGCAAGCAUACAACAUUGAAAGCAUACCAACAUUUCAAUCAAUUGCCAAUCAAGUUUAAACAAACUUCAUCUCAAACGCAUGCAGUGCGAUAAAAGCAUGCAAGACUCAAAGACACUCAAAAAAUGAGUUACCCUUACCUUAGCCAAUUUCUCCAUCCAAGCUCAACAUCCCAGUCCAAUCCAAAAUAAAGCUCCCGACCCAGCAAGUUCCCCGGGCGUCCUCCUCAGUUGUGAAACCUCACCAAUUGCUCCAAAAUCUCUUUCCUCAGCUCAACUCGUUCCAAACCUUAAGCAAAGUAUCAUUGCUUAGUCGCUAAGAAACAAAACAACUAAUAACACUAUCAAAACCCGAAAAGAAGCUUCGAAGCUCUAGAGUUCGACAUUUAGGCACGAAUGGACAAUAAGACAGGUUUUCGCUGAAAUGCGCAUAACUCGAGCUACAGAACUCGGAAUGACACGAAACCAACGGAAAAAUUUCGACAAUUGAAAGAGCUACGCAAUGGCUCAGGUCAUAGAGACCCAAAAAUUAUUUUUGGACACGGUACCCUAACAAACAGGUUUCGGCCACUUUAGAAAAUAGGGUUUCCGAACUUUUUCUUCGAUCUAAAUCAAUUCCUAGGUAUUCUUAGGCGAUAUCUAGGCCAGGGAAACUCUCAGAAAAAUUAUCGGGUCGAAAACUGUCGCAGGGGUAUUUUGGUCAAUAUUUUUAGCUCGGAAACUCAAAAUCAGAAUUUCGAAAAAUAAAUUAGAUGGGGUCGAUACCAACGACGAUUAUGACGACUAAUCCUACUGAUGCUAAGCUCAGUCGAGAUUUUUUGACUCAAAAAGCGGAACCUCAGCAUAAAAUGGGUUUUUAGUCAGUUUUUCAGAUCUACGGCGACUCGGUGAAAAUCCGAACGAUCCAACAGUGAUUAUAGCAUGUUGGGUUGCAGUAGAAGAUAGUUGGAAAGAAAAAUCGAGGUAAUCAGACAUUUUUACAAAAAGUUCUAAACUUUGAGCACAGAAAUAGCUAGAAUAAGCCGACAGAAAGCAGAAAUAGAAGUAAGAUUAAGCAUCCUUACCUCUGUGUCUACACGUAGCUUCUGAAAUAAGGACGAUCGGGCAAGAAUCGGAAAAAGCUCUGCACCCCUCUCUUUCUCUCUCUAACUCUCGGCCACUUUGGGAGAAAAUGAGAUAUUUUCUCACUUUUUCCCUUUUUAUAGUAGAGGGGAAAAUCCGAAAAAUCGAUAUUUUGCGGUUCCGGUCGUUUUGGUACUUCCGUCUGCUGAUAAAAAUUGAGUUUUCGGCGACAGAAUGUCGAAACUCAAAUCAAGGUUCAUUUAAUUGAGGAAAACGUCUCAAAGACGGUGUGAGUCGAUUUAUGCUGAAAAACUACUUUUUGCAGUUGACGUCGGAUGAGGAAACUUCCUUCAGGAAAAAGAUCAAAAACGUCGAAAGAAAUGAGGCAACGCGGAUGGAAACUUCGCUAGAAGCUCCGAAUAGAAAAACCCUUCAUUCAAGGUCUUAGUUAAAGUUCCCGAGAUGUUAAAGUCUGGCUUCGGCGGACUUCCGGGAAGCGAAACCUAACAAGCGUAUAGUCCAGGGUUUCGUAUCGGAAAGCUAGUCAUGGGAAAAAUACUCAGAGGUUCUUAUUCUCUCUUUAAUUCUAAAAUUCUCUUAAACAAUGCUCUAGGAGCGGAUAUAGCCUUUUUCGGACACUCUCGACCUUAGUCGGGUGCGAAUAUGGCUUGUGCCAUCAAUCAAAAUGACUAAAGUGUCAUCCUUAAACAUACUGCGAACUUUCGUCUUCAUAACGCUAAUCCAAACAUUAAACACGAGUCAAGUUCCUCUCACGCUGACACAAAAUCCUAUGCGUGAGUUGGAAAUUAAUUAUUUAUUUAAUUCUAAAAUCCUGGGUCUUACAAUAUUGGAGGGUGAUAGGGUGACGAUGGUGGUGGAUGGCGGUGACAGUGGUGGUAGUAGUGGCGGUAGUGGCGAUGAUGACAAUGAUAGAGUGGUGGUGGAGGUGAUGAUGGUCGCAGUGGUGGUGGCGGCGUUGGUGGUGGAGGGUGGUGGUAGUGGGGAUAACGAUGACGGGAAUUAACGAUGGUGGUACUGGUGGAGCGUGGUGAUGGUGGCGGUGACGGUGGUGGAGGGUGGUCGGAGGUGGCGAAGGUGGUGGUUGAGGGCGGUGGUGGUGGAGGAGGGUGGUGGCGGCGGGGGUGGUGGUGGCGGCGAAAGUGAUGGAUGGUGGAUGAUGGUGGAGGGUGGUGGUGGAGGGUGGUGGUGGUGAAGGGUGGUGGCGACAGAAGUGAUGGAGGGUAUUGGCGGUGGCGAUGGUGGUGAUGGAGGAUGGGGUGGAUGGUGGUGGUGGCGGUGGAGGGUGGUGGCGGCUGUGGUGAUGGAGGGUGGUGGUGGCGGCGGCAGUGGAGGGUGGUUGUGGCAGCAAUGGUGGUGGUGGUGGCGGUAGUGGUGGGCGGCGACGGUGGUGGUGGAGGUUGUGGUGGUGGCAGUUAAUUAAAUAUAUUCAAGUAGUUUAUACAUCACAUUUUUAUCAUGUCUUAUAUAUAGGGUGGAUUAAAUAUUCCAUCAUUUUGAUGUAUAAGAGAAAAUUGAUGUAUAAACUUAUACAAUACAACGUGAGCACUAAACAAUGGAUAAUCCAUGAUGUAUUAUAUAAGCUUAUGCUAUCAUGCCUAAUACGGCGUACCAAACGUGCCUUAAUAGUAUGAGAGAGAAAGUUUGUGAAGAAAGACAUAAAAUGAGGUGGUGACACUUGUCAAAGUUGCCACUUUUCGGUUUCAGAAAUAGUAUAUAUAUAUACACGAUAAGAUAGGAUUUUUUUUUGGUUACAAUAAGAUAGGAUAUGAUAGAAUAUGAUAAGGUAUGAUAGGAUUAAAAUGAGUAAAAUAUUAAUUAUCAAUCAUAAUUUUUUAUGCAUUCAGAUCAAUACUAAUUGAUUAUUAAUAAAUCUUUAUUAUAUGAUUGACACACUAGAUGAUACCUAUAACUAAGCAAAAAAAAAACCACUAAUUGAAAAAAUGGUUAAUACAAAGUACUAUUAACUAAAUAUAUAUUUUAAAAUUAACUAAAUAUAUUAAAUAAUUGAGAUUAAUGGAUAUGCAUUGUUUGUGUAAAGAAGUGUUACACGGACGUCCAAUCACAUUAUGUCACAUAGGACUAAGUGGUUACAAAUAUUUUUAAUUUUAGUUAGUAAAUUAAUAAAUUGCUGAUGUGGCGGAAAUCAAUUUAGUGGAGAUAACCUUCUUCGCAGGGGCGGAUCCAGACCUUAUAUGUUAGUGUGGCUAAACAUAAAAGAAAUUACUGAUUAAAAUAUAUUGAAAUCUUUUUUUCAAAAGAGAUAAAUAUUAUAGAUAAAACCAUGAGAGAAAGUUUCUCAUGGAAAUAGAAGAGUUUACAGUCCAAGAAGGACUAGGCUUACAACGAAAUAUAACAAAAGAAACAGAGUGAAAACAACAGUACACUAUUCUUCUUUAUAUAUGUAUUGUGUUGGAUGACAUGAUGAGCACAUUUGAGUGAACAUUAAUUUCAUGAUGGAUAUGAACAACAUACAAAAUAUAAAAUACAUUCAGGAAGAGAAUAGAAUGAAAGCAACACAUUGUGAGAGACUUGGUUUUUUUUUUAUCAACUAAGGUAAGAUGUAUUAAAAUGGGAGUACUAGGUGUACUCCAAACCCACUUACAGCAAGAAAGCACAUAACUGUGAAAAGCAAAAGAAUAGAGCAACAAUUCUGUUUUGCUUACACGUACAGGCCUGCUACCCACAAAAACUAAACUCAAACAAAAUUGUUUGUACAAGAAAAAUAGAAGAAAAUCAACGAACACAAGUUUCAGUAUAGAUACAAUUGCCUCACAAACCAGAGUAAAAUCUUACACACUUAGAAUUGUGAUUGGAUAACACAAGUUCUCAAGCAUAUAAUUUUUUUCUAAAAAAAAAAAACCUGGUGUGGUUAAGCUGAGAAACGUCAUACUACUUAGGAUUAAGGAUUGGACUUUUCGUUAAAAAAAGGAUUGGACUUUUAUGGUAUUUUUAGGACUUGUAUUUUUUGCACAUGUGGGGAUUGCUUUUAGCACACCCAUUUUUACAAUUUACACAUCCAUUAGUUUUAAAAUUUUAAAAGAUAAAGAAAGUUUUUUUUAUCAAAGAUAAUCAAUUCAAUACCCAAAAGAUUGUCUAACGACAUUUACAAUAUGUAAGAAUAAAUCUCAACAAGCGAUAUCGCACUGCAAUAUAUAAGUAAUCACAGAAACAAGCAUACACACUCAAACAACAAAAUUAAACAUCAACUAAAAGCAUGAUGUAAAAAUCUUAAGGAUCAUACAAAAGCUCCUAAUAAACAUCCAAGCAGAUAAAAAUAAGUCUAAUACAGGAUUAGAGUAUUGGGCUAGUGCUUUGAAUCUCAUUUGUUUUAUACCAACUCAUUGUUUUGGGCGCUACCCUUUAUGUGAUUACUUAUGUAUUGCAUUGUGAUAUCGGUUGUUGAGAUUUGUCAUUGAAUAUUCAUUUGCUAGAUCCUUAUUAGAAUAUUCAUUUGUUUAUAAUUUACAUUGAUGUGAGUUAGUUUCUCUUUUUUUUCAGAAGAGAAGGAAAAAAAAGAGUUAGUUUCUCUUUUGACCAAAAAGAAAGUUAAUUUCUCAUGUGUUAUGUUUGGAACAGGUGAAAAUGCCGUGAUGGAAAACUACAUCAGGGAAAAAGAUAUAAAAUUACUGUACACUAUAUGUUUGGUUACACAAAAACAUGUCAGAAGGUGGUAAAACCAUUCUUGCAUAAAUCAUGGCUAUGAUUUCCCUAAAAUGAAAAGUUAUAGAAACAAAACAAGUAAUUGACAAUUUUUUUAAAACAAGACUCUCCCAAGUGAGUUAAUGAAUUUUGAAAAAGUCCAACAAACAACAAAAGAUUCAAAAGGAACAACUAAUGCACAAAUCCGCAACAAACAAGAGGAUAAAAAUAACAGUCAAUUGUUCUGAUAUCAAGUGUGAGUAAAUCAAACAUUGAAAGAUAAAAAAAACUUUGAGCGGUUUAUAAGUGUGAGAACUCAUAAACCCAAUGUCAUCAGGUUUUGAGUGAAAGAUGUGAUGUCUGGUCCACUUGUGAUUUGCUCUUUAAAUUUCAAUGUGGAGUUUUAUCCCAAAUUUUAAAAUCAUCUCUUUUGUUUGACCAUUUAUUUUGCCCAACAGUGAUAUCAGGGUCGAUGGUUGUUUGAACAUGGGUCAUGAGCCUCUGAGGUUCCGUUUGAGUACAAGCCCAACUUUCAUUUGAGAUGGACUCACACUUGAGAAGGAGAUUGUUGUGUACUAUCAAGUGCGAGUAAGCCACUUACACAUUUGAAGAUAAAUGAUAAAUUUGAGUGGUUUAUAAGCGUGUGAACCCAUGCAUGUACUCAUUGUCUUAAGGUUUUGGAUGAAAAUUGUGGUAUCCAACUCACUUAUGGUUUGCUCUUUAAAGUCCAAUGUAGAGUUUUAUCCCCGAAUAUUAAACUAUCUCCUUUCUUCGGCCCUUUAUUAGGCCCAACUUGUUUCAUGUGGAAUAUCUCAAUAAUUCGAAGAGAAUGAGUUGUAUUUUCAAAAACAACUAGUAAUAUAUUUCAUUAAUAAUAAAACUUUUAGAAAAGUGCGAAAAAUAUAUUUAUAUUUUAUUGUAUAAUACGUGUUGAAUAUGUGAAGAGAUCAAGUGUGGCAAAAAACUUUAUUCCUUUUAGGAUUGAGUAACAUAGUUCAUUCAUUAUUUAUUGAUUAGAAUAACAUUAUAUUUUUUUAUAGGGAUAGAAUAACAUUAUAAAUCAGUCAGAUUUGAGUAGAAAAAAUUCCAAUCCUGAUUUAAUCAUUUUUAUAAAAUUGAAAUCAUACCAUAUGGGGCUAAAUCAGCUUUGUAACCCCCCAGGAGUUUGAUUCGAAUUUCACCCCUUGUCCAAAAUAAAAAGCCAGAGUUAAUUGCGUCUUUUAGUGACUUAAUGUGUAUUUAAUAACAACCAUUGAAAAUUUGAAAAGAAAAAACAAAACAAAGCAAUACAAUGAUUGACAGAACAUACAUGCAGGCAAAAAGCACACAAAAAACCAUAGAAUCUGUUUUCCUUUUUUCUAUUUAUGAAAACGGCUUGUGGUUAUUUUAAUUUUAUCAAGCAAAACAUUGGUUGGUAAUUGGCUACAACCAGAGCCUAUGGUUUUUCUAAGUUCCAAGUUUGAUACAUUAAAAAAAGGUUACAAUCCUUUGCUAAAUUAAGCUAUGAUUUAUAAUAAUAGCAACCCUUGGCCUCCUCAAAAUUUUGCAGGCCAUUAAGAACCAAACAAAACAAACUAAAAUUAACGCGUAGUGACCCUUUAUAAAACCUUUCAAGAAUUAGCUACAACACAAUUGAUCAUUAUUCCUUCAACCUUUCUUUGCUUUCUAAUUAGCGUUCUUUCUCUUGUUAUUGUAGAGGGAGGACGAUAAUAUCAAGAAAGAAACUUUGUUUUAUUCUCUUAAUUAACUCAUCUAUCAUUCAAUAUGGGAAACUGUGGCAGCAACCCUAAGACCAAUGAGGGUCCUGAGCCAGUGCCUGAGAUUAAGAAUGAGGAGGUUAAGGUUGAGCAGGUGCAGGAGAGUGAAGCCAAUGUUGAAAAGAAGACAGAGGAAACCCCUAAUGAAGAUAACAAGUCUCUAAGCACCUUGCUCAAUGAGGUAAUAUCUUAAUUUCUCCUUCAAAUUAGGUCUCUGAGAUGACUGAAAUCUUCUGUUUUCAUUUGAUCUAUAUCUUUGUUCUACCAAUCAAAUUAUGUCAUAUAAUUCAGAAAUCACUAAUAUAAGAUUAUAAAUGUUAUACUCAUGCAAUUUGAUUGGUGACGAAAAAAAGAGACUUGGGAUUAAGAUCUUCAUCCAUCCCAAACUUGGUUAAAAUAAUUGUUAGUUUAUGAGUUUUACCUUUUUUUAAUCACCAUUUUGCAAAUUUACAUGAUAUUAUUUAUCAAUUUAUUUUGAUGUUUUUAUAAGAAUUAUAAUGGUAAAAUUAUUAAUAUAAUGAAAGUAUAAUUUUUUUUCGUUACAAUUGGAAAAAUAAUGAAAGCGUUAUUUAAUAAAAUAUUUUUUAUAACACAAUCAAAAGUUUUAGUUAUUUUCUUAAUAUUUUUGUAAAAUCUUAGAUGACAAUUACUCUUUCCCUUCAUUAAAAUAAAACCAUUUUAAAAAUUUCAAAUUAUUUCAAACAAAGUGAGCAUAAAAAUUAGGUUUUUAUAUCACCCAAGAUAAAUAUUAGGUUAAAUCACAUAAUAUUCUCGUGACAAAUGUCAAAAUAUUAUUUGACCACCUAAAUUAGAGUAAUUUUACACAAGGUAAAUCUUAAAUGAUUUAUGAAAUUCUGAAAGAUGCUAAUCUAAAAUACAGUUAAAAAAUUUAGAUUUGAUGAACCGUACCAAAAAAUAUUUGAUUUAUUAGAAUAUUGAAAAUGGUGUGAAGAUUAAGAAUACUUUACCAACAACAAUUAAGUUUUGUUUUUAAGGUUACAGCAAUGAAGUUAUACUUCUAAAACAUUUCAAUCUAAUGCUAUUACAUCCUCCUAAACAUUUCAACCUAAUUAUUAUCACUUUUGUACAAGCAGAAUGAAGAGGAGGCAAAGAAACCUGAGGAAGAAGUACAAGCUGAGCCCAAGGAAGAAAAAGCAACCACUGAGGAAGUAAAGGUUGAAACCAAGGAAGUAAACCCGAAACCCGAGGAGGAGCCCAAGGAAGAAGAACCUAAAGCCCAAGUUCAAGAAGAGAAGCCCAAAACAGAAGAGGCAUAGAGCUGAGAAACGUGCGUGUAGACAAAGGUUUUACCAGGAUUGAUUUUAUAUACUUCAACAAGUAUACAAAUUUGUUGCCUUUCUGUUUAGUGCUCCAAGGAAAAUUUAUUAGAUCUUAUAUUAUGCAAAAUUGAAUUUCGAUUUAGAGUUGUUGGAUUAAAUGAGCAUUUAAUUAAUAAGUUCUUUUUCCAAAUUAUUUCUAUGGUGUGAUAGUCUUUUUCGAAUUUCUCAAGUUAUUUUUUAAUUUUACAUAAAUAUUAAAUAAACUUUCACGCUCGUGAAGGCAUAAUAAAUUCUGAUUUUUUUUGAAAUCUAUCUAUAUCUAUAUCUAUAUCUAUAUACUUUAGAAAAGAGGAAGCUUGUGAGACCCACCAUGCUGAUUUGGCACUCCAAGAAUUACUCUCACCCAACCUCCUUCUUUGCCUAACAAGUGUCACCCUCUUAUUGAUUUGGACCAAAACAUUACAAAGCCCAUUUUCAUUUCAGUUUUGUAUGGAGGCCCAUUAUUGAAAGCUUAUAUAUUGAAUGCUGAUUUUUUAUUAUUUUUUUUAGCCAUUCAUUAAUUGCUAACAUAAAAUAUCCACAUUAAUGGCUGAUUAACAUUUUGACUAUUUCAACUAUUUAAUUACAAAUAAUUUUUGUUUUGCACCACAAGAUCCAUUUGUUUAAAUAGAAUUAUCAUUUUUCAAAAAUAUUCGAAAUAGUUUCGAAUUUCCUAUAAUUACUCAUUACCUGUGCGAGGACCGUCGACAACGCGUUUCUCAGUUUUUUUUUUUUAAAUCAACGCGUUUCUCAGUUAAAUAACGCGUUUCCUAUAAUUAAUCAUUUCCAUAAAUGAGAAAUAUUGACCUAUCAUUCAUAAUAAUUAUAAGUGAACCGUACGUUUGUAAUAUUAUAAUAAAUGGAAUCACUAUUUAAUAUCAUGAUUUGUAACGCACGGGGUAAUAUUUUAAUAUCUUUUUUGCUACAUCGGUAAUAUUUUAAUAUCAUGAUUGAUACAUUCCAUUCUUAUGAAGAAAAAAUUACCCUGGAAUUAAUUGAAUUUCCUAUUUUGAGUAGUAAAUCACCUUAUGCUAUUAAAAGUCACUAUAAGCGUACGAUUGAAAUUUUGGUUGAAAAAAGAAAUAGCGCCGGCUAAUUUCAAAUACCAUGCAUAAUAUUACCUUAAUUUUCCUUCCUUUUUUAACUUGCAUUGAGAAGUAACCCUAAUUCUGAAAUUUAUAUAUAAAUCACCUCAUGCUAUUCUUCAACUUUAUCAAUCCUUCCAUUUUCCACCAACUAUUAGCUUUGAAAAUUCUGAAUAUUACCCGUCAAACACUCAUCUUUUUGAACUCAACUUCCGGGAGGAUACGCCCACUAUCGGUGAGUCUUUAUUAAUUAUUUUGUAGUUAUAUUAUUCGCACAAUAUUAACAAUUUCUGAUAUCUGGAAAUUUUAGAUAUAAUCGGUGUUUUGAGUAAGGUUGGACGAGUACAAGAGUUCACAAUCCUUAGAAAGAUUGAGAAGGUCGUCCGAAUUGAUCGACCUUUCUGCAGCAGGGUAAUUUAAUAUGCAUUCGUGUACUCAUUUAUAAUUACGUUUUUUUUUUUUUCCAAUACACCAAAGAACCUAAUUUUGUCUUUUAUUGAUAUAGCAGAGCAAAAUUGAAUGUUUUGAUUGGGAAAUUUGUACAAGAAUAUGUUGAUUUCAUUUCUGCUGGUCGUGCACUCGGUGCAGUUGUUUUGAUCCAACUUGCCAGAGUAAAAAAUUACCCAGGUACCUCGACCACUAAAAUUGUUCAACGGAAAAAUAUAUUUUUUUUAUGAGAAAUUUUUUUAGUCUAUUUUGUAAUGUUGUUUUUUUUUACUGAUGUAGGAAAUUCCAAUAGAUAUAUAUGUGCUGGAAUGGAGCCAACCAGAAUUUUGUAUCAACCAACUCUUUGAAGAACCUCUGAUGAUCAAGUAGCGCUCCUAGCUAUCGUCUGAACGUGAACAAAAUAACUGCCCUUAUUUUGUUAAUAAAUCUCGACAAAUGCACGGCAGCAUCAUCUCCAUGAAGUAUCUAUGGAGAUAUUUAGGUUGCAUGGUCUGAAAUAUGGAAUACAUAAUUCCUUUUUCAUUUAUAUUAUGAAAAGUUGUUUUGUUUGUUAAUUCUUUGGGUGGGUUGUGACCCAAUUCCAAUAAUCAAUUCUGUGAUGUUAAGUUACUUUUAGAAAUUUAAUUAAUAAUUCAAUGCAUGGAAAUUUAAGUAAUAAUUAAAAAUCUUAUAAUUGAGGUGGAGUAAUAAUUAGGUCGACCAAAAUGGACUCAGGUUGUGAGUGUGCUCGGCUCAACCCACUUAUGGGGUGGGUUUAGUUGGAAAAAUACAGGUUUACAUUUAGGUGAAUGCUUUUUCUUCGUUCAAUAACUUAAUGGGCUACACAAAUGAAAAAAAAAAUUAUUUUCUUAUAUCUUUUUAAAGUAUGAUCAUUAACUACAGAAUAACAUAACUUUUGAUCACAAAAAUAAUCAUAAUGGAAAUACAUAAAAAUUUAUUAGGCUUUAUAUCACGCUCAUAGUGUGUAGCCUAAUUAUCAACAAUGAUAUAUACACACCUCAUUUUUUAAACACUUCAUUUCCACCUAUUUUUGUUUUUAUCUCUCUCUUCUUAUCAUCUAUCACAUCUCAUACUUUCUCUCUCUUACUUUUUUUUUUCUUCCUAUCUCUCACCUCAUUCCACCUCUUCCACCUCUUUUUGAGGUGUGUAAGUAACAUUUUCCGCCUAAUUAUAGACGGAAUCUGAAAAUUUGCGUAUAAAUUUUGUAUGCUCUUAAAUAUUUUUUGUUUUGAACUAGCAAAAUAUAUUGACAGAGAGCACUAGGAGUACUCCAACCCAAAUAAUAAAUAUAUUUAAUUACAAAGAUAAAGGGAAUUACAAAUUCCUUUCUAAAUUAGUGUCCCUCCACCAUCCCGUGCAGAGUCAAAAAACCUCGAUCAACAUUAAUCUACCACCAAUCAUUAAUUGAAUUCAAAACCAAGUCUACAAGGAACUAAUCUCUAAGAAAUCAAAGGUGCUCUAAACAGUAUCUUGGGAUGGAGAUCCAAUCAUAGGUUGAGAAAUCAAAGGAAAACGUACUCCACCUAACAUGUUCUCCAUUUUUUCACAAGUCAAACAUCAUUUUUUGGCUAAGGAACCAAAAUCAAACACUUUUACCAAACAGUGACUAAUAUGACCCUUAACCCUUCUUUUUAUUCUUGACAGUAUAAAAAGAUUUCAAGCAGUUUAUUGAUCAUCUAAUUUGAAGGUUUAUUGGCGUGUCUAUAAGGUUUGUUUAAGAUUUUCAAAUUAUACACAAUUUAUAUUUGUAUUGGUUAUUGAUUAUUACUCUUAUGUAAAUUUUUCUUUUGUAGGUUCUAUAGCUCAAAUAUGCUUGAUUGACAACAUGAUUGGUUAUGAAGUUUUUAUCAUUAAUCAUGGACUACAACUUCUAAUAAGGGUUAAUGUUGUUGUCAUUGUUAUGUUUAACUUAUUUCAAUUUCAAUGUAAUGCAUUCCUUAAAAACUGGGUUCUUAUUACUAUUCAAGUGUUGCCAUUGUGAGGUCUAUACAACCUCAUCAAAUUAAUAUAUUUAUUGUGGUUCAUUCAUCUACAUGUUUGUAACAUAUGUUCGGUUCCAUAUCUGUUCUACUUACUAAAAAGAGCCUAAACUAAGUUAAAACAUAUUUCUACUAAUUCAUCUUUACAAUAAAUUUAAUCGCCGUGCAACGCACGGGUAAAGAACACUAGUAUAAUAGAUAUAUUUACAAUGAAAGCGUGCCUGAACAUGUGAAUAUUAUUAGUAAUAUUUGAUUUAUUAAUAAUGAAUAUCAUUAUUUAAUAUUAUCGAAAUAUAUGACAUAAAAAUUUGUAAUUAAUAUUUAUAUUCACUAGCCGAAUUUUUCCUCUUGUAAAAAAAAAAAUCACUAGCCGAAUAUAUUUCAUAAUUGAUAGCAAAUCACUACAAGAGAAUUAUUGUUCAUAUUGUAGUGAUCGAUUGGUUCCUGAAGUUUGAUGAGGUAAUAUUCUAAAAGUUCUUUGAGAAAAUUCUCAGAUUUGUGGAACAAUGUAGGUUUGGCUUUGCUAGGCAUUGGCACGAUGCACAAGAUUCUUUAUUGAAUGAGACAUAUAUACUAGUAUCUUCUUGUUCUUUGAGACAAGUGACACAUCACCAGAUGUUAUUUAUGGUCUGAGAAGUUGAAGUAUGUUAACUUUGUUAGACAUUGACCUUAUUAGACGAUGCCCUCUCUAGACAUUCUUUAUAGACAAACAUCCAGAGGAAUUUGAAUGACACUUUUCACCGAUCCUAGCUCUUAACUGUCUCCUUUUAGUUAGAGGUUAAAAAACUUGAAGUGGUUAUCUGCGGUUCAUUCUAAUGAAGGGAUCUUAGAGCGGCUUGUGCAUUCAAGAAAAGAAGGAAGGUAGCUCUAGCUCCUUACUGCGUUAGUAUUUGAGGGAGGAACCGAGGAAGAGAGGGGUGGGAGAAGGACAAUGAUAGGGGGAGAGAGAAGAGAUGAAGGGAGUCUGAGAAGGAGUAAAGGUAGAGAGAUUGGACUUUUCAACGCAACACUAAUAACCUGAGUAUGAAUUUAGAACUUCAGGGAUUAAAUUGACACCCACGUAGCACUUAACGUGACACAUGGGAAGAAGUUAACCUAGGACGAACGAAAAAAAGAUGUUUGGACCAACAUGGCUCACGCUUUACAACUUCAGGGACUUUCGAAGCUAUUUCUUAAGUGUAAGGACGAAAGUGAUCGAUGCUCACAACUUCAAGGACAAAUUGACUAUUCACUCCAUAAUCAAUUAAGUAUGAUGAAUGAGUGAUGACUCAGUGGUUAAAAAUGGUUGUUAGACUCAUGAGGUUAAAAGUUCGAUUAUUAGGAAAUGCACUCUUAAGAGGACUUUUGACCUUGGACUACCGUAGUGGGGCGACCUACGACAUUGGGUGUCUUCCAACAAGGAGUGGGGCAAAGAGAGAGGCAGAUCUAGCGGCUGAGGGAGAUCAGAGUACGUGAGAGGGCAAAGCGUGGGUGAAUGUAGCAGAGGAGGAGGGGGAAUAGGUAGCUUCGUCGUAGGGGGGGUGAAAGUGGUGGAGGAUAAAGGAGGGGCAAAGGGAGAAGGUAAGGGUGACAGGGACAGAGGAGGAAGGAGGGGUGGCUCAUAGGGUCAGAGGAGGGUGAGGGUGAGAGGCAUCGGAGGAGGGUAAUGGGAAAAAGGUGACAUAGAAGGGUGGGGGGAGGAGCGGUGGAGUAGGGAGAUGGGGAACUGGGGGGAGGGGUAAGCGAUAGAGCACAAAGAGAGGUGUAGGAUGUUGAAAGAGUGAAAAUGAGGUUCGAGGAGAAAGCAGAAGAAAGCGGCUUACAACGAUGUUUGGGCGAAGAAAUCAAGAGUUAUUAGUGUCGACUUGACUGGCGCUAACUUUUGUUCCCAUUGGCCGGUGAAUGUAUUGGUCCUCCAUAACUCCUAAUUGUUGGUGGCGGACGCUACGUUGGCCAUUAGCUUAAGCGUCUUCUCAAACUGAUACAAGUUUUCGUAUGCCAGUGCUAAUUAGCAUCAGUCAGUUUGACACUAAAUUUAAAUGGUUUCUUUAAAGUGUUAAAGUUAGCGUAGUUUCUUUAAAGUGUUAAAGUUAGCAUCGGUGUCAUGGUUGUUGCUAAGUUUUUGACACUAAAACAAACAUUUCUUGUAGUUCACACAUCCACCUACUAUAUGCUAAAACUCAACUUCGAUCCAACUCUAGACAAUUUAGUCAGAGUAGAGAAUAUAGUAGAGAGGUAUGACUUAGUGGCUCCCUAAAAAAUCCGGUUGGAGCUCUAUCUUUAGUCUUUGUUUUGUCAGGUUGUAUAACGAGUGAACAAGAAAAAGUACAACUAUAUCUGUACCAGAACUAUAGAAAUCUGCUUCAGCGAGUUGAUGGAGCCGGUAGAGAGGGGAAAGAGUUAGCUCAAUCAUAGGUGGAAGCAAGGGCAUCUAUAGUCAGAGUUGUUUUAAUGUCUCCAUCUCUAAUAUCAUGUCAUGAAUUAAUCAUAAAAAAUUUAAGUUAUUGAGAAAAGACACAUGAAUGAUUCUAUUUUUAACAUGUUUCGUGAUAUAAAAGCUUACUUCAGAAUUGAAGCAUAUAAAAUGCAUAAACUCACCUAUCAUAUGCUGAAUUAUGAUGAGAUGAAAUGCAAUAAGAGUGUUUACCACCAAUUUAACUUUUUGUUUAAUUAUACUCCAUCCGUUCCUAUUUAUAAGAACCAAAUGGGAGGUGCACCUUGGUCCUUUUUAUAAGAACCAACUUGGAGUUUGUGGUGCAUUAAUUAAUUUUGUACAAGAAUGCCCUUACUAAAUGAAUUUUCUUUCUCUUUCCACUUUCUAUAGUAUUAAUGAUGCAUAAAGAUUAUGAAUAAUGAGUUGAGGGUAGCUUUGGAAAACUUAUAUAAAUUGAGAACAAAUUUAAUGCAAUUACCUAAAUUUAUUAAAUUUCUUAAGAGGUGUGAAGUUGUUGCUUGGUUCUUAUAUUAAGGAAUGGAGAGAUUACAUUAAAAAAUUAUUGAAAAUGCUUUGAUGGGGUAAAAGAGAGAUAACUGUUCUUACCUUUCAUGGUUUGAUUCUCCUUAUUAUAUUUUACCGUAUUAUAAGAAUCUCUUUGCCUCUUCCAAGUAUCCAAAAAUAUAUAUUUAUCAUAUGGCCGAACGCACAAGCAAACCUUUCAAUAAUCAGAUGGAUCAAUAUACAUGAUAUAUCCCUCGGAUUCUCCACUCUUUUCUUGUUAAGAAGCCUUGAACUUCCACCCUCUUCAUCUCUCAAGUCUUGACUCUUUGUUCUCUACCUCUACUUUUUUGCUUGUUCGCACCAAAUGGCUGCUGGUGCACCCAACCAUGUAGGUACAAUUCCAAACCCUGCAAAUGGAACCACUGAUCAGAACAAGCAAACACAAGUGACUGAUGUUCCCCGCAACGUUGUUGACUACUGGCAGAGGGCUCAAUGGCUUCGUGCUGCGGUGUUAGGCGCCAAUGACGGUUUGGUUUCUGUUGCUUCACUGAUGAUGGGCGUAGGAGCUGUCAAUAAAGAUGCCAAAGCAAUGCUGCUCGCGGGUUUCGCCGGAUUAGUUGCAGGAGCUUGUGGAAUGGCAAUAGGUGAGUUUGUUUCUGUGUUUACACAGUAUGAAGUCGAGGUUGGGCAAAUGAAAAGAGACAUGAUCAAGAGUGAGCAAGGAGAGAGGGACUUGGAGAUGGCGAUGGAGAAAAGGAAAUCCAUACCUAAUCCAAUGCAGGCUGCUUUGGCAUCUGCAUUCUCAUUCUCUAUAGGUGGAUUGGUUCCUUUACUUUCAGGUUCGUUCGUCUCAGUUUACAAGAUAAGGCUUCUUGUGAUUGUGGUGGUUGUUAGCUUGGCUUUGGUGGCUUUUGGUAGCGUGGGUUCUCUGCUGGGAAAGACUCCCAUGACGAGAUCUUGUGUGAGGUUCAUGAUUGGGGGAUGGAUGGCCAUGGCUAUCACUUUUGGGUUAACAAAAUUGCUAAGUGCUGGUGGGUUGGAAAUAUAAAUCCUCUUGGCCCUGGUUUUUAGUCACUUGUCUAAUGAGAGCAAUUAACCUCUCCUUUUAUCUUCAUUAAUUGAAUAAGUGUGAGAUCUUUAAUUGGACAUGUUUUUUUUUUUUUUUUUUUGAAAUAAAGGAUAGAUAUAUUAAUUAGAGUGGGGCAUAGAAGCCAUAACAUCAGCAUCCACAAGAGGAAUCACUUCAGGCGGAGCUUCUUCAAUCCAGACAGCCCCCGGAUAAGAAGAAGCAUGCCGUGCUAAAUAGUCUGCAACUGCGUUGCCAUUCCGGCGUACAAAAGAAAUAGAAACAGAAGUAAAUUGAGAAACUAAUCUAUGACAAUCCGCUAAAAUAGAAAAUAAAUAAGAGUUGCCUGGAGAAGAGCUUCUCCAACCAUUAAAGACCUGCAAAUUAUCAGUCUCAAGGCACAGUUUCAUGAACCCAAGAUCUCGUGCCAUCACCAUUGCCCAACGAAUUCCUUGUGCCUCAGCGAGCGUCGCGGACAAAGCCGGAGUUGUAUGGGAGGUCGCCACCGCAAGUACCUCCCCUAGAUAAUUCCGAGCCACCAAACCAUAACUGGCUCCUCCAUCCGCACGAAAAGACGCAUCAACAUUAACCUUUGUCGUUCCUCGUUGAGGCCGCGACCAAGAAGAAGCCAUGUCCCGUUGCGCUCGCCCCACAGGUGCAUGAACUGGUGUGGGCAUCUCCAUAAGCGUCGACAACCUCUGCAACAGGGACUCCAUGGAAACAGGUUUGUUGUUGAAAAUCAAAGCAUUCCUAGCCUCCCACAAUGUAUACAACCAAGCCUGGAAAACCGGUAUGAAGUCCUCCUCCGCCGUAGACAAGAACGCCACCGCCAACUCAUGCAAGGACGAAAAAGAAGCCACCCGAAUUACCAGCGGCGAAGCAAACCACAACGGUUGCACCGCCGGACAGCACACAAACACAUGAUCAUUCGUUUCCUCUUCACAACCACACAAGGGGCACCGAUCAUCAACAUCCAUUCCACGAAUCCUGAGGCUCACUCGAACCGGAAGAAUCCCUUUGAUUGCUCGCCAGGCAAGCUCCUUGCACCGAGGCAAGGCCUCAGACCUCCAGAACUUUUUCCAUAACGAAGGAUGAAGAUUACCUCCACUGGAAGAUGAGGAUACACCCUCUUGGGUCAGAGAUUGCAACAGCUGAUACCCUGACUUACUGGAGUACAUGCCAUUAACAGUCCAGGGCCAAAAUAAGCAAUCAUCACCACGAAACAGAGGGACUGGAACAGCAAGGAUUCGCUGAACUGUUGCUGGCGCAAAAACCAUCUCCAAGAGAGGUACAUUCCAACCACCAUGGGGCUGAACAAUCAAAUCAGAAACCAAAUGAAUACCCCAUUCAGCCACCAAAUCCUCUCGGAAUAAAAGAGGAGCUCCCCCAGGAAGCCAAUUAUCCCUCCAGACCUGAACCUUCUUUCCAUCACCAAUCCUCCAUCUUGCUCCUUUGUCAAAAAUCAACUUUGAUCGUAAAAUACUAGUCCAUGCAUAACUUGGCCGGUAUCCUUUCUUUGCAUCCCAAAGAUCAGAUCUUGGGAAGUAAGCAGCUUUAAAAAUCUGAGCAAGCAAAGUGUCCGACUGCGAAUAAAUCCGCCACCAAUUUUUCCCCACCAAAGACAAGUUAAAUGCCUUGAAAUCUCGAAAGCCCAAACCACCAUCAUGCUUGUGGCGGCACAAAGUGCUCCACUUAACCCAAUGUAUUCCUCUACGGGAAGCAUCACCAGCCCAAAAGAACUUGGCAAUCAUACCAACAAGCUCUGCACACAAACUGUCAGGCAGAACAAAACAAGACAUAACAUAAGAUGGGAUAGCUUGAGCUACCGACUUGAUAAGAACCUCUCUGCCAGCACGGGAGAGGAACUUCUCUUUCCAGCCCUUAAGCUUCUUCCAAACUCGAUCUUUAACAAAAUUAAAAAUCUGGGAUUUAGACUUACCAAUUAUGGUUGGAAGUCCUAAAUAUUUAUCAAAACUCUCCACUGCCUUAACACCCAAAAGCUGUUUAAGCUCAUUAAAACUAGUAUCAAGCACGUUUCGGCUAACUGAGAGCAUUGAUUUGUCAAGAUUUAUGACUUGUCCUGAAGCCUUCUCAUAAGUAGAAAGAAUAUCAGAAAUGCAUGCCGCUUCAUUAAUCGUGGCUCUAGCAAACAAAAUGCUGUCAUCUGCAAAAAGUAAAUGAGAAAUCACAGGUGCCUUUUGGGCAACCUUGAUACCAUGCAAAGAACCUGCAAAAAUUGCUUUCUGAAUCAGUGCAGAAAAAACUUCCCCACAAAGGAUAAAAAGGUAAGGUGAAAGUGGGUCCCCUUGUCUCAACCCUCUAUGGGGUGUAAAGGAUGGCUGAGGAUUUCCAUUUAACAUAAUUGAAAAAUUAACUGUCGAAACACACUGCAUAAUCAAAUUAACCCAACUAUCUGGGAAACCCAUACUCUGAAGCACACAGCUCAAAAAAGACCAUUCAACUCUGUCAUAAGCUUUUGACAUGUCUAAUUUCAAAGCCAUCAUGCCAUUCCGGCCAGUAAUUCUCUUCUUCAUGUAGUGAAAGCACUCAAAGGCUACCAGGGCAUUGUCUGUAAUCAGACGCCCCGGGACAAAAGCACUUUGAGUGUUGCAUAUCAAAUCAGGCAAAACAAUUUUCAAUCUAUUCGCAAUAGUUUUUGUAAUAAUUUUAAACAAAACAUUUCAAAGGCUAAUCGGCCUGAACUGCGUCGCAUGAUCAGGCUUCUUAACCUUUGGAAUUAACACCAACAAAGUAUUAUUAAUGAUACCUGGUGAGGCAGUUCCAUUCAGAACCUGCAAACAGAAAUGAGCAACAUCAUCGCCAAUAAUAUCCCAAUGCCUCUGGUAAAAGAGUGCAGGAAAACCAUCUAAACCAGGGGCCUUCGUUGGAUGCAUCUAAAAUAACGCCUCUUCCACAUCAAGCUUGGUAAAGGGUUCCGACAACACCUCAAGAUGAGCUGCCGUUACUCUAUUAGCCACAAGAUUCGCAGCAUCCUGCAUCCCUGAAGGAGAGGAGCUAGUAAACAAGCUAGUGAAAUAAUCACCCAACACCCUGCCAAUAUUAGGGUCAUCUACAAAUUCUCUGCCUCCAUCAUCUCGAAUCUUUUCAAUCAUAUUUCUUUUCCUCCUUUGAGUAGCUUUUUGGUGAAAAAACUUUGUGUUUUUAUCCCCAAACCUCAACCAAUUCGCCCUGGACCUCUGGCUCCACCAAAUUUCCUAUUGCAUUAAAAGGGUGUCUAGAGCAAUUUCAGCUUCCUUGGUCUCCCUCACCACUUGUUCUGAUUGAGUUUGCCGUUGUAGUUUCUGAAGAAGAGCCUUUGUGUCAGAAAUUUUCUUUGGUAUAUCACCAAACUUCUCACGCCCCCAAUCUUUGAGGGAUGAACCAAGGGAGCUCAACUUUGCAGUCAGACCCAUGGCCGACCCCUCCCCCCAAGCCUCAGUCACUAACUCCUUGCACUCCUCUUCUUGAAGCCACAGCUCCUCAAACCGGAACAUGCUAGUCCUCUGCAAUUCUUUCCUCAUACCCCUGGACCCACAACAAAUCAGUAAAGGAUUAUGAUCAGAACGAUACCUGGGUAAAUGAGUGACCUCAGUGACUGGCCAAAGCGCAUCCCAAGCAUCAUUUGCUAAAGCAUAGUCAAGCCUUUCUUCCACGGUGCCUGGUACUGCCCUCUUAUUAGACCAAGUGAACCUAUAGCCCGAAAAACCCACAUCAUGUAAAUCACAGGUCGAACAAGUUGCCAUAACCUCUUGCAUGUGAGCAUAAUUAGGAGGGUCUCCACCCAGCUUAUCUGUAGGGGACAAAAUAUCAUUAAAGUCACCAAAACAUAGCCAAGGGACAUCUCUACCCUGAGGGCAAAUGGACUUAACUAGCUGCCACGUGCGAACUUUAUUCUGCUCCUCCGGGAAGCCAUACACGGCAAGCAUGUGCAUAGGAUCAUGAUGAUCAGGAUGCACCAAAGAGAACGCAAUAUGAUUCAAUGAGGCUGAAAGAAUGUCUACUUCCACCUCUGAACUCCACAUUAAGAAAAGGCCACCUGCCCGUGACCUUCCUGAACCCGCACAUUGGACGGGAAAAACAUUGGGUAACCCACCCAUACCUCUAUUUUUCAACACCUCAGACGUAUACAUCUUGGUUUCCAUUGCGAAAACCACAUCGGGAGCUUUAGAGUGGAUUAGCCCCUUAAGAGCUAGCACUGCCUGUGGGUUCCCAAGCCCACGACAGUUCCACAUUAAGAGCCUCAUUGAGGAGGGCGGGGCUGCUCCGCAGCCGCCGCCGAACCCAAUCCAAUAUCAGUAGAAGUUUUCUUCAAAGGUGGAGAUAUUUUACCACCGGAAGAAGUUGGAGUGCAAGGCCUCUUACGACCCAACAGGUCCUUUCCCAUAUACUCACGAUCUCCACCUGCCAAACGUGAGGCUCCUCCUCGUGUACCCCCUCUCCUCCCCCCACCCCGAAGGCCACGGAUGGGGGGGCUAUUAAACACAAUACCGCCACUCGAACGACCAUUCCCUACCUUAGCAGCGCACCCAGCACCAGUUGUCUUCAACCUCCCCUCUUUCCCUGGCUCACCACCCUCCCCCUUCUCCCCGCCCCCUCCUUCAACCCGUGGACCCUCAGAGGAAGCCUCAGAAGCUCCCACCCCGUCACUCCCUUUCCCCUCACCCACCGUACUACCCUCCCCGGAACCCUCACCCUGCACCCUUUCCCCCUCAACCCGCACCACUUCCCCACCCCCUUCCAAACCCUCACCUAUCCCUGUUAAGUCUUCCCCACGAACAUCACGAGCCCUCUCACCCCCAGGCCUCCACCUCGGAAUCAAGUACCUAUCGCCAUCAGCACGGAGCCACGGACCAAAAGGUGCCCCUCCAGCAGGAAUCUCAAAGCCACACUCUUUCUGGACAUGAUCCAUUCGCCCACAUCUAUAGCAGAAGUUUAUCAACUUCUCAUACUUGAAACGGAGCUUUAAGGGUGCACCCUUCUCAGGUGCAAUCAUAUGUCCCCGGCGAAGAGGUGCAUCAACCCUUACCCAAGCCCUCACCCUGAAGAACGAACCAUACUUACUAGCCUCAGAUUUGUCCCAAUCAAGGAAACCAGCAAACGCCUUCCCCAAAGACUUGGCCACCGCCUCCGUCCUACCAGUGGUCGGCAACCCCCGGAUUUGAAUCCAAAAGGGGACUUGCGUUAACGGGACACCGCUUGGAUCUCCCUUGCCAUCAUAAGUGUUAAGAGCCAACAUGUGGCGCUCGAAGAACCACGGGCCAGACUUCAGCACCAAAUCCCUAUCCUUUGGGGACGUAAACUUGAAUAUGAAAUAAUUCUGCCCAGCAUGACGAAUAUCAACGCAGUUUCUUGUUUGCCAUAAAUCACGCAUCACAGUCUUGAAGCCAAAAACGCUAACCGAGUGAUUGGCUAGCACCACGCCCACCAUCCACACAUCUUCAUCCAAUUCUGGUAACGUUUCAAACCCUCCUACAGUCAGUAUCUCGUUCUCCUCGCCUUGCAGAUCAAAGUCCGGCUCAUCAGCAAAAGACCCCAUCACAAAACCAGCAGAAAUAGCAACCAGGUGCAAAGGAAUAAAGGCCACAAAGAGAAAAACGGCAACAGACGUGCAAAUCGUAAGAAACACCACACCAGAGCAAGCGUGGCCCUAGUGCAUGAGAUAGCCGAGGACGUAAGAAUCCCGUACACAAGAGCAGCCAGGCACAAGAUCCAACAGGGCGGCGGUAGUCAAAGGCUGCGCACCAGAUCCCAGGCGGAAAUAUUCUCAAACCCUAGCAGAGACGUCAUUCAAGACACAAUCUUUUUAAAAUUUUCCAAUCCAUUAUUGAAAUGGACAUGUUACGUUCACUGCUACAUCUUGUUAUUAAAAUUAAAGUUCAAAGAGAUAUCAGGUGAGUGACAAUUAACUUGUAUUUGAUCGUAGAUAAAAAACGUUAGCAAAUGUUGGUCAAAAGUCAACGCUAAUAAGGUAAAAGCUGAUGUUAAAGUCGAUUUGGCUCAACCUUAGCAUGUGUUGUGACUCGAACAUGUUAAUUUGUGUGAAGCUAACAAUUAAUUAUUAGCCCUAGUGACCGCGACGUUAAGUUAGCGUCGGUUUAGCCGACACAACACACACAUGUUGCAACGACCGACUCUAGGAUAUAAUUAUUAGCGUUACUCGUAUAAGCUGACUCUAGCGUUUGGUAGACAGGUGGGAAGGGAACGGAACAUGACACAUGAGUUUUGUUCUGUGUUUGUCGUGUUUUUAAGAUGGAACGGAACGGGACAAAAGGCUCCAGGAACGGGACACUUUGGUUCCCUGUAAAAGGGUGGAACGGAGGGGACCGAACAGAACACUCUCUUAAAACUUUUGCAAGUUCUAAAAUACCCCUAAUUUAUAUUUGAAAUUUUAUGUAUCUAAACAGUUUAAAAUCACUUAUUAUAUUUGUAGACAAAGUUAAAUGAAAAUCUACUUUUUCAAAAAAAUCACUUAAAAUAAAAUCAAUUAUUUUUUUCAAAAGUAAAACCACUUUUUGUAACCAAUGAUAAACGAGUCAAUUAGAGUGCGUUUGAUUCAAUUUAUUUUGAAAAAAUCACUUUUCAAUCCAAAAAUCACUUUUGAAAUAAAAAAAUCACUUUUUUAAUCAAAUAUCACUUUUUGUGUUUGUUUCAGCUGAAGCUGAAAACAGAUUAUUUGAAACAAUUACUUUAACUUAUCAUGAAAACCUAUGAUGAUAGAUGAGAGGAGAUUAAAAAGUGAUUUUAAUUAGAGUGGUCAAACACGAAUCAACUUAAUUAAAAUAAAAUCAAUUAUUUUUUCAAAAGUGAAAUCAGUUUUUGUAAGUAAUGAUAGACGAGUCAAUUAGAGUGCGUUUAAUUCAACUUAUUUUGGAAAAAUCACUUUUUAAUCAAAAAAUCACUUUUUGUGUUUGUUUCAGCUGAAGCUGAAAACAAAUUAUUUGAAACAGUGACUUUAGCUUAUAAUGAAAAUCUAUGAUGAUAGAUGAGGGGAGAUAAAAAAAGUGAUUUUAAUUAGAGUAGUCAAACACGAAUCAACUUAUGCUUUUCUCAACAUCUCUUAAAAAAAUUAUAGUUAAGAAUCAAUAUUUUUUAAUCUAAACAAACUCACUUAAAAUAGCUUAAAUAGAUAAUUAGGUUUCUGCUUUUUUGAAUAGCAUACUGAAACAACUUAAACAAUAUAUAAGUGAUUAUUUUAAAGAAAUAAGUGAUUAUUUCAUGAAGUAAGCAAUAACAAACAGUUUCUAUGCAAAAUGUUCAAUUGAGUUCAAUUUGUUUUCCUCAAUCAAAUAUUAAGCAUGCAGGGUAAUAUAUGUAAUUAAAAUCAUGGUUCUGUUCUAUUGACUUGGAGUUACCAAACACAACACAUAGAACAUUAUUAUCCUGUUCCAUCAUGUUCUGUCCCGUUCCGUUCCGUUCCGUUCCGUUCUGUUCUGUCCUGUUCCGUCACCAAACGCUUUAGCAUCGGUUAAAUUGACACUAUACGUACCAAUUUUAUUUUAUUUGAUAUUAUUAACGUCGAUAUGGUUGACGCUAAGUAGUAACAAGAAAUUUGUAACUCAUAUUAGUUUCAGUCUCUAAAAGACGCUAUUUAGAAUUUAUUUUAUGUUUUUUUCUCACUUUCAUUUUCGCAAACCUGAACAAAUCAUAUAUAUUAAUCAAUAGCAAACUGAAAAUGACUACAAAUAAAAAGUUCUAAAUCUGAUGACAACAUUGAGUGGGGCGGAGCGGUUGAUCACUCAUUGGAUGAUCGUGUCGAUCCAUGACAUAGUACCAGUGGAUCCAUUUGCCAAACCUCCCCUAUCUAGGAACACAUGUCCACCUUAGCAAUGACAGUCGUGAGUCGUGACCAUGCGUUUGACAACUUCAACUUUCCCCUAGGCAGCUGCAGCGCCCUCUCCUUGAAAGCUUUAGGUGUCUCCGAAGCCAAUGGCUCCUUGAGGAGUGCAUUUUAAGCUUCUGUAGCUCACCUCCUCGCGGAGGCUUUCUUACCUGCUCCACAAGAAUCAUCAUGGGAAUUGAAGCCUGGGACUCUAUCAUUAGUUGAUGGCUAAUUAGCGUCCUCCCAAGCCAAUGCUAAUAGCAAUUUAGCGGACACUAAGUAGAGUCGGAUGUCUAACGAUAUCCUUAAGCUUAGUGUAAUUAAUUUUCUAUUUGACACUUUAUAUCGUCUUAGCGCCAGCUUAACCCAUGUUAUAGGGUUAAAAUUAGCGUUGACAAUGAGACCAAAGCAAUUUUUAAUGCUAAAACGAGCAUUGAAGUUCAUUUAUCAUUACAUAAAUGAAGAAUUUAACAAAAUAGACAUAAGGAAAGGAAAUUGAUGUAUGUUUUUUUCUUAUACAAUUUUGCUUGGAACACGUACGGAUAAACACAGGGUAACACACCAAAUAAAAUAAAAAGAUCCAGAUAAAACAAAUUAAAACAUAAGGACCCCUGAAGUUCUUGGGGAUAACAUAGCUAUUAAAUGUAGUUGUGUGCAUGAGGGCAUUCUAGCUUAUUGUGUUAACAAAGCAGACACAAACCUAUUAAUAGUAAUACUAGAAGUUGGAGUACCCUUCCUAGCACAAAUCAUAGUAAUGAAGAAAAACAAGAAAAAACAUUACUAUAACAACAGUACUAGAGUAACAGACAAUUUUCAAAGACCAGCAGAGCCAAUCAAUUUUGUGAGGCCAAAUGUUAUGGCCAUAGCCAUCCAACCUCCAAUCAGCACCCUAAAACAAGACCUCUUCACUGGGGUUUUUCCAAGCACUGCUCCUACCACUCCAAAUACCAACAAGGCCAAGCUAGCCACAACAGCAACAACACCAAGCCUGAUCUUGUGAUUCCUUAUAAACACAGCAGCGAGAAGUGGCACUAGAGCACCCACUGUAAAAGCCAGUGCUGAUGCUAGGGCAGCUUGAAAUGGGUUUGGAAGCUUCUCCCUUUCAGCUUCUUCAUUAUUAUUAUUAUUAUUAGUUUCUCUUUCUCUUUUAAUUUGAGCUAUCUCUAUGUCAUACUGAGUAUAGACAGAGACAAACUCUCCAAUUGCCAUGCUACAAGCUCCAGCUACCAACCCAGCAAAACCAGCAAGAAGCAUGGCACUCACAUCUUCCUUAACAGCUCCAACACCCAUCAUCAGUGAGGCAACUGAGACCAACCCAUCAUUUGCUCCCAAAACCGCCGCUCGGAGCCACUGAGCCCUCUGAGAGUAGUCAAUAUAAUUAUUGUUGCUCUCUUCUACCCCUUCGCUUUCUUUUGGCUCCAAAACAUUGGCAUGGAUAGGGAUCUCAACAUGGUUUGAUGCCAUGAUGAAUAUCAAAAGUGAUAAAAAGUUGUUAGAUAGAAAAGUAGGAAAUAUGGGAAUAUGAUAUUGAGAGCUUGUGGCAAUCACACUCUCCUGAUGAGGGUAUUUAUACAGAGGGAUCAUCAAGUUUUGUCAUUGCAAAUUAAUGGCCACGUAUUUAUAAAUAAAGGAGAGGAUAUAAAGUGAGGAGGGCACUAGCUACAAGUUGGUGUCUUUCUUGAUUAACAAACCCCUGGUUGGCGUUUAAAAUUUCAUCACUACCUCAAACCUAUAUCCUAGUCUUAGAUAUUCCACCUUAAUUAUCGAAAUAUGUUCAGUGAACAUCAAUAUGGAUAUGGUAUCGACUUGUAGAGUGAUAGAGUGAUAUAGGAAGGAAAGAGAGGUAAGGGACAUAUAAUAUAUAAUGUGAUAGUUACAAGAAGAGAGAUAUGUGUCGUGUGUUCAAUUUCUGCUCCUGAUCUGAGAGUUGUGUUAGCUAGUGAUCAAUAAGUACCUCUGUAAGUGUUAUGUGAUUUUAGAAGCAUGUCUGACCUAUGGUGGUGAUUAGAGUCUAACUCACUCAAACUUUAAUUAAAAAUAGAUGAGAGAGAUAUAAAUAAAAUAAUGAAUGUGAGUAUUGUUUCUAAUUUGAUGUACAUAUGAAUUUAUACUCCUUAGAUUUUCAACUUUCUUGGUUCAAUGUUGGUUGUAUGAGGAUUCUUGGAAUUGUAAACUCUUCAAAGUUUUCUCAAAUUGAAAUUUGUAUCUAUCUCUUUUUCAUAUGUAUUAAAUAUAUAUGUGAACUAUUUGAAUGUUAAUUUCAAAGAGAGAAAUCAACAAUAUUUAAGUUGAAAUUGGCGAUUCAAUUAAGAAUCAUAACCCAUAAUCCAUCACACUUGAAAGAAUGCAAACUAACGUGAAAGUAGCAAUAGAAAAAAAUUGCUCUGCUAGGUUUGCUCAAGAGUCAAGCUCCACCCCCUCCCCUCCAUGAGGCGGGCCCCCCUUUUUUUCUUCUUCCUUCUGUGUUUCCUCUCCCUCCUAGCGGUGGUUCUUCGGCUCCGUCUGUCAGGCUCAUAUUUUCUUGUCCCUUUCGCCCCUGGUUUUCAUUCGUGGUAGAAGGUUCUGGAGUCGUUCUCUCUUCCCUGUGGCGACGUCGACCGCCGACGUCUUUGCCCUCCAGGUAUGUGCCUUGUUGUUUGUCGUUGUUCUCGACCGCCGUUUGGUUUCUCUUUGUGGCCGCGGGAUUUCGUAGAUCUGUGCUGUGGUUUCUCUAUUGUAGCGGGGGAACAGUGCUUCCUUCCAGAUAUGUGGUAUAUGGUUUUGGAUUUAGGGAUUUUAUUUUGGGUCGGUCCAAGGAGUCGCAGUGCUUGUGGCAGUUCUUGAAAGACGGAGCUGAGACGUGGAUGGUGUUGCGGUGGGGUCCUGAUCGCUGCGAGUUGGGGUCUUCCUAAAGCCUUUUCUCCUUUCUCAGGUUCUCUGGCCAUCCUCGUUCUCCCUCUUUGUUGGGGAUUCUUUAAGCCAAAGUUGUUCUUGUCGUUUCUUGAUCCAGUCCCGAUGCUGGCUAGUCUUUCAGCUCCUGUUGGUGGUGCCUUGCUCUCCCUCCUCUCUGGUCUCUUAGCCCCUAUCUCAACCGUAGCUCCGGGUCGCCGGUUUUUAUAUCAACCCGACCAGUUUAAUACGGUUCAAAAUGAGUCAAUUGCAUGCCCGAUCCGAUGCUCGACUCGAACCGGCCAGAGGUCCGGUUCCUGGUCCAAUCGGUCGAACCGGCCGGUUCGAGUCGAGUUUAACACUGGAUGUAUGUAAUUUUUGUUUUCAAAUUUAUUUAAGAGUUUUAACUUAUUCAUAUUACUUUUACUUUCAUCAUGUUUUCACAAACUUUUUCUUUUAAUCAUUCUCUUCUUUUCCUAUCAAACCACUCACCAUAUAUUUCAUUUUCUCUAUUUUCUAUUCUCGUAUCUUAUAAGUGUAGGUAAAUUUAGGAUGUAAAAAAUAUAUUUUCCUUUAUUUUGCAUUGGAAUUUCAAUCGAAUAAUUUCUCUUGCCGCAUGAUGUUUGGUUAUCAAUUAAAAUUAUAAAAUGAAAAAUUAAACAUUUUAAGACAUUUUAUUCAUAAAAAAUACUUCCUCUAUUCCUAUUUAUAAGAACUAAAUAAAAAGUACACUUGAUCCUUUUUAUAAGAACCAACUUGAAGUUUGUGGAGAAUUAGUUAUUUUUGGACAAGAAUGUCCUUAUUUAAUUGAAUUUAUCUCUCUUUCCACUUGCUAUAGCAUUAAAGAUGCAUAGAAAUUAAGCCUAAUGGGUUGAGGGUAACUUUGAAAAGUUGACAUAAAUUGAGAACAAAUUUAAUGCAAUUAUCUAGAUUAGUUAAAUUUGUUAAAUGGUGUGAAGUGGUUGUUUGGUUCUUAUAUUGAGGAACAGAGAGAGUAACAAUUAAUAAAAAAUAGGCUAAAAAGCACUUUUGACCCCUUAUGUUUCAAGUUUGUGCAAAUUCUGACUUACCCUAUUUUUGUCGAUGUUUCAACCCCUCAUGUUUUUAAACAGUGCACCGUCUCCGUCAGUCAAACGUUAAAAAACUAACGAAAUGAGCCGAUUUGUCUUUUUUGUAAAUAUUUUUUGGACCUGCCACAUGGAAAUUACAAGUGAAAUUGGAAAAAGGGGGCAUGAGAGAUUCAAACUCAAGACUUGUAAGUAGCAAAACAUGCAUUUAACCAAUUCAGUUACAUACAUAAUUGAUAUAUACAUCAAGAAAAUUUAAUUUAUAUCAUUUCCUUGAUUAUCAUUAACUUCAUAUACUCCUCUUCAUCUCUCCAAUCCACUCAGCAACCUCUCAUGAGAAAGCCUGACUGACGGAAGGGUAGACGGUGCACUAUUUGAAAAUAUGAGGGGUAAAAACGUCGACAAAAAUAGAGUAGGGGCAGAAUUUACACAAACUUGAAACAUCAAGGGCCAAAAAUGCUUUUUAGCCUAAAAAAAUAAAACGGAUAACUUGGUUACAAACAACACCAAUACUCUUGUGUUGAUUUAUUAGCUUGAUUUGUGAUUUACUUGUUAUGCUUAAAGAUCGGUGUGUUAUGACAUAAAGCUAGUUAGCUUAGGCCUUAUGUUCUUUUAAUCUCUGACCUAACUUUUUAGGUACACCUUAUAUACUUUUUUUUUUGGUUAAGCACACCUUAUAUACUUAAGAUUAACAAUGAAUUCUUUUGUUGGUUAAAAAAAAGAACGCAAAAACUUUUAUGCACGUGAUGUUCGUAUAUUUUUAAUUUUUAAAAUUUAUCUCCUUUUCAGAUUUUAUAUAAUAAAGCAAAAUUUAUUGAAAUAUAAAGUGUUGAAGAACAAUCCUUUCAAUAAUAGAUCAAAACUAAACCUAAACCAGAAAUAAAAGCCGCAAAACCAAUUUCAGGAUAAAAGCAUAAAUCAAGAGAGAUAAAACUCAAAAGUCUUCCUCCUCUAUAAUAAAUCCCGAAUCUGCCACACAAAACACCAAAGUUCAAUAACACAAAAGUAACAACAAAACAAAAAAUAGAAAGAAAAUCGUUGAGGUCGUAUAAAAACCACCACAACGAUCCCGCUCCCAUAAUCGAACAAAACCAAAGCAAAAGAAAAAAAAAAUCAUAAAACCUAAUUAAGUUAAAAAUCAUUUAGAUCAGAUAACGACCGAUAUCACAAUGAUUAGUUAAAUCAACUUGGCGGAGUAUUGGUAUAAUACUGUAAGGUUCAUAUGAGUUCUCCCUCUAAAAGAACAUAAUAUGUUUUAAUGAUAACAAAAGCUAUGGAGACCAUGACAAAAACAAUGAAGACCAUAGCAAAAAUAAUGGAGACUUGGAUAAGUCAAUGAAGACAAGAAGACAAGACCAAAGCAGCAAGGAUAAUGGUAAAGCUUCAUGACAAAAGAGAAGAUCAACAUUGUACUGGUAUGGGCUUAUAGGGCGCAUUAAUUCUAUAAGCGUCGAGAACUUAGGAAAUAUGCAUUACUGAUAUGGGCGUACCAACUUUGUAAUAUUGUGGGCUUUGCAAUACUUGUACAUAUAAUGGGCAGGCGACCCAUGAUCCCAAGCGGGUCAGAACCAAGCUAUAAAUAUCAGACACCACGCAAGCGGUGGGGGAUCUAACUUUUCACACAUUUUCUCAUUUUGUCAUUUUUCUAUGGCUCUCAAACUGUUUAGCCCUUGCUUGAUAGUUCCAGACCGUAACAUUGGCGCCCACCGUGGGGCUUUUGUAAAACAAAUCCCCACUACCACGAACAAGAGACUAUGUGAUUUCUACUUCUGAGAGAGGAGGGCGAACGAAAUUGAAGAGGAAACGAUGCAGUAAAUCUCUGUCAAAAUGUCAGUUUCAAAAGGAAAUAAUGCUUUGACAUCAAAGAGGAAGGCAAACGAAAUUGGUGACAUCAAACCAAAAAUUCAACAUCAGGAAACAGAUCGAGGGAAAGGGAAGGAGACGAAGAGGAGAACAGAAAUUUGCGGUGGCGCGAUCUUCAACAGCAGUGCGAAAGCCCAGACGCGGGCGAAAUUUGAUGCUUGAUGACGAGAUAUGCAAUAUUAACCGCCGAAGCCACAACUUUUGGGUUGAAACCGCCCACUCAAUAUCAACCGUCAACUCUAAAUUUAAAUGGUUAUUUUGUCUCAACUGCCACAUUGGAGUUGCAACUGCUCAUGCCCACCACCUCUAAAGGAUGACUCUUCAAGCCAUUCGAUUUCUUUGAUCCCUAUCUCUGACUCUUUCUCCUUUUAAAAGUUUUUUUGCACAUUUCCAUUAAGUCGAUGCUCUCUUCUGGAUAGCAAAUUUUCACCCGCUAUUGUCAUUUGUUUUGUGAAAAUUGCAGAUUUCAACAUUGCACACAAAGUGUUUGAUCAAAUGCCACAAUGAGAUGUUGUUUCAUUGCGAGUAGGGCAAUGCAAAUUGGACCGCCCUGCCCAAGUCUCAAAGGGGCGAAAAGAUAUGACAUAUGUGUCGGUGACUUUCGAAAGUGGUGCCCUUUAAACUCACUCAUGUUAUAUGUUUAUUCAUAAUCUUGGCCUUUUGGGGCUGUUUGUGCUAUUAGUUAUUAAACUGAUUUAACCCACUACUAUGCGAUGUGAUGAUUUAUUCGAAACUGGAUCUCUUUCAUCAAUGAUUUUAAUUACAAGUGAUUCUGACAUUUAGUAUUCGGGCUUAGUAUUUUUUGAAAGUGAAGCAUUUGUUAUAUUCCAAGGCCAGUUGACAAACUUUAAGAAAGCCCAUAUGUUCAUCUUGAAAAGAAUGGAGUAUAUUUAGUAAACGUUUUUGAAACAUCUGUGCUUAAAACAUGUUCUUUUUCUCGAGUUACAUUUACAUAAUGAGUUUGUGACACACAUGAUGUUUGUAUACAUAUACUUGAGUUGCUCUUGUGUCGAAAUUCUUUUUUGAAAGAGUGCAAGUGAGUGCAAGUGUUGGGCGUUUCAUUCUUCUAGCAAGUAUUAAGUUUUACAAGAUUUUAUUUUGUUAUUGCAAUUUUUAAAGACAAAUAAAAGGAGAUGGAGAUUAGUUUUUCUUACUUGGGCGUGGAAAUUAAAACAUUGGGCGGAGAACAACUAGUUUUGAUAUUGUCAAUGUGUUAUAUUAUAUUUUAUCUUAUGCUAACAAGGUGAUGAGUUGACAGGUGAUGAGUUGACUAAAAACAGUCAAAGGAUACAACAUUAUGCACUCUUUUCUCUACCCGGGCGGAAGAGUUUUUAAUGAGGCAUAAUUCUUAAAACAUUGCUUGAACAAGCAUGUUUUUCAUUUCUCCAACUUAGGUCUAUCAAUUGGGCGAUGUCAGACAAUUGAGAUAAGAGUAAGACUCUUAAAACUAGAGCAUCUGACCACGAAUUCAUAAGUACAGCCUUGAUUGGUUUAAGCUUACCCAAUUCAAGCACAAGGCCUCCAAGCGAGCAAGAGCCUUUUUAGAUCAUCGAUAAAAAAUGAGUAUAAUGCCAAGAAAUUAAUUAAAAUUAACUUUCUUGGUUGAAUCUUGAUUAAGUUCAAGUGUUAAAACCUUAUGAAUUCAGAGAAUAGUUGAUAGAGAAAUGAUGAGAUUGUUGGGCUAACAAUAUCGUUUUUACAAAUGGUACAACCUACUACACACACGUGAAUUUUGAGGCUGUGAAGGGACAACUUGAGUCAACUUGCACGCGCUACACAAAGAUUAAGAAGCAACAACAAAAGUUGAAAUGACAAAGGAAUGACUACUUAGCUUUUCUGUCUUUGAAUUUUUAUUUGAUUUUGGAGCCUGUGCGCCCAUUAUUUUAUUUGCACAUUUUUGGGCGUAUCAAUUACUUGUUAGUCUUUGUAUAGUGUUGGGUGAGUUGAUUACUUGUGGGCUCGUAAAGAAGACACACUUCGUAUUAAAGCUUUUAAGACUUGGUGUCUUGUGGGCUUGUGUACUGGUAUAGGCUUAUAGGGCGCAUUAAUUCUAUAAGCGUCGAGAACUUAGGAAAUAUGCAUUACUGAUAUGAGCGUACCAACUUUGUAAUAUUGUGGGCUUUGCAAUACUUGUACAUAUAAUGGGCCAGGCGACCCAUGAUCCAAAGCGGGUCAGAACCAAGCUAUAAAUAUCAGACACCACCCAAGCGGUGGGGGAUCUAACUUUUCACAUAUUAUCUCAUUUUGUCAGUUUUCUAUCGCUCUCAAACUGUUUAGCCCUUGCUUGAUAGUUCCAGACCGGAACAAACAUGAAGAUCAAGAAGAUGUCAAGAUAAAAUAAAGAAGAUCAAGGAAAUAUUAAGACAAGGCAAAAAAGAUCAAAGACAAUAGAGAAGGCAAGCUCAAGGAAAGCUCAAAGAAGAAGCUUAAAAGACUUGAGGAAAAAGCAUUGAAGUAAACGCAAACAUUCAAGACCAACUGAAAAAAGCCCAUGGUAUAGUGUUGUCUGCAUGCUCAACAGUGUGAAGUCCACACGCAUUGUCUGAAGACUCCAGAGUCGAGCAAGCAAAGUUUAGAGUCCAAGAAGAAGAAGAAGCGUCCAAAGAGAAGAAUUGAAGACAACAUAGAAAUAGUCAUAUGCAUCCUGAGAAAUCUACAAGACUUGCCUCAACAUGAAAGCAACAUUUCAACUCAAUCAGACAUCAUCACUCGAAGCAUCAAAUAUUUACCCAAUGCCUAGAAGUACAAAACUGUUGAACAGAGAUGAACGAUGCAAAAGAAAUAUUAUGAGACUGUCAUCCAACAAGCACUAAAAUCAGGCUGUAUCUCUAUAUUCAUUGACUGAUCAGUCGAAGCCCUAAAAUCCAAGACAAUGUCUACAAGUCUUCACCAACAUAUGAUCUCUAAAGUACAGGAAGACAACGCUCAAAGUUCAUAUCGUCUAAAGCUCAGAGUCUCACUAAUCAAGAAGAUUUUAUCUAACUUCCACUUAUGGGCGAAAGAAACUUAUAUAAAGCAGAAGCAAAGUCAUGAUGACUCAAGCAUCCAGAAGAGGAACGAGUCUCCUAAGGAAGUAACUAGAAGCAAUCAACUAGAUCGAGCAACUAGAACCAAGCAAUCAAAUUCAAAUAAUGUGCUUGUUCACAAGUGACUAGUUGAGCCUAACACAAAGUACCAAUCAAGGUACAGAGCUGUCACUUCCGCAAAAGCUAUGAGGAGCGCCUGUGAGCUAAAAGCAUAUAUGUCGUAUCAAGCACAAGCUUGAAUGACCAAACGACUACAAAUAUACAAACUAAGCCUGAACAUGAUGGGUUGAGACAACCAAGUAUAUCCUUCAACCAUCAUAGACGAUGAAGAACUGUGCAUAAGCGUUCACCAACGACGCCAAAAGUCUUCAUCCUUAUGACACAGAGCAGAGAAACUGUCAGCAUGAACUUGUGAUAAGAAAACCUAGUUUCUACUCUCCAACGUCCACUGCAUACACUCAAUAAGUCUCACAUUACAACAGUCAUACUCCAGGACUUAGUAUAAAUAGCCAAUGCAGUUGAAAGAGUAAAGGUUGUCAAUGAAGAUCGAACCAGUAGAGAUAAUGAUGAAUGGUCAGAUGAAAGAAUGAGAUUAAGAGUCAAACACUGAGAGAACAGAAGAUAUGAAAAGAAAGAAGAAAAAAACAUGAACUAAAGUGUUAUAUUUAAACAUGAUUUUUAAAGAUAGAGCUUCAAAGUCAUAUGCAUCUUGUUGACAAGAUAAAGAUGAAAAGAAAGAAGGAGAGAUAAAAUGCACUGAUUGACGGGGAGCGUUCCCAAUAUAUUGAAAACUGGAUCUUCUACAUAAGUUCUCAUGUUGAAUUCAUUCACUCAAAGAGUCAUGUAGCAAGAAGAAGAAGAAGCUCGCCGGUGUUGAUGGUCCAAAUUUAUACUCUCACUUCCAAAUGACCACAAAGAAGAAAAGCAAGGUUGAGCUGAUUCAAUGACAACAUCCAUGCUUAUGCUAGAAGGAAGAAUGAUCUUGAUCAAGAGCUCCAAUGUCUACUCAUCAAGGAGAUCAAGUCAACUCCAUAAAGGACUAAGAGCAAUUCAUUGUCUAUUAGCUAUAUCAUAUACAACUAAAGAUGAAUUGAUUGUACUGAACACUUGUGUACAUCUCAUAGGUUAAUUAGUAUGAACAACAUUCUCAAAUGUAAUCAAUUCAUGUAUCAAUGUGGCUAAAGAGGCACGAAAAUGAAUACUUGUAAUGCCUGAAGAGGCAGGACAAAGAAUACUCAACAAUGCCUAAAAAUGUAUGAGAAAAAAUACUUAAGAAUGUCGAGAGAGGCAGGAUAUAUAAAUAAUAUUUGUUGCCUGGAGAGGCAGUGUAUAAAAGAAUACUAGUUUGACUGGAGAGGCAGUGUAAAAAAAUACUCGUUUCCCUAGAGAGACAGGAGGCAGUGUAUAAAAGAAUACUUGUUUGCUUGGAGAGAUAGUGUAUAAAAGAAUACUUGUUGAACCUGAAGUGACUUGUACAAAAAUAUUCAACAAUGCCUGGAGAGACAGUAACUAAAAAACACUCAAUGUGCUUGAGGAGACAUGUACAAUAAUACUUGACCCUAUAAUGGAAGUACUACAAUAUACUUUUAAAAAGAAAAUUUAAGGAGCAAUUAUGAAAAGAAAUUUCAUAAACCAAUUUAGACGUGACCUAUAAUAAAAGUACUAAAAUUUACUUAACCCAAAUAAAUGUAAAGAAAUUAAAGUAAAUAAGUAGCUCCUGCCUCCUGUCAUCGAAUGAUAGCUCAAGUGGUAAGAGUUAUGAGAUAUGUAGCUGGGUUGAGUGGGAGAUGUCCAUAGAUCAAUCUCUGACGGAUGCAAUUUAUCUUUCCGAAGUAAAAAAAAAUUAUAAGUAGUUCCUAUUAUUAAAAACCUAUCAAACGUGUUUGAAGUUUUGUUGUAUAUUCCUUUGAUUUCCAGGUGAUAUUAUCGUGUAAAAACCGUGAGAAUAUUCAUUACUGCAUGCGCCACUCUACCGGGAAAUGUAAGUUUGGCUUCCUUCAUCAAAUAACUUAAGCCGUAGAAAUCAAGUAACAGAUCCCAGUAUAACUUUUGGUUUUGAUAUUUGAUUGAUAAAGAUAGUGUGUAUAUUAUAUUUGAUGGAGUGUGCAUUCCACAGGAUAGUGGCAACUAAAGUGUGUGAUUAAGAAAUUGAAGGGAGUGUGCAGCCCACACGAAAGCCACGGGUUCCGCACUUCCGAAAAGCACAAGAAACCAAAACUUGGCACUUCGAUGUAUCUGCAAUUUAAUAUAUUGCUUUCUUUGAUUUUUCUUUGCUUUUGUAUGAAAGAUUUUGGUGCCCACUUAGGUGAAUUAUUAUUAUUUUAGUCCACCGAUAUAUUAUGUGUAUUUUAAAUUUUGCACUGUGGGUAUUUCAAACUUUUACCCCUUUCUCUCCAUCUUCCUCCCACUCUUUCCGAUCCUCAGCCCCUCCCCAUCUCUCCAGCGGUGACCUGUUCUCCUCCAACCUCAUCCUCCCGACACUUACUCUCCUGCCACAACCUCCUUGAUUUUUUGUUUCUCUUCUGUCCAUGUCUCAUUCUCCGAGAGUAGGAACUAUGAAAUUUCAAGGAUUGUUAAAUGGUCUUAAGUUGCAGAUCCUCCUUGAUAAUGGAAGUUCUGAUAAUAUUUUGCAACCACGAUUGACUCAUUGUCUCAAAUUACCUGUUGUUCUGGUCUAAGGUCUAACAAUGGAUAUGAAGCACCCUUGAUAAACCCUAACAGAGCUAAAAAAAUAUACGUGAUGUAAGAAUAAGGGAAUUAUCUCAUUAAUGAUAGAAAGGUACCUAGUACAAGGUGAGGAUACCCCUUUUUAUAGUGGGAGUGAUCCAUAUCUAGAAUAUUCAUGGAUUUGUGCCUUACAUGCAAGGCCUAAAUCUCAAUGUGGAAUAAGACAAAUACAUACAUCAUUAAUAUGAUUAAUACAAAGCAACUCGGGCCCAUCUCUUUGCGCUGAGACCCAUGUCUUUAUCCAGAGGGUGUCAAUCUUACUGGGCGGGUCCAUGGGCUUGUACUAACCCGCCCAGUCCACUUGUUGAACCAGUUAUUGGGUUCCAAGAGGUGGUGGGAAAUGGUCAUUCCUUAGCUGCAGAAGGACUGGUCGAGGAAGUACAAGUACAGAUUCAAGGGCAUACUCUUACAUUACCCGUAUAUCUUCUGCAAGUUUCAGAUGCUGAUUUGGUUUUGGGAGCUACUUGGUGUUGUGGUUGAUUGCAAUGUAAGUCUCACAUUGCUAAUGAAGGAGAAAAAAGAUCAAGUUAUGCAUCUUGGAGAAGUCACACAUCGCUCAGAUUAGUGAGGGGAGAGAGGAUCUAAGACUAUAUAUAGGGAUCUCAAGCUCCUUGUUUCAACACACCAAAACACCAAAGAUGUAGCACCUGAAAACACUUUAAGUUUAUAUUUGUGUUUUCAUUUUCUCUUAUGCUCUUGUUUUAGAGUAUUGUGAGAUGUAGUUCAAAUAUUUACUUUGGAGAGUGUGGGUGUACUGGGGUAAUGGGGUAGUUGAGAGUGAAGUCUAUGUGUUGUAACAAUUUUCACAUAGUGUUUAUUCUCUGGUUGUUGGUUUUGACAACGGUCGUGGUUUAUCUCCGGUUUUGGAGUUUCCACGUUAUAUUCUUGUAUUGUUGAUUACGCUCCUGAUUUAUUUUACUUCUUCAGCUGUGUUAUUUCCUAACACUUGGUUGAUAACUUUGGGUCCUCAUAUUUCAGAUUACAAUUCUCUUACUUUAAAAUUUUAUUUGAACGAUCAGUUUGUGACACUCUAUGGGGAAAAGCCUCAGUUAACCUCUGUGGCUCAAAUUCAUCACAUUAGAAGGAUGCAUAACACACAUGCUAUUUCAGAGUUAUUCACCUUACAAUUCCAGCCUAUUCACACCCCACAUGAACAAUUGUUGGAUUUCCCUGAUGAUAUCAAACCUAAAUUGGCUCUACUAUUGCAUAAUUACAAGGCCAUAUUCUCACAGCACGUUGGCUUACCUCCUCCUCGGUCACAGGAUCACACCAUUCCUUUACUUCCGGACAACAUUCCAGUCAAGGUGAGACCUUAUAAAUACCCUCAUAGUCAGAAAGAACAUAUUGAAAAGAUGGUAGAACAAAUGUUAGCUGAAGGCAUCAUAGAACCGAGUAGGAGUGCUUUUUCUUCUCCUAUAGUUCUGGUUAAAAAGAGAUAUGGAACUUGGAGGUUUUGCACUGACUAUAGGGCUCUUAAUGCAAUCACAGUCAAGAUAGCUUCCCUAUUCCCACUGUAGAAUAAUUAUUGGACGAGUUAUUUGGGGCACAUUUUUUCUAAGCUUGAUCUUAGAUCCGGGUACCAUCAAAUACUAGUCAGCAGAGAGGAUAGGCAUAAAACAACUUUCAGGACUCAUCAAAGGGCACUAUGAAUAGCUUGUCAUGUCAUUUAGCCUUGAUGUCUCUAGAGAGAAAAUACGUAGGCUAGGAUAUUUAGUAGACAGACCCCCCAAAGUAAAAACCCUUCUUCAAGGUAAUCUCAUAAAUCAAGGUUUUUUUUCAAAUUAAUCAAGAUGAAAACCAUGAAAAUAAUAAAAUAUAAAAAAACAGAAAUAUUUGAUGGAACUACGUGACUCUAGCGACAUGAUUCCCACUAGGCAUGUCAAUUUGUUGGAUUACAAACAAAUGAAAGACUAGAUAUCUGAUUAAGCCGGCUGAGAAAACUAACGUAACGAUACCCUAAUCAAACAAUUACUUGAGGAAUAGACUUUGUUCUUCAAUGGGGGUUCAUAAGGUAUUUCAAAAAGUUGUUAGUGAUCGCUAUUGAGAAGUUUGUAUUGGUGACAAAGCUACUAAACGUAGGUAAAGAAGAAAAUGGAUAAAUGAAGUCUUAAACGGCUGAAAUUAAACGACUGAAAGCUGAAUAAAAAAAGUGUUGGAAUGGUAAAUGGUUGAAAUAUUGUAAAGAAACUUAAAGGCUGAAAAGUAAAGGCAUGAAAGUAAAAGACAAACUCGCGACAGAUUUGUAGUUUGAUUUGGUGAUGAGUUGUGUUUUUGUACAAGUGACCCUUCCUAUAUUUAUAGAAAUAACCUGCAACAGUUGACAAACCCUUGCCACUACCCACAUUUCUUGGUAUCUACAAGCAUUUAUAGAAGUGGGUAUUGACGGUUGCUUCUCCUGAUCAGCCUGGAAGUUCGGUUUAAGCUCACCUUCCUUCCAUCUACUAAUUCUUAAGCAGUAACUAAUUUCCCUAAAUAUUGAAGGGAUGAACCACAAAGUGAUUAUGGCACGUGGGGACCUUCUGGAAGCUUGCAUAUUUCUUUCAUCGUGCAUUGAGGUCCCUGCACCUUUCCUUAAAUGUUGUCCAAGUUCAUACUUUUCGCCGCUUCGAUGCCCAUCAUCAGCUAGUCUCACUAUCUCGAUUAACACCUCUCAGCGACUAACUUGCCAUGUCUGUUUAGGCAAGACGGUUCGGCUGCCUUUAUAGCCAUUACAGAUUUUUGGAUGCCAGAAAGAUCAAAAUAUUUUAUAGUACAAUGAAAUCGUGCCACAUCAAUUUAAAAUCAUUGUUCAAGAAUAUAAGUGUGAAGUUUGUUCAUUUUCUAAUUGACAUGUUAAUUUUAUUGAUUGAGACAAGAAUCAUCAAUUGAAGACGAAGAAUUUUAAUCCCCAUGCCACCAUAAAAUUUGAGCAAUUAAAAAAAGCAAAAAGAGCACCAAUAAUUAACAGUGGUCAAAUAGCUGGUAAAUGAAAGACCAGAAGAGCCAAUCAAUUUGGUGAGGCCAAAUGUUAUGGCCAUAGCCAUCCAACCACCAAUUAGCACUCUAAGGCAAGACCUCCUGACAAGGGUUUUUCCCAGCACUGCUCCUACCACUCCAAAUGCCAACAAUGUCAAGCUAGCCACAGCAGCAACAACACCAAUCCUGAUCUUGUAAUUCCUUAUAAACACAGCUGCUAGCAAUGGCAUCAGAGCACCCACAGAAAAUGCUAGUGCUGAGGCCAGGGCAGCCUGAAAUGGGUUUGGAAGCUUCUUCCUUUGUGCUUCUUCAUCAUACAUAUUAACAACUCCAUUGUUAUUAUUAGUUUCCCUUUCUCUUUGAAUCUGAGCUAUCUCUAUGUCAUACUGAGUGUAGACAGAGACAAACUCUCCAAUUGCCAUGCUACAAGCUCCAGCUAUACCAACCCAGCAAAACCAGCAAGAAGCAUGGCACUCACAUCUUCUUUAACAGCUCCAACACCCACCAUCAGUGAGGCAAUAGAGACCAACCCAUCAUUCGCUCCCAAUACCGCUGCUCGAAGCCACUGAGCUCUUUGAAAGUAAUCAAUAUCAUUAACAUUGGUAAAGAUAUGGUUCUCCACAUGGUUUGGAGAAAUUCCAAUAGCUUCAUUGGAGGCCAUGAUGGACAAGAUCAGUAAAAUAAAACUUAAGAUAAAAUAAGGAGUAUAUAUUUAUAUAUAUAUAGGAAUAUGAUAUUAGGAGCUCGUGGAGGAUCACUUUUCUAAUGAAGAGUUAUUUAUAGAGGGUCAUCAAUUUUCUUAAUUAAUAUAUUAUCAAAACAAAAAGCUUCCUUAAAAAUUAUUAAAGAGGACAAAUACAAGAGCCACACACAACCUGGAAACCCAUAUAUAUUGAUCUGCUAUCAAAAAAUCAAUUCUGUUUAAUAUAUUUGAUAACUUCCAGGACCUAUCACAUGCUAACAUAAAAGAUAGCUCAAAACUUAAAGGGUUAAAACCUAUAACCGUCCCUGAAUUUUGAGCGAGUUUUGAAAACUGUCCCUCGUUGGAAAAUUAUCUGAAAAUCAUCCUUGGACUUUUAAAAACAAUUUCAACUCAUCCCUCCGGUCGCCUUAGGUCCGGCUAGUUGCUUACAUAGUUGUUCAUGUCAAUUAAUGAACCUAUGUGUAAAUUUUUUUAUCAUUUAAAAUUUAAAAAAUCCUAAUUUUUUUUAUUUAACCCAAUUAUCUUAAAUUAACCCUAAAUCCCCAAACUAACCCUAAACCCCCUUUGAUUCUCUAAAUCUCUAAUUAACUCUAAACCAAUAAUCAAACCCAACACCCCAACCUCACCAACCCAGAAACUCAUACCCACCACCACCACACCCACCCACCACCCCCAACCUAACCAACCCAGAAACCCAUACCCACCACCACCACACUCACCCACCACCCUUACUCCCACCACCCUCACCCCAUCGAACAACCCCCACCACCCAGAAACUCAAACCCAACCCCACAGAUCUGUCAAGAAAACCAGAAGAAAAAAAAAAAAGAAGAAGAAGAAACUAACACAGCAACAACAACAUGCAAAUGAAAAAUCAAAGUUCAAUUGUUUUGAUCUGACCGUUUGGGAAUGGAUUUAGGAUUCGAUUUGUUUGGGAAGGUAUUUAAGGUUUGAUUCAGGAAGAUGAAAUGGGAUUUAGAGUUUUUUUACGGAAGGGAAGGAGGUGAUGGCAGCAGCAAGAAGAUGAUGAAGAUUAUUGAAUAUUUUGAAAAAUUAUAUAAAAAAAAUUAAUUGCUAAUUAGGAAUUUUUUUUAAUUUUAAAUAAUAAUAAAAUUACACAUAGGGCUCAUUAAUUGACGUGGACAGCCAUGUAAGCAACUGACCGAACCUAAGGCGGCCGGAGGGAUGGGUUGAAAUUGUUUUUAAAAGUUCGAGGAUGGUUUCCAGAUAAUUUUCCGGCAAUGGACGGUUUUUAAAACUUGCUCAAAGUUCAGGGACAGUUAUAGGUUUUAACUCAAAGUUAAAAGGUACUCAACCCUUUAUAAGCAUUAUCUAUAUUAUAUCUCUAAUUGUUCAGCCCAGAAAAAUUGUCUGAUAAAUGAGGUUGGUAGCUGGUGCAAUGGUGCAUGGGUGUGGGAUCUGAAAUGGGGUUCGGUUUUGAGGGAUAGGGACUAGAGAAAAGCUGCUGAACUUGCUACUCGGUUAAAUCAAAUUUCUCUCUUCCAAGGGCAAAUGGAUCGUUGGAAAUGGCUGGCAGAUAGUUCAGGAAAAUUCUCUGUUAAAUCCAGUGACGGAUCCAGAAAUUUUAAGUCGUGGGGGCAAUUUAUACAUAUAAAUUUAUAGCAUUAAAAAAGUGAUAUUUACUAUAACAAGUGAGCAUAUACAUCAUAAAUGAUUUUUAAGAGUCUAUUUUUCAAAAUCACUGCACAAUUUUUUCAUUCUUAACACUAUUAAACGUUGUUCUUUCUAGCCCAUCAAAACCGGCUCGAAUAUGUUUAAAUGAAUUAUUUGUAUGGGAUCCUACUAAAAAUAUGGGUUAUACAGAAAAAUUUAGUUGGAUCCAUACAAAUCUCAAUAAAUGUGUUAAUGUAAAUAUAGUUAGUAGUACUCUAAAAUCAUCAUUAUGCAAUAGACCAAUAUAAAUAUGGGGCAUUCAAUGUAGUAAAUAAAAAAAAAUAACACUUUAUAAUUGAAGGUUAUGCACAUGAAUGAGAGACGGGUGAAAGGAAAUGGAGAAAUACUCAAACGUGGGGGCAUACUAUUAGUGGUGGGGGCAUAAUUUAGUCUUAUAUACUAGUAAUCUAAUACUCUUGUGGACUUUUUGAAAAAAAUAGUGGGGUCAAAUGCCCCCAUGGUGCUUCACAUGGGUCCGUCCCUGGUUAAAUCUGCAUAUGAUGUGAUUCAAGGGUCUGUUGUGAACUCUUCAGAUGGGGAAAAUUUGUUUAAACACUUGUGGAAUGUUCCAGUUCCCUCAAACCAGCUGGCUUUUGCGUGGAGGGUUCUCUUGGAUCGAGUUCAAACAAGAGACCACUUGUGGAAGCGUCAAGUGUUGCAGAAUGUUGAUGACAUAGUUUGCCCUUUAUUUAAUGACGGGGUAGAGAACUCUGACCAUUUAUUUUUCACAUGCAUGCUGUCCUGGAGAGUUUGGAUGGGAAUCUUUAAUUGGCUUGGCAUAACCACUGUGCUCCCCGAGAAGAGUUAAGCUAAUUUUCUACAACACCCCCCUUUUGGUGGCAGCGUGAGUGCUAGAAAAGCUGGGAGGGUAAUUUGGGUUGCAGCGAUUAGAAGCAUUUGGGAGAUGAGGAACUCUGUGGUGUUCAAGGGUGAUUCUUUCGACCACAACCAGGUGCUUGAUCUGGCUCAACACAAGUCUUGGUCUUGGCUACGUGCAAAAUCAAAAGGGUUCAGCUUUUCUCCUUAUGAGUGGCACUCAAACCCAUUAAUUUGUUUGAGAUCGCUGUAACUGAUCUUGAAGAGUUUUGACUUUGUACAGGCUUUGCUUUGGCAUCUUGCAGCAAUUGGUGCACGAGGGGUUCAAUAUCCCAGCAUUCUAUUAGGCUUUUUAGCUUGCUUUGCUGUUGGAACUAGCAGGGAAUUGUUCUUGUUCUUUUCUUUUGUUUUGUUAAUAUUAGGCUAAAAAGCACUUUUAGCCCCUGAUGUUUCAAGUUUGUGCAAAUUCUGCCCCUACUAUAUUUUUGUCGAUGUUUCUACCCCUCAUGUUUUCAAACAGUGCAUCGUCUACCCCUCAUGUUUUCAAACAGUGCUCCGUCUACCCCUCCGUCAGGGGUAGACAGUGCACUGUUUGAAAACAUGAGGGGUAGAAACAUCGACAAAAAUAGAUAGGGGCAGAAUUUGCACAAACUUGAAACAUCAGGGGCCAAAAAUGCUUUUUAGCCUUAAUAUUAUUGUAUCUUUUUCCCCUUUCUUCUUCUCUCUAUUGUAUUAAGGGUUGGAGUACUCCUUGUACUCCAUUUUAAUGUAUUGCUAUGGCUUAUAAAAAAAAAUUAUAUCUCUAAUAAUGUGAGAUAUCUAAUGCUUUUUUCACACAUACGAAAUCUUCACCACCAAAAAAAUAUAAGAUAGACUCUGACACCAUAUUAGAAUUUGAGAGACUUAACUGAAUUAUAAAAAAAACUAGUUGAUGGUUUUUAUAUCCUUUAUGACGGUUAUGUAUAUCAUAUAUAUAUAUAUAUAUAUAUAUAUAUAUACCAAUGUGUGCUCUCAUGUUGGAAGGCAAGCUCCAUUGCAAAAGUAUUGCAAAAGUCGAGAUUAAGAAUAGUGUCACCUGAAAGGUGACUUAUGGGGGUCACUCUUGUGUAUUGCCGUCAGUUGAAAGGUUAUCUUCAUCACGAGAAAUGAAAGACAACAACUAAUAGACAGUAUUGUUCCUAAGAAAGUGGUUGUUCAAUUUGCAUCAAUUUCGGAUAGAACCAAAAAAGAAAAUACGUUACCGACAAGAAAAAUACCAAAAAUGGAAAUACCUUUACCGAUAAGAAAACAUAUCAAGAAGAAGUACAACAUGAUGUUCCCAUUCCCAUCAUUUUCUUCUUAGUACUUGCUAGUUAGGCUGUUCAUUCAAGAUGUAGAAGCACUUUGGGCAGGGCCGGUCUCGACAUUUUGGAGGUCCUGGGUUAAUAAUAAAAAUGGACCCCUAAAUUUUUUUUUUUGGAGAAAGUUUAAUAGGUACACUAAGCCAAAAAAAUGCCUUUUACAGCGCUUCGGACCUCUCGCCGCUGUUAAAUAGUAUACAGCAGUACGAAGCGCUGUAAAAGAUUGACUAUUUACAGCGCUUUUUUAAGUAAAAACGCUGUAAAAGUCUUAAUUUUUUUAGGGGCCCUUCUUUUUUGGAGGCCCUGGGCUGUGGGCCUGCUUGCACAGGCCCAGGGCCGGCCCUGACUUUGGCAGUAAUCAUCCUAUUAUGAAAUAAAUUUUUUUUUUAAUUAAUUACAGCUCCAGAUGCAUGGGAAUAGGAAAUAUGAUACUGGGAGCUUGCAUGUGGCAUCACAUGCUCAAGUUAUUUUGAAAAAAAAAAAAACAUCAUUCAUUCAAUAUAUACCUAGGGAAUUAAGAAUUGUACGUACAACAAAGGAUCAUAGAUACUCAAUUAAAGACUCUAAGAGCAUCCCCAGUGCUAGUUCUUAUUUCUUAGUUCUUAGCAUUAUUCAUGUGGGCCUGUAUUGCCACAUGUGCUUAAGUAACUCUCAAGCAAUUUUGCUGCAACCAUGAGUUCUUAAUUCUUACCACUAUUCAUUUGGUCCCACCAACCACAUUAUUUAUACUUUUUAUUUUCAUAAAGUAAAAAACAAAACUCAUAAAGUAAUAAAGUAAUUUAAAUGAGAGAAAAAUAAUUAAUAUUUUAAGCUAAAAACUCAAAAAGCAAAACUUCUUAUAUAAGAACUGAGUUCUUAUUUUUAAGAACUAAGAGAUUCAUGUCAACACCUCCAAUGGUAAAGUUCUUAAUUCUUAGUUCUUAACUCAAAAAUAAGAACUAAAAACCUUGCAUUGAAGAUGCUCUAAGUACAACCUUUGCUCAGCCAAUGCAUCAACGUUGGCAUUAGCUUCCCUAAAUACACGGCCAAUUUGAUGGCAUGUAACUACCUUACAUAAUAGAUCACA